This 90952-nucleotide long non-coding RNA is filed under the name Ananas comosus (pineapple). RNAcentral's name for it is "long non-coding RNA (ACOM_LNC008813)". Lineage: Eukaryota; Viridiplantae; Streptophyta; Magnoliopsida; Poales; Bromeliaceae. The record is from RNAcentral.
UUUCGAGGGUUUGGAAAUGACGGGUGAGCGACGGUGGGUUCCGGUAUCGAAAUUGACACUUCCGGGAAUUCGGAUCCGAACGAUUAUCCGACGAUAGUGUUGGUUGUGUAUUCUUGUGUUUGCUGCCAUGAUGCACGAUUAUUUAUGUAUAGUGGUAGCGAGUGACUCGUAGCAUGAGUCGGUGUGUUCCAGGACAGUUCGUGGAUCCCGGCGGAGUCCCGUAGCGAUUUUCGGGACUUCCGACGAGUUACGGUAGUUGGUUUUGGGAAACCGAUCUCUGUGGGAUUAGUUUGUGGGAUGUGGAGUCAAUGGUUAUUAGUGGUGGGUUAGACACUAACCCGAUGGACCUUCCUUAGGUCUGGUUGACAUUCUUUUGCAGUCAGGAGACAGAUGUGACAUCCUUACAGGUGGGUACUUCGAUCCGAAGUCGGUACAGUGGUACACGCUCGGUGAUGGUUUCUUACCCUUACUCUUCUGUUGUUACUAUUGCAUCGUAUAUAUUGAGCCUUGCACCUAUGUUAUUCCAUUAUACUCUGCUCGUUGUUUGCAUGCUUAGUAUCCUGAGUAGGAGUAGAGUAGUUCUAUCUAUAUGCAUAUAUGUUGACCUGGUUGGUCGGUUGUUGCAUUCCGUAUCUGUUGACCUGGUUGGUUGGUUCUCGUACUUCGUAUUAGCGACCUUGCUGGUCGGUUGGACUUUGUGGACUUUGGGUCCAGGCAACACAUCGACUCUCUCGUCAUGUGUUUCAAUCUGGUUGAUCGAGGCUCGACAUUAUACGCCCUUGUUUCUGGCUUCGACCUAGGCACCGGCUUCAGCCGGUUUUUGUAUUGAGCAUACCAGCAUGACUUAGUCACAGCACUUGGGGGUAUUCACGACACCGGGUCGAUUUGGCCACCGACCGAAGGUGUGCUUAUCCGGAUGGGUCGUUCUGUGGGGCGGGUGAAUCAGGUCGGUACAGAUCAGUGACAGGCAGCGCUUGAGGUCUGCGGACCAAUAUAGUAGGUACCCGAUUGGGUACAGUUUUGGUUUGGUUACCUUGAGGCAUACUCAGCUUUGCAUUCCUUACAGUAGCAGUUUUAUUUAUUGCUCAGUUAUCUGUUAUAGCUACUGUAGUUUCUUUGUAUCAGCACCUGUAUUUGUUUACCAUAUUGUUGUUUACCUCUUCCUGAUCCGGUGAGUACUCCUCGCCUUCAUCGGCUUGCGGUACCCACUGGGAGGGGAGACAUGUUUACAUGUUCUCACCUUCCCCACCAUUUUUCAGGUAUCGCCGGCGGUGAGAGUUGAGACAAGACGUGAGACACAUUCGUAGUGGUCGCUAGAGCUUCCGACCCAAUUUGUCGGUUUAGUUCCUACCCUGUUUACUUUUGUUAUUAAUAGCUUUAAUAUUACAUGGUUCAGUUGGUUUAUGUUAUUCGAAUUCAUGUGGUUUUGAAUGAACUAUAGAACUCGUGGAUUUUGUGAAAAGGGAAAAUAGUUUUCUACCUCUCGUGGUAGCAUUUUUUAAAAGAUAAAAGUUUCCGAGUAGGGAACAGUUUUCAAAAGGUUUUCUGUGGAUUUAUGUGUAGACAUUGAAUGUAAAUCUGUGAUGUGAAUGGUGAAUGUAUGAAUGUAUAGUUAUCUCUAUAUUCAUUUAGUUGUGGUUGUAUCCGGUUUACUUGUUGUACUUGUGCGACGCCGUGCAAAUACAGGGGAGACUCUGUCCGUGUGAAGAGUGGAUUUCCUGUAUUUGUGGCGGAUCUGGCAUACCCUGGGGUCAGAUUUUCAAAAACAAUUUAGACGCUUUUCCGCUAUGUUUCAAACUAAAAGGGAUCCCGGAGCGUGACAGGUUAUUAAUUAUAAUAUAUCUUAGCUUCAAUUUUGUCUGUUUUUUUUUUUUUUUUUUUUCCAAACCUGUAGCUCUGGGUUUGCUAAUGUAUGGAUAGAAUUUGGUUCUAGGGUUUAUUGGUUAUAAUUGCAAACAUGUGCAUCUGUUAGGGAUUGUUGCUUUGAUUUGCCGAGGUUUAAUUAGAUGUAAAUGCAACUUUCUUUAUUUAUGUUCUUUUUACUUUGUUUAUUGUGUAAAUGAAUGUUAUUUUAGUUUGAGAACUUUUGUUUUAAAUUACAAAUUAUGAUUGCUUUAACUCUUACUUCCAACCUAAGACUAUGUUAUGUAUAAUUUCUACUUGCUUCUGCUUUACAAGCAUUUUGUGGUUAUGUUACAAUUUUGCGAUGGAUAGUUGUAGUUUUAUGUUCAACUAGUUAAACACCUGCACUUCGCUGCGGGAAAAAAAAAUUACAAUAAAUAUACAAUAAAAAAGUAUUAAAAAAUAAAAAUUAUUUAUAUUAGAGAUUUAUUUAAAGUUAAGACACAACAAAUAAAAUAACUUUUUUUCUCUUAAAAAAUAAUUUUUUAGCGAAAAAUGCAUAAAAAACACUACGCCGCCAACGCCGUCGCAUCCUUCGUUCUCGACACCAUCGCGUCGGCGCUGGGUGGGCUUCUCAAAAUCGUCAAAUCAAGACCUAAGGUUUCUCGAAAGCAUACCUCCACUGGACGGUGAGUGACUCGUAGUAACUAACCAAAUAUAUAUGUAGUUAUAAGUAACCACAUAAUCUUUUAGAGAUCGUAAAUUCUAAAUAUAAAUAUUUAACAUUAUUAUCAAAAAAUCUAUAUAUAGUUAUAAGUAACCAAAUAAUCUUUUAGAGAUUGUAACUUCUAAAUAUAAAUGUUGAGAUUUUUAGUUUUUAAAUUAUCAAAAUAUGAGCAAUCAUAAUAUUAACUACUAUAUUAUUAAAACAAUGAGUAGUUAGUAAAAUCAACAAAUUUUAAUUAUUAUGUGAGAAAAAAUUUCUAUUUAUAAUUAUAAUAUUUUAAUUUUACACAUUGCUAUUUCAAAAUUUUAUAUAUUAACACUAUUUUGAGUAAAUUUUUUUUUGUAUACUGAUUCAAAAAAAUGUAUUAUAUGAGUAAUAUUAUUGAAAAAUAUUAUGUUGAAAAUUUUUUACUGUCUCAUUUUAGCAAAAUCAAAUACUAAAUUAAAUUUUUUUUUAUUUCAAUAUCAAAAAUUUACUUUUAUUUUUGUUACUGUACCAAAAAUUAAAAAGUUUCUCUUGUUCAAAUGAGCUCCAUAAUUAGCCCUCGCCCUGCCUCCGCUGUCCAAACCACCACCACCGCGACGCCUACCGACCCCCACCACCGCCACCGUCACCGCCACCACCACCGCCGCCCCAACCUCCAUCCCUUCAUUAGCCCUCGCCCCGCUUGCCGCCGCUCGCUCUCCACCCGCGCACCGGCCCUCCCCUCGGCGGCGGACAUCUCCGCCCUCGACGCCCCCGCGGCCCUCGCCGCGGCCUCCGUGGUCGUGGCCGCUGCUGUCGCCACUGUGCUGUCUCUUUCCAACCUCGGGCAGCGCUUAUGCUAAUGAAUGAUAGGGAGAGAAAGAGAGGGGGCUAAGAUAGAAAGGAGAAGGGAAGAGAGAGAGAGUAGGGGAGAGGAGGAGAGAGAAAGAAAGAGGGAGCUAGCUGGAGAGAAUUUUUUUGGGAAGGAGAGAGCUGUCUUGGAAAAUCCCAAGAAUAUCUUGGGAAAAGAGUGAAGAUUUUUUGGGAAAGGAGCUGGUCCAAGCUGGUCCACCCUUGGGAAGGACCCAAGAAGCUAAGGGAUUGCCACGUAUGCCUCAAGAAACUGUCAAAUUAUGUAUUUAUAUCUUGGAAAAAGAGAGAAGAUUUUUUUGGAAAGGAGCUGGUCCAAGCUGGUCCACCCUUGGGAAAGAGCUAAGAAGCUAAGGGAUUGCCACGUAUGCCUCAAGAAACUGUCAAAUUAUGUAUUUAUAUCUUGGAAAAAAAGAGAAGAUUUUUUUAGAAAAGAGCUGGUCCAAGCUGGUCCACCCUUGGAAAGGAGCCAAGAAGCUAAGAAAUUGCCACGUAUGUCUCAAGAAACUGUCAAAUUAUAUAUUUGUAAGGAUUUUACUUCUCUUUAAGAUUUCUCCCAAUCUGCAUGAGAUAUAAAACUCUACUUAAUUUGGUUAUGCUUGAAUUGAAUGUAAUUACACGUUUAAUAUACUAUUUCAAUACUUUCUGUCAUGUGGAAUUCAAAGUAAUUUCAUUUUUGCAGCUUAGGUAAAGCAAAAUGUUGGGUUACAUUAUUUUUUAUGUAUUAUUUAUUAAUUAUUAUAUCUAAUUUAUUAUGAAAUAUAAAUAAUAUUUUGCAAAUAUAGGGCUAGGGCAAAGUUGGCAUUUUAUAUAUUCAACCCCCACAUUUUUUUCAUUAUUCUCUACUAUUUUAUAAAAUUAACUAAAUACAAAUUCAUUUAUUCCUUAGAAUAUCAGCUUUAUAAACCAAACACAAUUUUACUUUUAUCCCUAACUAUUCUGAAAUUGCAAGCUAUCCUAGAUAUAAAAAAAUUUAUGCCAAUUAAAUUUAAAUCCCGCCCAAACUGGGCCUUAGUAAACUAUUAAGAGCAGCCGUUAUCUCUUUAAAAUUAUUAUUUUGCUCUUUUCGAAUAUAUCCUUCUAUCGUCACCAGUAUUUUUUUAUUUGCUCUUAAAUUAGAGGUAAAAGAAGUAUUUUGACUUUUUACAUUUUUAGAUAUACUCACUCUUUUACUGUCACUCAUUUUUUUUAUUUGUCCUUAAGUUAGGAGAAAAGAGUUACUUUGACUUCUUUUUAAUUUUCAUAGAAAUUUAAUCCAGAUUUAAUGUAAGAUGACUUAACGGAGUGAAUAAUGAAAAAAUAUAUGAGGGAAACAUUUGAAAAAAAAGAAAUAUAUAAAAUAUUUUAAAAGUUUUGAAAAAAUAUAUUAGAUAUUAUUCCAAAAUAAAAACAUUAAAUAAACGGCCUAGAAAAAUAGUGGAGGGAUAUAUAGUCUGAACCCUGGUCUGAAAUCCCAUUCCUCUGCGUAAUUCAUAUCGCUCUCUUCUCUCUUCUUCCCUCCCACUCCAAUCGCCGCUCUCCAUGUCGGGGGCGGAGGAAGCAUGGACAAAGCUAUGACUCAAUUAUUAGGGAGGGCCAAAAUACAUACAAAUCAAAAUUUUAACAAAUAAACAAGAUUUACCUAAUCAAACUUUUGAUUAGAAAAUAGAUUGACUAAAUAAUUAGUGUAAAAAAGCAUUACCCCUUUUUUAAUUUAUACUUACUUAACUUCUAAUUAUUUUAUUUAUAUUAUUUCACUCAAAUAGUUUUAAAAUUUACUAAAUCUAAUAAUAAUUCAGUCAAUGAUUUAUUUUUUUAAUUUUUAGUAAAUACAAUUGUGACAAUUGAUGAUUAUUAGUUGACAGAGGUAUUAACUUUUAUAUAAACUUUAAUUUAAUUAAAUAAAAAAAUUAUCUAAAAUAAUUAGAAAUUAUGAAGGUACUAAAUAAAAAAAUAAAAAUAAAUUCAGAGUUGAGAGAGCACUAUGUUAGCGCCAAAUUCUUUUUUAAAAGAUAGGUCGGUCAAUAGUCAAUAUAUUUUUGAGAUUAAAUAAAAAUAUAUUCUUUAAAUUUUUUAUAUAUAAAAGACUAUUAUGUAAAUUAUGGAAAGUCCGUGGGCCAUGGCCCUCCUCAGCCUUAAGAUGGCUUCGUCCCCCACUUCUACACUGUCAUACUUACAUCACCUCAUUAAUAACAAGCCAAUCACAUUCAUUCUUUUCGAACAAAAGAACAAUAAAAAUAUUUUUUUAUAAUCAUGAUGGAACAUAUGCCUCUAAAAGGAUACAUUUGAUUGGUUUGUGACGUGGUCAUUGUCUCGAACCCUGAUUAAUUUAAUAAAAUUAUAAUUAGUGCCCGCUAAUCACCAAUCUAAUGACCCCGAACUCAUCCAAAGUAUGCGCCCGCGACUGAUUGCGGUUAAUGGAUCCGGGUAUGGUCCAUAACGGAUCUGGAUCCAUAAGUCUGGCUACCAAAGAAAUUUCCCAAUGAAAAGGAAGCAGCUUUUUCGUCGGAGAACAAUUUCUCUGAUGUGUCGGGUUUUAAUUAGUCGUUGCUUGACGACGUGGCAGACAUGUUCCACAAGAACAAGUCAAAAAUAUUUUGCUGACCUUUUCAACUUUUUACUCAUUUUCAUUUAAGCUAUUUUCGUUACUUAAAUUUAAAAAUUCCUUAAUAAAUAUAAUCCGAUUAAAAAAAAAAAAAAUCUAAUAUCAGGGCAAGGAUGGCGGCGGAAGGGGCGGCGGCGGCGAGGAACGCGAAGGAGUCGCUGGAGCUUGCGUUCCAAAUGUCCGAAAUAUUAGGGGCGGGGCUCGAUCGCCACACCCUCUCUCUCCUCGUCGCCCUCUGCGACCGCGGCCUCAACCCCGAAGCCCUCGCCGCUCUCGUCCGCGAGCUCUCCCCUCCUCCCUCCUCCUCUGCCUCCGCUUCCGCCGCCGCUUCCGAAAAAUCAGCCCUAAGGUCGGAUCCAUCUCCUCUUCUACUCUCUAUUCUCUAUGUAAGAGAUUUAAGAUUUUAGGCCUUCUUUGCCAUCAUUGCUGCUUAAAGACUUCAUCCUGAUUAUUCUUUGUGAGUCUCCAACUGUAAGAAAAUGACGAUCCACGGUGCACGUGCGCAGCACAUGACUCUUUCAACGAAGACGUUAAUGGAGUGCUUAACGAAAAACGAAAAUAGAAACCACAUGAUACUUCAGUGAUGUCGUUAAAAUCAAAUGGUACUGAAUGAAAAAAUGAUAAGCCGUAAAGGGGCUAUGAACUAUGAAUACUUAAAAUUUAUUACACUCGGACUAUAAUUUUAGAUUCAAAUCUUGUAAGUUAUGUUUAGCCCGAGGAUCUAAAUAGGAACCGUCAAUUUUAUUUUAGAUUAACAGUAGAAUUAGAUGUUACAGAGAAUAAUCCUGACAUCCGUAUUAUAGAUCAUAUGAAGAACCAUACCCUUAAACCAUAAAAUCAGAAUUAUGAUGAGAAAAAAAAAAGGCCAUAUAAACUCAUUGGUGAUUCAUUCCCAUCAGCCCACCAAUUCAAUCGAAAUCCCCUCUUUCUCCAUCCACUCCUUUCAUUCUCUUACUUUCCUCCCCAUCGCGAUCGUGCAACGGUGAAGAGAUAUCCUCUAAGGUAGACCCGUCAACAUUCUCACUAGUAUGUGCAUUCAUCACACUAAUUUUGUCGAUUUCAACAGCUUGAUAGGCUCACUCUCUGCUGUUCCAUUUGUAGAAUUACUACGACAGUGCCCUUAGAGGUUCUUAUUACAAGGCCAAAGCAAGGGGUUAUGGCGGUAGUGGAGUCCUUGUAGCUGCUUUUGUAGCUGAUUCUUUCGACGACCAAUGCGCUUAGCGUUUGCGAGCUGACGAGCUCGUUCAAUCCUUUUUUGAGCUCCCGCCAUUUCUUGCUGAGGAGUUUCUUCUUCAUCUUGAUGUUCCAAUAGUUCUUAACGUCGUUGUCGGUUUUACUUGCUAGCUAUGCGGCUAUUAUGGACCACCUUAACACAUUUAAAAGCAGCUGAUUAGUGCUAAUUAGGCUAUAUACAUGGUUAAUAAUGGGAUUAGAUGGAUGUUAAAGGUAUUUGCUCCCAAUACUGAUGUAGAGGCUGCAAAUAAUUUUAUCUUCUUUCGGCAAGAGGUUGUCAUGUUUAAUGUUGGUUAUUAGAUAGUUUAGCCACCUCAAUCUGCAGCUUUUUCCACAUCUCUUGAACCCUGCAAUUUUCAUCGAGAGAUUAGUACGUAGUUACAAACAUGCAAUGUUAUUGGUUUGGCAGUCAGCUUUUGGAACAAUUGCACUAUUUUGAAAUAAAGUAGCAGUUUGAUGUUCGACAGACAAAAUGUCUGGGAAGUCACCCUUUUGUGGAAGCUAAAAUUGACUUCUAAGUCUUAAAAGGGAAAGCUUUGUUUAAUACUUCUAUUUCUUUAGAGGCAAAGGGGUAAUUGGACUGUAAAAACUAAAUAAUGAUACUUCUUUAAACAGCUUUUCUCGAGCACCAGCCUCAUUAAAAUUCCAGCUAGACCAAAUAGAACCUAGCAGUCAGUGGACCUCUCUCUAUCAUGCUUGUGAUUAUGCAACACUACAUCAGUAUACAUUUUUUGUAUAUUUUGGUGUUGUGAAGAAGAAUUAAGAAGCUAAGCUUUGGGCUAACCAAUCUUGUGAGGAGGUGCAAUCUAGUUGCCACCAAUUCCAUUCUCCUCAAUGUAAGCCUUGAGCUUUGCAUCCUCUUCUGGCAACCAUGGGCCAUUCUGGACACCUGCCUUGUCACAGCAUGGAGCCCUUCCCAUUUCUCUCUCUCUCUCUGUCUCUUUCUCUCGAGCAAGUUGACUUGUUGUGAUGUGAUGUUUGAUAUGAACAUGAUAGAAAAAUUUUAAUGUUCAUCGCUCGUCUUUUUAAUAUUAUUGAGUCUCAUAUAUAGCUUAAAUUAAUAUUGGGUAAAUAUUUGGUUGCUUGCUCCUCAUUUGUAUCACUUCUUUUGUUUUUGAGUAUUUAUUGCUAUUGUUUGACCCGUAACCUGCGAAAAAAUGUCGCAUAUGAAGGCACAUUUUGAUGCAGCUUUUCACCGUCUCCAGUGGUUAAGUUGUUUCUGAGAAACUAUAGCCUGAACCAUGUCUACCACAUCAUUCACGAAAUGGAAUUGUUUUAGUCCAACACGACUAGAACGACAAACUCUUCUUUAUGAAGCUUACAUCGUAUAAGAUAGGUGUAUCGCAUGCCAAUCAUAUCAUCCUAUAUUAUUUAGACUACUUUUAUUAGGUUAGAGAUAUUUUAAUAAUUUUUAAAUUUAAUAGAUGAAAAUUGAAAAAUAUAGUGAAACUUGUGUUUUGUGUCAUGAUUUUUGAUUGACCUUUUAAGUUAGAAUACUACAGUGUGAUUUAGAGAACACAGGAGCCCUGAUUCCUGAAAAUUAACCUAUACAAGCAGCAUAAUAUAUGAUGGCUGUAAGUAUUAAUUUGCUGUUUGGAAAAGGAAUACAAAGCAUGUGCUUUUGCAUUUUAUGAAGCUUACAUCAAGAUAGAUGUAUCGCAUUUGCGAAUCAUAUUAUGCUAUAUUAUUUAAACUAUUUUUACUAGAUCAGAGAUAUUUUCAUAUUUUUUACAUUCAAUAGAUAAUAAAUGAAAAAUAUAGUGAAUCAACUUCUGUUUUAUGUUAUAAUUCUUGAUUGACUUUUUGGGUUAGAAAACUGCUUGGUAAUUUAGAAAAAUAAAGUAAGAACACGAGCCCUGAUUCCUGAAUAUUAGCCUAUACAAGCCGCACAAUAUGUACUGGCUGUAAAUGAUAUCUUUUGCUUGGAAAAAGGACACAAAGCUUUUGUUUUACAUUUCGACUAAUAAAAGCUUUCAUAUAUUAUAUUCAAUAUAGCCAAUAAUUUCUCAUCUUUUAGGUAAACUAAAUCAAAUGGAGAAAGACCUAUUUCGUACUUAUGAGUUGGUAGUGGCUAUUGUGUUCGAAUAAACCUAGUUGGUGAUUUAUUGCUGAACUUAGAAGAAAUAUUGUCUAUGGUUAGUUAGCAUGAAAUAGUACCCUACUUUGGCCUUGAAUAUUUCUUAAUGGAGUUGUUGGAUUACCAAUUUCUUUGGUACCAAAAAAUCUCUUGCUCUUGUUAAAACUUGCAAUACUUUAUUCCGUAAAUGUUUAGCCCUUAUUGACACUUUUUGUCAAUGCUUUAGAUCACCGAUUAAUCACAUGAUGCACAUAUUAGUGCGUUUAAAAUAUUGUUUAAUUAAUAUUUCCUAAUAUGCAUGGCGGCUAUUUCAUAUUCUGAUUGAGAACUCAAGAUUAUGAAUUGUUCAGAUACUAUUCUUCUAUCGUGAGUAUUGCCGGAUAUGAUUUAGAUUUGCUUAUUCUAUUUUAAAUAGCUCUUUUAUGUUUCCAAUAUAUCAGGAAUUUGUUAGAAUUCGUGUUAACGUAAGAAAAAUAAACCUAUAGGUGGUAAAUCCUAGAUUAGAAAGCUAGAUAACACAGAUAAAUAUGUAAGCCCCACUUAAAUAGAGCUGUUUUUACUUUUUUUUCUGCUAAAGUAGGCAACCGACUUACAUGCAAGAGUUGUUUGACUACAUUAGUGAAUAAAGAAAAUCACCCCUCUAACACAAUAUAAGUUGAAAUAAUAAUAUCCAAUAAAGCAAAAUGAUAAAACUUAGCAAAAUUAAGUGAUCAAUAAAACAUAAUGAAAUGAAUUUAAUAGUUUUGUGACUUCUAUACCAAAAGAAGCAUAAUUGAUGAAUUUUGUGACUUCUAUACCAAAAGAAGCAUAAUUGAUGAAGCAUAAGUACCAUAGUAGCUUCCAAAGAAGCAGAUUAUAGGAGUUGUCACCAUGGACUAGGGGUGGAAACGAGCCGAACUUGAGCGAGCUUACCUAAGCUCAACUUGGCUUGAAAUUAAUUUCGAGCCCAAAUUUAGGUUCAAGCUCGGCUUGAAAUUAAUUCGAGCUGAGCUCGAGCGAGCCUAACUUCGAGUCGAGCGAGCUCGAGCCCUAAACUGGCGGCUUGAAAUUCUUAACAUUGUGCCAUCUAUAGUUUAAUUUUUAUAAAAUAUUAUCCAAAAUUUGAUACAAAAAAUGUCUAAUAAUUCAACAUACAAAAUGAAUGCAUGAAAUACGAUAUUAUAAUAUUUAAAAAUAAUUAGGGGAAGCAAUUCUGCCAGCAAGUGAAAGAGAGAGAGAGCAAUUAGAGUAGGGUUUUGCUGGUUUGAUUUUAUUGGCCCAAUAACCUAAACUCUAUAUACAUAUAAUUGAAAUACAUAAUAUAUAUUAUUAUAUAUAAUUAAAAUAUAUAUAUAUAUAUAUAUAUAUAUAUAUAUAUAUAGUUGNCUCUCUCUCUCUCUCUCUCUCUCUCUCUCUCUCUAUAUAUAUAUAUAUAUAUAUAUAUAUAUAUAUAUAUAUAUAUAUAGGCUGAGGCUACUGUACUCAUAUGAGUAUAGAGCUCUUUGUUCUCAUAACUUUUUGGCCGUUCAGAUGAAAAAAUGUGCGGUUAGGAUGAGAGUGGUUACGGUUAGAUUGAUAGUGGGCCUCCUAGGAUUAAGUAGUUGGUUGGUUGAAUAGUAUAAUCUAAUGGGUGAAAAUGAUUAAAUGAUAGAUCAAACGGCAAAAAACUUAUGAGUAUAAAAAACUCUAUACUCAUAAUAAUAUAGUAGCUGGACUCUAUAUAUAUAUAUAUAUAUAUAUGCUGGGGCUACUAUACUCAUAUGAGUAUAGAGCCCUUUGUAUUCAUAAGUUUUUAGCUUUUGGAUGAAAAAAUAUGCGGUUAGGAUGAGAGCGGUUACGGUUAGGUUGAUAGUGGGGCCCCUAGGGUUGAGUAGAUGGUUGGUUGAAUAGUAUAUUCUAACGGGUGAAAAUGAUUGAAGGGUAGAUCUAACGACAAAAAAUUUAUGAGUACAAGAGGCUCUAUACUCAUAAGAGUAUAGUAGCCGGAUAUAUAACCGCCGCUAUACCCUCACCCUGAGCUGGCUCAGGUACGCGAGUCGAGGGUGCGGGCACAUCACGUCCGUCCGUCACCGUUGCGGCCGCCGCCGCAGCCUGCCGCUCCAAGAGCUCCUGAAACCGCUCGAAUCGGGUCUCCUGGCACUGCACCACAUUGGUCAACGCGGCCACUUGCGCCUGCAACCGAUCCAUCACACUCAGUUCAGCCUGCUCGGGCACCUCCGGAGUCGGUGCCGGAGUAGAUCUACAUGUGUAGCGUCUUGGAGACAUUAGUCCCUAAAACGCGAAUACUUGGUCAGUCAUCUUAACCAAUUAUCUCGUCGAAAUUAUGACACAUGACGACUCAACCCCAAAAUCGGGCGGAAGCACACAAGUGUACUCGUUCUAGACUCUUGGUAUCAUGUCGUCGGCCGCCGACACAACCACCUCAAGAUAAGAUAUAUAUAUAUAUAUAUAUAUAUAUAUAUAUAUAUAGUCUGGCUACUAUAUUUUUAUGAGUAUAGACCCCUUUGUACUCAUAAGUUUUCGACUGUUAGAUCUACCCUUUGACUAUUUUCACUCAUUAAAUCAUACUAUUCAACCAACUGUCCAUUCAACCAUAGGGGACCACUAUCAUCCUAACCAAGGACCAUUAUCAUCCUAACCGGGGACCACUAUUAUCCUAAACGCGCAUCUCUUCAUCCAACGACCAAAAACUUAUAAAUACAAAGGGAUCUAUACUCAUAAGAGUAUAGUAGCCCUAGCCUAUAUAUAUAUGUAGAAUUAGGCUAUUAUACUAUUAAUAGUACCAAGCGCUUUGUGCUAUUAGGUUUUCGGCCCUUGGAUGAAGAGAUGUGCGGUUAGGAUGAUAGUGGUCCCUCAGGGUUGAGUAGGUGGUUGGUUGAGUAGUAUGAUCUAAUGGGUUGAAAUAGUCAAAGGGAUAGAUCUAACGGCAGAAAACUUGAUAGCUCCAAGCACUUGAUACUAUCGAUAGUAUAUGUAUAUUUACAUGUGUGUGUAUAUGUAUAUAUACAUGUAUAUAUACACAUGUAUAUAUACACAUGUAUAUAUGUAUGUGUAUAUACACAUGUAUAUAUGUAUGUAUAUAUACACAUGUAUAUAUACAUAUAUAUAUAUGAGUGUGUGCGUGUGUGUGUGUGUGUGUGUAUCAAGGUUUAAAGUGUCGUGGCACGGGGGCGUGCCGUUACGUCCCUGGCACGGUACGACACGGGCAUGCUUGCGUGCCGACAUGUGGCACGCCGGCACGGGCACGCUUGCGUGCCGACACGUGGCACGCUUGCGUGCCGACAGAUACGCACGACCUCUACUGGCAUACUUUGGUACGGAUUUAUUUCAGUUUUUUUGAUUCCAAUGAACUCUUAUAAUCAAAAUUUUAAGUGCCCGUUGGCACGGGCCGUAUCCACCGUGCCGUACCGUGCCAACAAGAUACCGGUACGAUACAGACCCCGUACCGAUAGCACAGCUUAAAAUCUUCUAUUCUUUAAAUUAAUAAGUAAUUUCCUCAAUAAAGUUCAAAAGAUGUGAUAAAAAAAACAUAAUAAAUAGUUACAAUAUUUUGUUGCUAAAGAAAAUAAAUAUUUAAUGCUAUUAUGUGUCGGCAUACAAGAAUUUUUUUGACUGGCACGCAUCGGCACCGCUCGGCGGGCACCGUGCCGUACCGUGCCGGCAAGUUUCCGGCACAACCCCGCGCCACGGUACUUAAAUCCUUGUUUAUAAUAUUAUUUUGAAAGAUUUAAAUAAAUAAUUAUGAAUAUUUGCUAUAUAUAUCUUACUAUACUCAUCAAUUAAUAUGCAUGUAAGCUUUUUGUAAGUAAAAUACAACUANGGGUUCGGGUUCGGGUCGGGUACAAUCAAAAUCCAUAUCCAAAUCCAUAUCCGUCGGGUUUCUAUUUUUGAUAUUCAUAUCCGAAUCCGUAUCCAUAUCCAUCGGAUAUAUCAGUUUCAUUCGGAUUCGUAUUCGGAUAAAAUUUCGAGUAUUCAUAUCCAUUGACAUCCCUAUCAGUAGCCUUCUCUCUCUCUCUCUCUAUAUAUAUAUAUAUUAUUUUAUUAUUAUUAUUAUUAUUAUAUAUAUGUCGAGCGAUAAACUUACUUCAAUUACCAGUUAGAUACCAAUUUUAAUUAUCGAAUUAAUGGCAACAAAUAAAAUUUUACAAAAAUAUAAAAGCCAAUUAAAUAUCUAUUGCUGUUAAUUUUUUGUAGAGUAGGCCUUUCAACGUAUGGAGUAAUGCUUAAGAUACCUCAUCAUUUGUUAAUUUGUACAGUACAAAUUAAUUUGCAUGUGACACACAAUGUACUGGUACAUAAUCCUAUAACCGUACAAUUUGUGUGUCACAACCCUAAAAUGCACAUUCAUCAACUUUUUUUUUUUUAAUAAAGAUCUUUAAAAGUAGUACUUGUAGUAAUACUCAAAAUAUAUAAAUUGCGGCAUCUCCCUCGAUCAAGGUUUCCUUUAUUAGUGCACAAUAAUACUAUGAAAAUGUGAAAAACUAACAGUAACAACAUAAAUAUAGUAUAGUAUAUAUUCUCUGUACAUUAACCACACAGGGACGAGAUGCACUACAAGGACAAAAUUAAAACACCCAAAUUCACAUACGAACAUGCCAUAAAUUUGAAGUUCACAUGGUCUUUAAUUUACACUAGAAAACAUAAUACCUUAAAAGAUAGAAAAAGAUGAAAACACAAUACAUAUUUAUGACCAUAAUGCACACCGAGCACAUCCUUUUUUUUCUAAUUGAACCAAGUCUUCGACAACAAAAUUAAAACACUCGCAUACUAACAUGACAAUAAUUCUAGAUCUACAGAGUCUUCUGCACCGCGCAAAACAUAAUACAUUUUUUUUAAAAAAAGCGAAAAUAUAAUACGUCUUAUGAUCACAAAGCACACCAUGCACACCUUUUUUUUGGUUUUUUUUUUUUUUUUUGGUUUUUUUUCUUGUGGAUGGUCAAACUAAUUUUUUGACAAUACCAAUUAACAAUCCACACAAUAGCGAUAUACACACCCAUUAAUAAACCCUUUCUUCUUCCCAUCUCCAGAAGCUAAUGCCCACGAGUUAUCUGCAAAAAAAUGGUGAAACAGUUAUAGAAUUAGAACACUAAAGUGAGCACAAUGAGAAAUAAAGUGAUACAUAACGCUCAAUUAUACUAGAAGGAUACAAUUUGAAUUUCAAGAUCAUGAAUCUUAUCCUCCGAAUUUUGGGAUUCAUAGAAAAUUACUGCAAGAAAACUGAUAUAAAUAUUUUUUGACCACACUUUUGAAUCUGCAGGAAUUAAAGAAAGUAAUGCAUCUGAACCAUACUGAUUUAGCAUUAAGAUUCGAAAAGGACAGAGAUUAGAGAAUAGGACUGUAGGAUUGCAUCAUAACACCUGCAAUAUAAGCCCCAAUCCUAGAACCAAAUUAUAUGCAAACACUUAAAUACUGAUGAUUCUACAUUUGAUGGCCUGAAAGAGAAAAUUUUGAAAGAGUAGCUUACAUAGAAGCGCAUGAUGAGUACAGAAGCAAAUGCAUCCACUUACAACAGCGAUUAAUAUUAUUGUCUUCGAUAGAUAGACGAGUGAUUAUAAAGUAUUUCAAUCUAAAAACAAGUCAUUUGAUCAUUUUAGUUCUAAUCUCAAAACACACAGGCAAGGUGUAGAAAAGUUCGAAGUACUUCAAGAUUUUCACUGAUUCAUCAAGAGACUGUGAUCAACUUUUGCACUAUUGAGGAGGAAAAAAGAAUAGAAAGAUCAGGAAUUCAAAAUUUGCCAAUUUGUAAGAACAGGAAGGCGAUACAUACCUCUUUUCUACAUUCCAGAGCGUGAUGUUCUUUAGUUGUCAUCUACAGAGAUGCCGCCAAGCAUACGCACUCCCGAAAUCGGGUCGGUGUUUACGGAUCCCUCCUCUAAAAGCGGACAUCCGUGUAUUACAAAACUCUUGAGUGACCCGGGCAAAUUCGUCACUGAUUGUAGCUUUGAGCAGUUCCGCAGAAAGAGAAAUUCUAGAGAGCGCAGUUCCUGCAAAUCCACCAAGGAUGAGACGCCAGAACAAUCCCAGAUACUCAAGGAGUGGAGAGAUCGGAGGUUGCCAAACUGUAAUGAUGCUGUUCGCAUGUGACAUUGAUCAAUCCAAAGUUCAGAUAGACGUGGCAAAUCUGCAUUGGCUAGGAUUACAUCUACUACUGCACAAGACUGAAAAUGGAUAGACUGCAACGAGGACGACAGGAAAGCAGUUUCACUGUCCAAGCAGGGGCAUCCACUUAGAAUGAGAUCUGUGAGACAAGGGAGGGAUCCUAUACCACCCAGGGAAGUAAGAGCCCAGCAGUCGGUCAGACUUAAAGUUUGGAGUGAUUUUAAGUUGGCGAGGACAUCCGCAGACGGUAGACGGGUUAUCAUUUCGAGAUCUUCUAAGAACAGCUUCGUAAGGAAGGGGAGGUUUUGUUGUAGGCAUACCGAGAAUGCGUCGUCAGUAAUGUUGCAUCCCUCGAGCCAGACCAUAGUAAUGGUAGAGGGCAAAAGCAAUUUGGCCUCAUUUUGUCUGCUGUAAAUUAAUUCCGUUUUUCGCUCAUGCGUCUCCAACCAUCUCCCCCACACAGCAGCAAUAUCCGCAUCGGCGGCAGGCGCAAUGUUGCUACACUCUCGGCCAUUCAUCCUCCCCUCUAUGUAAUUCCUGACUUCUCUGAAGACUAACUCAUCUUUAUAUUGGUGUCGGAACCAUUCCUGCGUCCUGUUCCUCAUGACCUCUCUUACGGAUCUCUUGUCAUCUUGGCUCAACUGCAGGUCUUCAUUUGUUACGAAGGUCAGAAAUGGCGCACAAAUUAUUGUGAAAUUUUCGAGUAUCGGAGGAAGGGUGUGUAAUGCUUCAAGUCUAUAAAGAUGCAAGAGCUCAAGUGAUCUGCAACAAGGGUAAAGCUGGUCCAUAGGUGGGAGCUCUUGGAGCAUUUGACACCUCCUCAGCGCAAGUUUUUGAAUGUUGGAUGUUUGAUUUUCGGGCCAAGACAGCCACGACUGUCCUCGAUACCCAUCUAGAUGAAGGCCGGUAAGAUUGGGAGGCAAUUGGAGACCUGCAAGAAUUUCAGCAUCCAAAUUAGAAUUUACAUUAUCCUUACCGUAGCGCGGCUUGCGCCAUUCCAACCGGAGCGUAUCAAGAUGCUUCUUUUCUUUCAAAUUGGCUGCAAUGGCGCUAUCCUUGCUCUCAACAUUCUCGAGAUUAUCAAUGCACAAGCGUCCUCGAAGUUCAUUCAAGUUCUGUAACUGCUCUAGCUCAUAUCCUUCUUUCCUUUUCACCAGAAAAUUUUCUAGGCCUUGCAAGGAAGUUAACUUGCCGAUCUCGGCUAUGCCAGAAGGCUGUAGAUACCUCAAGCUAACCAAGUUAUUAAGGAAUUUAGGAAGGGAGCUUGCGUUUUUUACUUCCAACACCUGUAGCUGAUACAGAGUGGACACCGACUCCGGCAACACGCACUUACCAGUACUUGAAACUUGUAGGAUGCGAAGGUGCUUCAUUUCACUUAUAAACUUUGCCAAAUUUUCUAGAUUUAACUCCGAAUCUUUUAGAUUUAACUCCGAAUCUUCUAGAUUUAACUCUGAAUCUUCUAGAUUUAACCCCAAAACCAGCACGCGCAAUUUUUUUAAGCUGAAUUGUUUUAAGCUGUUGGAGAUGCCGGUCGCAACAUCUCCUUUUGAGUUGAUCCUUUCUCCUGUGACGAUUAGGGUGCGGAGUUUCUCUAGCUUGCAAAUUUCCUCCUUAUUCUCGUUCAGUUUGUUAGCCGGUAUGCACAGAUGGCGAAUAGUUGACGGUAUCUCGCUCUGACGAUUACCUUCUAUUCUAACACAAUAAUUGCGAGUAACCUUUUCUGCUAGAUCAUACAGCAAUUCAUGCAAAGUAUAGUAGGAGCCAUGAUUCUCUGACUCAAAGAAGUAGUGGACUAUGGUAGAAUGCUGAAUGUAGAAUCUGGGCACCAACUCAUUUAGGUAACCGUCACCUGCAUCCUCCACCCUCUCAUUCGGAUCAUCCGGCUUGAUAAAACCUUGCGCCAUCCAGAGCUGAACCAGUUCUAAAGCUUCAAACGUGUGGCCUCUAGGAUACAGGCUACAGUAUGAGAAGCAACGCUGAAGAUGUGCAGGCAAAUGCUGAUAACUCCACAUCAGCGCUUUGGUUCUGUCACCGGACCAGUCCUUGUCUGCAAUCUUUCUCAAAUAUGCAUGUAAAUUACCUUGUGAACCAAGGCGGCGAGCCAGCUGCGGAGCGAUUGUGUCGCCAACCAUCUUGGCCGCCGUAGGGUCCUUGUACAACUUCUCAGCGAUUGUCUUGCAUUCCUCUUUUAAUUCUUCUCUUAAGUGAGAAUCGAAUUUCCCGCUAGGCAAUGCGUAGUGAAUGAAAAGAUCCACAAAGUCAUUCUCUGCUAAAUCUUCCAACCGACAAAUGUACUCUACAGCAGCACCAUUAGCAGCACCAAUCUUUGUCGGCGCAUCGUCCGUUUGAGACGUAACUAAAAUCUUGCUCCCUGGCAGACAACAUUUGCUUAAACAUAUGAAUAGUGUAUCCCAAUCAUUUUCGUGGCACCAAACAUCAUCUAUCACGAGCAGGAACUUCUUCGCGUUUAUCUUUUCGCUUAUUUUCAGUUGUAGCGCUUGUAGCGAGUUAAGGUUACCAAGAUCUUGAGGCUCACUUGCAGUAGAAGCCUGUAGUAUGAUCUCUUUCAUAAUUUCGGAUGCGCUGAAGUUGCGAGAUGCGUAGACCCACAUGAUGGGAUCAAAAUGUUGUUUGUCACCUAAUUCGCCCUUCAACUGGUCAAAAACGUACUGUGCGAGAGUAGUCUUCCCGACCCCCGGGCGACCGACUAUGGCAAUUAUAGGUAUAGGUGCGCCUGCUGCAGGUUCCGUUUUCAAAAGCCGAAUGAUUUCUUCACGAUUUUUGUCGCGGCCGAACACUUUCGGCGGAGGCAGCGAGGUGGUCUCUCUACUCCUGUCGGGGACUGCAGCUGUCUGGUCGGGCUGGGCGCCUAACAAAGUGCGGAGUUUCUCGGCUUCGCCGGCGAUCUUUUCAAGCUUGUUCAGGCUUCGCUUCAGCUUGAUCUUUUGAGGCGACAGUAUAUCCCGACCGCCUUUUAAGACAGGUAUAACCCAUUUCACAUGUUUUGGUAUGUGAAAAAAAGAACGUACCGGAUUACUUCGCCUCUUACUGCUCCUUGCUGCCCCCGCAGCCUUGCGUUUGAGGCGGUCGUAGUUGAGGAGGUCCAGCGCGUCCUCCGCGCCGUCGUAAGCGUCUUUCAGCCUCUGCAGCCAGCCCUCCACCUUCCUCCGGUGCGGGCUGUCUUCCGCCUUCUCGAUCACCGAUUUCAGCACCGGGAGGACGUUUCGCUCCAUCUCUUCCAGCUUCUUAUCCGCGUUGAUGCCUAAGCUGGCGAAGCCUUCGUCGAGCAGCAUCUUCACGAGGGGAGACGCCACCCAUCCCAGCGCUGCUACUCCGAUCGAUUCUAGUACUGGCAUGGUUGUGUUGCAACUAACAAUCGUAGGAAUAGAAAAUUAAAAAUAUAAAACCAGAGAGUAAAUAAAUUAAUUAGAUGAGAAGAAUGAAUGAUUGAUUGUACGGUCAUACAUCAUACAUAGUGCAUUGACUUGACUUGACACGCACAAGUCAAUCUAAACUUAUUAAAAUCCUUCUUACAAAUUUAAUUAACAGUAAAAGUAUUUAUAAAAUAAAAAAAUAAAAUUCCCUACCAUAGUAUGGCACAAAAUAAAAAACUCUAUCCUUAUUAAGAAGGCGACAGGGCUCAAGUAAUUAAGUUUGUCUGUUUUUUUUAAUAUUUUCGUGUAAAUUUAAUUCUUCUCCGUCAGUAACUCUAAUUAAGUAGAGUUUUUAUCUUGCGAAAUUAUUUGGAGACUUGAACGUGUUCCGACCGAAGAUAUUAUAAUUUUUUUAUAUUUAGAUUCUGUAAUAUAUUUUAACAUUAUUAUGAAUAAGCCUAAAAUUUAAUAUGAUCAAUGAAUUUUGAUGUGGUUUCAUGUGACCGGUUAGGUAAUAACAUUAAUUAUCUGUACUAUCUUAUUGACUUGACUUACUAAACAGUGACAAUAGAUACUACCUUUUCUUUUAUAUAUAUAUAUAUAUAGUCCGGCUACUAUACUCUUAUUAGUAUGAUCACUUUCGUACUCAUAAGUCGUUUUCGAUAAUAGAAUUUUCUAAUCGACGAUCCAUACCAUUAAAUAUUUUAUAGAAUAUUUAAAAUUUCUAGAAAUCAAAUUUCAUAAUUUUUCGACAUCAUUUACCUUAUAAUCAAAAGCUCACAAAAUUGACAAUUUUUUACGACCGGUAUGAAAUACUUACUACUUUAACGGUGCAAAAGAAUUGGAAUAGGUUGAUUUUUUGAUAGAAAAUUCUAUUCACUAACUAGAUAAAGAUCAAUAACUCCGAUCUUAAAUUGAAGAAUCCGAUCAUCCAUUUUUAAGACGUUCGAUUUUGACCGUUCAUUUUAUGCCCGCUUGAUGGACUUUAUUAUGAUUUCGAAAAAUUACGAAAUUUAUUUUCUAGAAGUUUCAAAUACUCUAGAUCAUAUUUAAUAGAGUGGAUCAUCGAUUUUGAAGCUCCAUCAUCAAAAACAACUUAUAAGUACGAAGGGCCCAAUACCCAUAAGAGUAUAGUAGCCAUACUAUAUAUAUAUAUAUAUAUAUAUAUAGAAUUAGGCUGAAAUACUAUCAAUAACAUCAAACUAUUGGUGCUAUUGAUUUUUUAACCCUUGAAUUGAAAAAUGUGCGGUUAAGAUGAUGUGGGCCCUUUAGGGUUAAGUGGGUGGUUGGUUGAAUAGUACAAUUUAACGGGUAAAAAUAAUCAAAGAGUUAAAUCUAACGAUGAAAAACUCGAUAGCACUAAAUCCUUGGUGCUAUCGAUAGUAUACCAGUCGAACUCUCUCUCUCUCUCUCUAUAUAUAUAUAUAUAGAGAGAGAGCUAAGCUGGUAUACUAUCGGUAGUACGGAGGCCUUCGUUCUAUCAAGUUGUUUUCAAUGAUGCGGCUUCUAAAUCGACGAUCGGUUCCGUUAGACUUAAUUUAUAUUAUUAAAAAUAUUUAAAAAUUAAAUUUUAUAAUUUUUCGAUAUUAUUUCAUAAAAGUAUUUAUAAAAUAAAAAAAUAAAAUUCAAUACUAUAGUAAUGCUCAAAAUAAUAAAAUUUAUCCUUAUUAACAAGGCGACACGGCUGAAGUAAUUAAGUUUGCCCUUUUUUUUAAUAUUCUUGUGUAAAUUUAAUUCUUCUCCCUCAGUAACUCUAAUUAAAUAGAGUCUCCAUUUUGCGAAAUGUGUUUCGGUGGAAGAUAUUAUAAACUUUUUAUAUUUGAAAUCUGUAAUAUAUUUUAACAUUAUUAUGAAUAGGCCUAAAAAUUUAAGAUGACCUUGGAUGUGGUUUCAUGGGUUCGGUUAGGUAAUAACAUUAAUUAUAUGUACUAUCUUAUUUACUUGACUGAGUGAACAAUGAUGAUAAAUACUACGUACCUACUCUAGAUAGCAACUCUCUCAGAUAAAGUUCUCAAGCCUGUUGGGUUUAGUCUACAUUAGUUGCCUAAGAAUUUCCUCUUGCUCUGAAAGAUUCUUCAGUUUCUCCCAAUCUAUACUGCUAAUUGUUUUCUCAUGUUAUCCGCUUUAUUUAUUUUAUUUUAUAAAAAUAAAUAUAGCUGAAAACGUGAAUAAAUUAGGAUUUGAACUUGGGACCUUGGGUACCAACCAUCAAGCUCUUUUCCACUUGUGCUAGGAACGGUCGGUACCUACUGCUAAUUGUUAGCGACCCAAAAUAAUUUUAAUGAUUGUGGUAAACCGUGAAUAUAUAUAUAUAUAUAUAUAAUAGAUGUCUCUACUAUGCUAUCGUAGCACGGAGCGCUCCGUGCUACCAAGUUGUUUUCGAUGAUGCGGUUUCCAAAUCGACGAUCGGCUCGUUAGACUGAUCUACACUAUUGAAAGUAUUUGGAAACUAAAUUUUAAAUUUUUUGGACAUCAUUUGACUAGUGAUCAAAAGAUCUCAAAAUUGCAAUUUAAUGGCCGAUGUGGUGUGUUUGUGAGUUUAACGGUGUAAAACAAUCCAAAUGCGAUGAAAAUUUAUAGAAAAUUCUUUCACUAUUUAGAGUAAGAUCAGUAUAUCUGAUCUUAAAUUUAAAUCUUUUAUCAUCAUUUUUCAUGAGAUUUUAUUUUCAGCCGUUCAAUUUAGACUACUUGUUUGAUAGUAAAUGAUAUCGAAAAAUUAUGAAAUUUAGUUUCUAAAUACUUUCAAUAGUGUAGAUCAAGUCUAACGGAGGCGAUCGUCGAUUGGAAGCCGCAUCAUCGAAAACAAACUUGGUAGCACGGAAGUCUCUCGUGGUACCGGAAGUAAGUAGCCUAGUUCUAUAUAUAUAUAUAUAGUCCGGCUACUAUAUACUCUUAUGAGUACAAUCGCCUUCGUAUUCAUAAGUCGUUUUCGAUGAUAGAACUUUCGAAUCGACGAUUCAUAUCGUUAAAAAUUAUCUAGAGCAUUUAAAACUUCUAGAAAUCAAAUUUUAUAAUUUUUUGACAUCAUUUACCUCACGAUCAAAAUGUCACAAAAUUGAUAAUUUUUAACGGUCGGUAUGAAAUAUUUAUUACUUUAACAGUGUAAAAGAAUUAGAAUAGGUUGAAUUUUUAAUAGAAAAUUCUAUUCACUGUCUAGAUAAAGAUCAAUAACUCCGAUCUUAAAUUGAAGGAUCCGAUCACCCAUUUUUAGGACAUUGUUUGUUUUGACCAUUCACUUUAUGCCCGUUUGAUAGAUUUUAUUAUGAUUUCGAUUACGAAAUUUAUUUUUUAAAAGUUUCAAAUACUCUAGAUUAUAUGUAACGAAGUGGAUCGUCGAUUCAGAAGCUCCAUUAUCAAAAAUAAUUUAUGAGUACGAAGGGCUCUAUAUUCAUAAAAGUAUAGUAGGCCUACUCUCUCUCUCUCUCUCUCUCUCUCUCUCUCUCUCUCUCUCUAUAUAUAUAUAUAUAUAUAUAUAUAUAAUUAGUCUACUAUACUAUCAUAGUACCGGAGUUUCGGUACUAUAGUCUUAUUUUCAAUUUUAGGAUGUUCAAAUUAACAAUCCACACAGUUAAAUAUGAUCUAGGGUAUAUGAAGUUCUUAAGAAUAAAAUUUUAAUUUUUUUCGACAUCGUUUACUAAGUAAAUAAAUUAUGUCAAAAUGAACGGUGGAAAUUAAAUCAUCUUUAAAAUUUGAGCAUAGGACUUUUAAAUUCAAGAUCAAGAAUGUUAACCUUAAUCUAGAUAGUUUAAAGUAUUUUCUAUCAAAAUUUGAAGAAAUUUAGAUUCUUCUACACCGUUAAACUGCAAACUCGUCAUAGUAGCCAUUGAAAAUUGACAAUUUUGAAAUGGUUUGAUCAUAAAGUAAACUAUGUUGAAAAAAUAUAAAAUUUUAUUUCUAAAAAUUUUAAAUACCCUAAAUCAAUUUUAACGGUGUGGAUCGUUGAUUUAAACACCCGAAGAUCAAAAACGAGACCAUCGUACCAGAUCCCCUGUAUUAUAGAUAGUAUAGGAGACUAGCUCUCUCUCUCUCUCUAUAUAUAUCUAUAUAUAUAUGAACUAGGUUGGAAUACUAUCAAUAGCACCAAGUGUUUAGUGCUAUUAGGUUUUCGGCUCUUAGAUGAAAAAAUGAAUGGUUAGGAUGACAUAAGCCUCAUAGGGUUGAGUGAGUUAUUGGUUGAAUAGUAUAAUCUAACUAAUAGGGGUGUAAUGUGGGCCGUGCCGGGCCGGCACGACCCACAGUUUUCGGGCCGAAACAGGCUAGUGGCCGGCCCGGGCCGGCCCGAAUUCAAUUUCAGGCCGUGCCGGGCCGGGCCCGAGUUGCCUAGCUUCCAGCCCGGCACGGCAUUUUGGCCCGGAGGGCACGAGCCAUGCUGAGCCGGGCCGUGCUUCGGAAAAUAUUUAUUUUAAAUUUUUUUUAAAAAAAUUAGUUUAAAUUUAAUUAAAUCACUAAAAAGUUAUAAAAAUAAUUAUAAUAUAUAACUUUUUAAAAAAUUAAAUAGAUUUGUAUUGCUUUUUUUAAAAAAAAAUUUCAAUGCGAGCGUGGAGAAGGGACCGGGGGAAUGGCGCGGCACGGCCCAGGCCAUGCCAUGCCGGGCUGCCCGCCUCUCCUCGGCCCGGCACGGCCCAGGCCCGUUUCAGGCCGUGCCGUGCCGGGCCGUCGGGCCCCAGAUAAGCGGCCCAGCACGGCCCGAAGAGCCUGCCAGGCCCGGCCCAGCCCGGGUGCUAUAGUGGUCGUGCCGGGCCACGGCCCGACCCGUAGCCGUGCCGGACCGGGCGGCCCACGUGCCGCCCGACCCGUUUUACACCCCUAGCGAGGAUCUAACAUCAAUAUGUAUAAGAACCAAAAACCAACACUAUCUGUAGCUGGUAUAACUCUAGAUCAACAGCAAAACGAGAUGGGAUCUAACUNNNNNNNNNNNNNNNNNNNNNNNNNNNNNNNNNNNNNNNNNNNNNNNNNNNNNNNNNNNNNNNNNNNNNNNNNNNNNNNNNNNNNNNNNNNNNNNNNNNNUUAAAUCCGAUGUAGAGUCUACUGCAAAAUCCUACUCGGCGAAGCUCUAUGAAAAGGCUUUAGCCUCUCGCCGUAUCAAACAUAGCCGGCCCGAUUUUGCCGAGAACUUCACGUCGGUUCGCGAACGAAUGCCAAAAUCGACUUCGCCCCGCGUUUGGGACCGCUAUCAAUAGGGUUUCCAGCGCUUCAAAUGAGAUCAACUCUCGUAUCUUUACAAAACCCCAAUUUGGAACCCUAGAUUUAGCACCUAUACGCGAAACCACCCCUUAAUCCCUAAGAUUCUUGGGAUUGACUUUUAGAAGGCUUGCUUAGGGUCCAUUUUGACCCUUCCAAGGCAUAAACCAUAAAACCCCCUAAGUUCUAGAAGCUAGGGUUUAGUGCUUACUCAAGAGCUACUCCAAUGGGAAGAGGAAGGGAGAUGAGUCUCAAGCCUUCCUAAAUUGAUCUCCUUCUUCUCUCCUUCCUUAUCUUUCCCCUCUUCUUCUUCCUCUCCUUCUUGUUCUUUCAUCUCUCUUCAUUUCCUUUUAAGAGAGAGAGAGAGCAAGAGAGAAAUAAGAGUGAGCAGAGAGGAAUGAGAGAGGUGUGAGGAGGGAGAGAGAGGGCCUCAGCCACUCAAUAUAAAGCCAUUUUGCAUUAUAGACCCUCAACUUUUAACUCCUUGCACAGCCCCUCACUGGGCUCCGUUUUCCGCGGCGGAGGGACCGGUCUCCCCGACUUGGGACCGGUCCCCGAGAGCUUCCCUCGGGCGCACGCGUUCGGGAACCGGUCUCUCCCCGGGAGACCGGUCCUCCCUUGAGAGACCGGUCCCCGAGAGCUUGAUUUUCAGGACUUAGCCAAUUUUUGGCAUCUCUCGCUGGGUCCACGUUCGGGAACCGGUCCCUCCCUGCCAGGGACCGGUUGCAUCACGCAACCCCGCUACAACCAGCCAGGGGAACCGGUCUCUCACCUGCAGAGACCGGUCCCCGAGAGCAACUUCUGCCCAAUGACGCCAUUUGCCUCAUUUGCUCUCGCGGACUCAACUCCAAGGCACUUUUUGUGCUUUGGACAUUCCCAACUCCCACAAAGGGUAUUCUCUCGACAGUCAGUCGAUCCUGGAUGGAGUGCAAUCCUCAUAUUUCGAGAAUUCACUUCCUUACAGCAAGGGUGUUUUUGCAUUUGUGGACUUCUUAUAUUAUCACCCACGCCCUUGAGGCCUCCCCUGAGCUCACCAGCAGCAAGAGGAGAGGUAAGGGAGCCCUCCACACUCUCCUCUUUGAUUUUCUUGGUUUUUAUUUGGAUUUAGAGAGAUUAAAACCUCUCUUUUUGCUCCUUUUUGGGUGUUGGAGGCUUUUCCACCAUUGGAGCUUGGGAUUGGAGCUUGAGAGGAGGAAGAUAUCCACACUUGGUGAACUUAGAACCUUGUUGGAAGCUUCUAAGAGGUUAGUAGCUCAUUCUCUUCCUCUAGAUUUGAGUUUUGUUGCUUUUUGAUGGUUGGAACCCUAGAAUGAGGUUUUAGGGUUUAUUUUGGGCAUUUUGAAUCUAGGGCUUUUGGAGCUAGAUUCUUUGGUCUAGAACCUUCCUUGGGCUUGGAUUGGAAGGAUUCUAGCUCUCUUUUGGAGCUUAGGAGAGGAUUGUUUCUCUUGAGGUGAGUUUUGGCCCUUUUGCUUCUAGGUUAAUGAUUGAGCUUUUUGCUCUUCGUUUCAUUUGGGUAACCCCAUUUUUGAUGUUUCUAGGAUACUAGAAAGCUUGUGGAUACCUCCGUCCGGCGAAACGAAGGUUUCGAUUUUGGUGGGUUUGACCUAGCCUAUAAUAUGAGAAAUUCUCAUAUAUGGUGAUAUAUGUUUCGUAAAUUGGAAAAUCAUGCAAAUUCAUGUUACGUGUAUUUAUUAUGAUUUUUAGAAUACUUAAAAUGCCCAUGUUACAUGUAAUAAAAUUUUGGACCUCUAUGUAGUAGAGAGUUGCUUGAGAGACAUAGGGUUGCAUUAGCGUUCUAUAUGAGACUUGGUUUCAUGUUUCUAUUGUGCAAAUGAGCCUUGAUACAUGCAUUCAAACUUACGUUUAAUUGAGUGAUAACAAAAUUGCCAUAUAGAGGCACCGAACUUGGUUAUUAUGUGACUUAGAGGGCUAAUAUCAUCAAGCGGCAUUGAGCUCGGGACAUGGUUGAACCUAGUGAAUAGGGCCAUCGAGGGAUUUGGAAACAUAUUGAACAUUAAAUUGUCUAAGUGUCAUCAAGGGGCACUAGGCGUAACGAAUGUUGAAACUUCACAUUGUGACUUAAACUAGAUCUUCGGGAUGCUAGUGACUAUACCAUGUUAGAGACAUGAGGAUUGGAUACUUGAGACUUGGACUAUGCUUGCUUGCCAUUUGUGCUCAUUCGCACAUGCUUGUGAGGGUCGCUCCCUACAAGCCGGCACUCCGGAGUUAGCCUACGCGACCUAUGUUCGCUCGUGCGGUAUUGAGAAGCCUACGGGGUCGAGUGGGACAGACACAUUCCAAGAGUAGGGAUGUUGGGCUACCACAGGCACUUAGGCGGCACAAGCUGGACUACCUUUGGUAGGUCCNNNNAUUAUUUACUUUGUUCGUUCAUAUGGGUUACAGGGUUUCGAUACAGCACUCGUACAGUUUCAUUAGGUUGAUGAUUCAGAUAGAUCAACACUAGUAAGUAAGAGUUGUGGCACAGCUAAAAGUAAAGGUUAAUUCCUGGAUGGUUUCCAUCAGGUCGAACACGGCGGAUUCACGGACACCAUCGGGUUGUAGGGAUGAGAACCUUACACAGACAGGCAUUGUAGUAUACUUGGUUGCUUGAUAGAGCUCAUUCCCUAUGUAUUGACAUACUGCAUCGAGAUGCUUACUUGUCGGUUAUGAUUGGAACUUAAUAGUCAUGCUUUGGACAUACUUAUCAUGAUAGAGUAGAUGUUCUAUACUUUGACAUCAUGCCUACUUGAGACAUAGUAGUAUAGCAUUUUAUUUAUGCUUUCUUUCAGCAGUUCUUAUACUCGCUCUUUAUUUGCUUAUUAUUAUUGUCGUUACUUACCCUUUUCUUUGGGGCUUAGUGGAGCUUGAGCUGAGGUCAGUAAUUGCCCACUGGGAACUAUAAAUUAUAGUUCUCACGCCCUCUUUUUCUCGAUGUUUUUCAGAGUCUUCCACGCCGGGAGAGGCUAAGGACCGCAGGAAGGGAGUUGCUUCGAGCUAGCUUCCUUCGAGGACGAUUUGAUAGGUGGUCUACCUCUCGUUACUUUAUUUUGUGAGAGGUCGAGAGUUGUACCCGUAUAUGUAUAGAGACCACCAUUUUUGUACUAGAGACAGAUAUUGUACUACUUUAUGUCUUACUUUUACUUUUUGUUAUGUUUCCUUUCCUCUGGUUAUAGAUGAUAGAACUUUACGCGCUCUGAUAUCAUUAGUUGUCUUUUACCCCUUUUUUGUUCUAUCUCUUGCUUUAUUUCCACUGUUGUUGUAGACGCCUUAUAUGUGUAGACAUAUAGCGGGUCUGGGCAUGCUACCGGGAGGGCCUCCGCCGGUCCCGGGGCGUGAUAAGAACACCCCCUCGCGGUGGAUCAGACCGCUGGUGUUCGUGAAAUGCGUUCGAGCAGUGACGAUCGAUGCUAAUAUACUCAAUAGUCAACUGUUGGCAACUAGCCAACAAUCCUACCCCUCAGGGUAUGCCGACCGUAUAGGUCAUCAAGUGCAAGAGUCACAGAAUUGACCGAAUAGGUCACCACAGAUGGUCCGCUCUACUUCUAGAUCAUGAUGAUAAAUGCGAAAAGUAAUCAAAUAGAGCAAUAAGUAAGAAGUCAAAGGUUUCUAGGCCCAUAACAUGAUGUGCAAGAUAAUAAAGAGAGGGUGGAGAGAAUGUCACCGAGUGUGCACCACUGUACCGACUUCGGAUCGAAGUACCUAUCUGUAUGAAUCUGUCUCCCGACUGUGGAAGAUCGUCAACCGGACCUACGGAGGGUCCACCGGGUUAGUAUCUAACACAUAUAAGGAACACUAAACCCAUAACCGCACAAAUAAUCCCACGAGAAUCGGUUUUCCAAAAUCGAUUAUCGUAAUUCACCGGACGUCCCAAAAAUCACACCGGGACUCCGCCAGGACCCACGAAGUGUUCCGGGACUUACCAACUCGUGCCAUGAGUCACUCGCUGCCACAAAACACCAUGAUAAAGGUGUCCUGGCAGCAAACACGAAGACUCACAUCGAAACGAUUAUCGUCAGAUAACCAUUCCGAUCCGGGUUUCCGAAAGUGUCGUUUUCGACACCGGAAGCCACUGUCGCUCACCCGUCGUCUUCGAACUCCCAAAAUGACAUACGUGACCAGCCAACCAGGCUCAGCGACAAAGUAUAUAUACUAUCCUUGAACAUCGUCGGAAGGAAUCCGAAUCAAAACUGCGUUCCGUCGGCGAAUAUAUCUGAUAAACGCACUGGAAAUCGAUAUUCGAUUUUCGCAAAGGCUUUAGACCUUGGACAAUCAGUCUAGAGAUCACCGACCACCCACACAUACAGCCCACAGUAGCCAAGAAGUGUACAAUUGCAUAAAAGGCCCUACAAAUACAUAAAAAUAUAUUAUUUUAUGUGAUUUACAGGGUUUUAUGGUUCGAUCCCGAAAAUCGAUGAGUUUUGAGGUUAGCCGAGACACGUGCUGAUAGAUCUUGACGUGACGGAGGUCGUGCUCAUGGUCUAGAGCACAGUGGCUCACUGGGUAGGGCGCGGGAGUCACCCGAAGUUCAACGAACUAUGCGUACUGAACUUAAACUGCGUUUUAUUUCGCAAAUCGGGGCUCGCUAACCCCAAAGAAGAUGAGCACGAUGAUCAGCACUGAUCAAGGAUCAUCGUGCUCACUUUGGAAGGAAUCGGGGUGGCCUCGGAUCACCGAAACAGUGAUCCCAACCCGAAAACAUGCACAAACAGCCUUUAAUUAGCUGACCGGGCAGGAGGAGCUAAGGCACGACCUGCAGCGGCUCGGUGGUGGAGGCGCCAGCGACAGGUGGGUGUGGCAGGUAGGGGGAAGGUCACCGCUCGCGCCGGCUGGCGACGGGAGGCGGCAGCAGCGACAGAGCAACCGAGCCCUCGCGGGCUCGGCCCGGGUUCAAAUGUUCACAGCGGCCUCGGCGGCGGUUGGGGAGCCAUAGGGCGGCAGUGAUGGGUCGGCGGUAGUGAUGGGUCGCCGAAGGUCAGAGGAGGGUGGCCAAGGUGGCCCCGAGUGGCGGUAGCGCGAGGGAAAGGAGCUGGGGUUUUCUUGGCCCUAACUUGCCCUAGGUGGCCGCAAGCUGCCAGGGGCGGCAGUGGUGGCACGCGGGGACAACGGCAGUCAACGGGAAGGGCGCCGAAGUUCCGAGGGCGUCGUUGGAAAGAGGCCUGAGGGUGGGGAAUACCCUGCACAACCCUCGGCCUGCGAUGGAGAGGGAGUUGGUGGUGGAGGAGAUGGAGAGGAAGAUGAAGAUGGUGCAGGUGGCGGUUGGCCGGUCGAAGCUCGGUUGCCGGCGGCCAGGGAGCGCGCUGCGCACACGGGUGAGGAAGAAGGGGCGGCUGGGGGUCAGCUGAAGCUAGAGUUAGGGUUUCCUCCAUGAAAUAUAGGGCUUUUCGCAAAAUUUUCCACAACGCGAGCAAAAUAUAGUCCCUCACAGCGCGAGUAAAAUGCAUGUACAUACCCCCACGUUCGAUUUCACACAAAAUGGUACAUAAAAUAUAGGGCUUUUCGCAAAAUUUCCGUUUAGCCAUCUAUAACCCCUCCUCGAUCAAUGCGCGAUAUCAUAUAUAUAUUCCUAUAUAUAUAUAACCACCUAGCUCUCUCCUACCCAAAAUAGCGCUUAGCUGCUGAUUUAGACCGCUUUGUUUUCGCCAGAUUUAGUCGUCGAUUCGCGAUAAACCAUCCUCUCUCGAUCCACCAAUAUAUAUAUAUCCUUAUAUAUAUCAUAUAUAUAUAUAUUAUAUAUAUAUAUAUUAUAUAUAUAUAUAUAUAUAUAUAUAUAAUAUAUAGAGUCCGGCUACGGUGUUGUAAAAGCACCAAGCACUUUGUGCUUGUAAAUUUUUACUAUUAGAUCUACGCCUUUGAUCAUUUUUAACCCAUUAUAUUAUACUAUUCAACCAACACCCACUCAACCCUGGGGCCCUCAUCAUCCUAACUGCACAUCCCUUAAUCCAAAGGUCGAAAACAUACAAGCACCAAUGACUUGGUACUUUUAAAAGCAUAGGAGCUCAUUAUAUAUAUAUAUAUAUAUAUAUAUAUAUAUAAUAAUAUAUAUAUAUAUAAGAGAGAGAGAGAGAGAGAGAGAGAGAGAGAGAGAGAGAGAAGAGAGAGUCCGGCUGGGAUACUAUCGAUAGCACAAAGAAUUUGGUGCUAUCAAGUUUUUCUACCGUUAAAUUUACCUUUUUUACCAUUUUUCAACCGUUAGAUUAUAUAUUCAACCAACCACCCACUCAACCCUAGGGAGCGCACAUCAUCCUAAUCGCACAUCUUUUAAUCCAAUGGUAGAAAACUUAAUAGCACCAAGUCAUUGGUGCUAUUAAUAGUAUUCCAGCCUAGUUCUAUACUAUAUAUAUAUAUAUAUAUAUAUAUAUAUAUAUAUAUAUAUAUAUAUAUAUAUACACACACACACACAAUUAUAUAUCAAAUUUCAAAAUUCAAAUUUGAAUUUUUUUAUUCAAAAUCUCAGAUAUUACAGUGUUCCGCUGACGAUUUCACUAGAAAACGCCACAAAAUGAACAACAGACAUCGCGAAGGCCACGGGACCUUGGACAACCAGUCCAGGGAUCACAAAUAGUUGUCCCACACUGCUCAAGGCAGACCGCAAGACUCAAAUUGCAUAAAAGCCCCUAAACAACUUAUAACCGCAUAAUAUAUAAAAAUAAAAGUGAUGUUUAGGGUCGUUACCAAUAACUGUGCUCACUUUUCGGAGAGUCGGAAGGCGUUCGGAUUGCCGGAACAGCAAGGAAGGCCCAGAAUUGCCCUAAAUCGAGCUUGACAGGGAGCAGGGAGCAAGGACAAGGGGCCGCGGCUACGAUGGCGCAAUGUGACUUGACCACUUAUGCUCAAAGCUGCACCAAAGAAGCAGUAGCAACCGCAACGGUGCUCAGCGGCUGCUAAAGCCACCGGGAAGGUGUUGCCAGAGGCUUAAGGUGGCACAGGUGGGGACCAGGGGGUGCGCGCAAACUCCUUGCCCUUAGGAUAGAGAUAGAGAGAGAGAUAAUAAGAGGAAAGUUGAGGGAGGAGAAGAAUAUGGGUUUGGCCGGUCGGAUCUCGGUCACCGGCGGCCAAGAAACGCGCGGCGCACGCAGAGAGGUAAGGGUGCCGGCUGGGCUCGGGUGAGGGAGAUGAAGAACUAGGGUUAGGGUUUUGGAGAGAAGAAACCCUAAGUUGCUUAUAUAUAGUAGAAGGGAAAAUGCAAAUAAGUCCUCCAAACAACAUAAUUUCAACCUAGGUCCCUCAACGCGUGUAAAACGUGCGAAGGCACCUUCGUGAGUGAUCUCAUGCAAAUCGAUACAUAAAAUAAUAGGUAUUUUCAAAAAAUACCAAUUUUCCAAUAUUGAUCCUUUCUCGAACAACGUACAAUUUCGGACGAUCGACUCAUCAGAUUUGCUUACGGCUUGCACCAGCACCUCCGGCACUGCUAGACUAUCAAAACUACAAUUUUGUUUCACCAGAAUCAGUCGCCAAUUCACAACAAAUUUAUACUCUUUCUGUCUCCACAUAAAUACCUAUAUAUAUAUAUACCUAUAUAUAUAUAUAUAUAUAUAUAUAUAUAUAUAUAUAUAUUUAAAUUCAAAUUGAAUUUCACCCAAAAAAUGAAAUUUCAAAUAUUACAUGUAACAUACCACAUCCCUCGUAAAUCGUGCCGAGUUCCGUCAAAACGAGCAGAGCGCAGAGUGGAACGAGUUGGUAUAGGCCCUAAGUGCAUUGGAGCCUAUAUAUAUAUAUAUAUAUAUAUAUAUAGUGCAAAGGGACCCGAGAGAGUGAAGUUUCAAAAUCUGGCUAAGUCCCAGAUUUUGUGCUCUCGGGGACCGGUCCCUGAAGAAGAGACCGGUCCCCGUGCGCGUAGCCUGCCAGGAAUCCUGAGACAACCGGUCCCUGACAGUGAGACCGGUCCUCGGGAGACCGGUCCCUGAAGAAGAGACCGGUCCCUCACUGUGCAGCCAGCCAAAAAUUUCGAAAUUCGGCUAAGUCCUGGAAACCCAAUGUUCGGGAACCGGUCCCUGGUCGGGGAAAUCGGUCCCCGACUGCGAAAGUUGCCCAGUCUGGGCAGUGCACAGUAUAGGAAGUGGAGGGGCUUAAGUGCAAAUGUCGCAAUACCUUAUAUGGCCCUAGCCCUCUCUCCCACAGCCAUUUUCACCCUCUUCUCAUUUCCCUCUCUUUCUCUCUCUAGAACCGUAGCCCUAGGGCUUGGAGAAGAAGAAGAAGAAGCAAGGAGAAGGUGGAUUUGGAGGCUUUGGUGGGUCUUGGAGCUCUCCAACAAAGAGGAGCUUGGUGGAACUUGUGCUAACGUGAGUUUCUAGCAUGUAGAACUCAAGGGUUUGGUUUUAAACCUUAGGAUUUAGAGUUUUGAUCCUCUAAUUAACCUAAAAACCCUCUAUUGACCUUGAAACCAUGAAAUCCACGGUUUUCUUGAGGAGCUCUCAUGGUGGAUCAAAAGGGCUCAUGGUAGAUGCCCUAGGGAUGGUUCCAAGAGCCUAGAAAUCUUAGUAGGAUGCUUCUUAGGUGAUUCUAAGCUAUUAUUUGCUUAAGGUUGGGAUCAAUCCAAGAGGAAACCCUAGAUGACAUUGUUAGGGCUCAAAUUUGGGGCUUUUGCCCUAUGAUUUUUCGGGGACGAAUUGACCUCGUAGAAACCUAAUUGGGGAUGUCCUCGACGCGUGGGACAACUCCGUUUAACGAUUACGAAAAUGUUUAAAAAUGGUUCAUGUAUAAAGGGGCCUAAUUUGGCACUAUUUUGAAUAUAGGACGCGGAUUCGGCGUUCGUAACGUUCGGGAGUCUCCAUAUUCAUCAUCUACUACCACUCAAGGUGGGGGGUGCACGCCGGAAUCAUCGGAUUCCCCUUUAUGUCUAUUUUCGCCUUUGUUGAGCAUAUUUGUAUAUAGAGUCAUUCAUGCAUAGUAGGGAUAUUUACAUGUGAUUAGUGGUUAGAGUUUCAAUAUUGUGCUUCUAACGUAGUUGAACAUAGUGAUUGAAUAUGAACCAUAAUGGACAUGUAUGUAGAACCCUAGAAGAUGUAUGAAUACAAGACUUGGACCUUGAUUGUAGUAAACAAGGGUGACAAUGACAAUAGAGACAUGAUUGCCCAUGAGAAUGAACUUGUUACACAAGGUUUAACAAUAAUGGUAUUGAGACAAGAACAAUAUAGAACGUGACAUGAACAAUAGGUAAGAACCUAUCAAGACAUCGGCAUUAUAAUUUGUGGCAAUGUAUCCUCAACUUGAGGAUUGGAUCGAGGCGCACGUGGACGUAGGCUUGAGGGAGGUCGCUCCUCCUCAAGUGGUGUACUUCGAAGUGUAGACACCAACGGGGAAGUACCCCAUCAACGAUCCCUCGGGUGGUUAUGCUUAAAGCCUCCCCCGGUAGACAGGAGAUGGAACGGUGAGCUAUUGGGGUUAACAAAGUUAACCGGUAAGAUUGGGUACAGAAAGAUAAGGUAAUGAUAAAGAACAUGCAUGCAUGCAUACUAUAUAUUGUUAUUGAUUACAUAUAUCCACUGACACUCUUCUGCAGGCAUAGUAUUAGAUGUAUUAGUACUGGCUACUUUUCUUUCCUUGAAAUAUUUAUGCCUAGAUAGACCUAGUGGGUAAGUCGACGAGGUCGGAUGCCGAACCCACUAGGAAUUUCGUUGUAGUUCUCACACGACUAACCCUACAGAUCCGAGUACGAGCGGGGUGGCGGAGGACCGGGGCAAGGGUUUAGCGCCAUAGAUAGUGGCCAUCGGGACUUUUUCACAUUUUGUAGUCAUUUACCCUUUUUGGUUUACAUGUAUAAACUUCUUUUGUUGAUUUGAAAAGUUGUAAAGUUGAAAACAAAUAUGUAAUUGGGUGAAUGGCUAAAUGUAAAGAAUGAUAAAUGAAAGCAUGAAAUGUAAUAGUUCAGUUUACUUUUAUUUGGUGCAAAAGCAAUCAAGUAUUAUACAUGGUUGAAUGUAUUAGCUUAGAGCUUUCGCUUCCGUUGUUGCUUGCCCUCGUGCAAGCCUUAUAUAAAUGCUAAUCUCGUUGUUUGAUUGCUUUAUUAUACAUGUUUUAGAGCCUUGGGCGGACGGGGGAGGCUCCGUCCGUUCGGCGUCUGUUGACGUGACCCGAACCCGACCAAAUUGGCGGGGAUUGGGGCGUCACAUUACACCACAUGAGUAUACCCCGAUUGCCCCAACAAACUUAAGAGAUUAUUCGCAAAUGGAUUCUACUGAGAGGGUUAGACCGCUUACCUGGUACACCCUGAACCAUAAUAGCAAUCGUCGAUGAUUGAGAUUCCAAAAGGCUAUUUGGCUCAACAAUUCGAGGGUAUAGAGUGCACCUUUAGGGUUAGAUUUAGCUAGAUCGGAGUAGCAAUUGUAAUAUACCAAAACUUCGGUAGAGUAUAUCGAGCUUUAGUCAAAUUGACCAAAGUGUGCGAGAGAAAUAGUUGGACAAAGUCUUAGAGUUAAGUUCCGAAUGCGAUUGAAGGGUUUUAGCAUUACUCGGCACGAAAAGGAACUGAGCACUGCCAAAACUGCAGUCUGGGUACUGCUUAACCGGUGAAGCACCAGGGCAGUACCGGUACCAAACAGGCCACCCAAGAAGCCAUCUCUCGGGUUUGGCCUCUGUCAAGCUACUUAACCGGUGACGGCCCCGAUGCGUACCGGUACCCCGCAGCAACCCGAGAACAGCAGCUCUCGGGUUUGGACAGUUGAACAAGGGCAUACCGGUGAUGCCCACCCGCUUACCGGUACCUUGCACUACGAACAGCAGGUUGCAGUCUGCUGCAAAUAAGAAUGUUUGGAGGGCUUGGUUGCAAUUGUAGCAGCUUAUAAAAUCUCCCUAUCUCCUCUUCUCUUGUUCACAGCCAAGGGAACCCUAAAAGAGCUCUCUCUCUUUCUCUCGGAAGUCUCUCUCUCUCUUGGGGGUGGAUCAAGAGGAGAUUUAGAGGAGGAAUUGGAGAAGAUUUGGACCUUUGGAGAAUCUAGAGCUCUCCUACAAGGUGGAGCAUGUGGUGUUCAUAGGCUAAGGUGAGGUUUCUUGUAAGAUCUUAUUUAGGGUUUGGUUUUAUACCAUAGAACACUUGGUUUUGAUCUUCUUACAUGGAAGGAAACCUAGUAGAGACCUUGGAACCUCAUGAAAUUCUAUGUUGUUCAUGAGCUCUCAUGGUAGAACUCUAGGGUUUGGUUCAAAUGCCCUAAGAAUGGUUUUAGAUGGAUCUAGAUGAGUUUCUAGAGGAUGAUAAGCUUGUUUUUGCUUACCUCCAAAAUUCAUAUGGUGUAUGUUGCUAUAGUGCAUUGUUAGGGCACCAAAAUUGGAGCUUUUGUCAUAGGUUGGUUUAAAGGUAAAUUGACCUUGUAGAAACCUAAUUGAAGAUAUUUCCGACGCAUUGGUGGACUCGGUUCCAAGAUCCAACGAGUCUACACAAAGAUAUUGGAGAAAAAACCUAUUUUGGCUUCAUUUUUCGCAGUUAAGAGAAAUAGGGGUUUAAAAAUCACGAGAUUUGAAUCGUAGCACCCUACCAACCAUACGAGGUGGGUGGUGCUUUCUGAAAUCCUCGAAUUUUUCUUUUAUGUCUAAAAUAUCAUUUCUUGAGCAUAUGUAUAUAUUGAGCUUCAUGCAUUGUAGGGUGAUUUGAGAGUAUAUUGUUGCAUGUUGUGAGUACAAAUGCAUAUGAGAUGAUUGUAAACUAAUGAGAACUUGUAAAAUCCUAUGUAUGCAUGAAUGAUGACAAGAACCUAGAAAAGGCAAAGAAUCUAGUGACAUUGAGAACAAAUAACAUUAUGACAUCCAUAGUAGAGUGGCAUCAAUGAGUUUUGGAAUGCUAGUGUUAGAAGUGUGGCAUUAAUGAGAACAAUAAAUGCAUGAGAUUGAGUAUAAAGAACAUGUAGUGUGUGUGACACUAAUGAGAGUUAAAGAAUGCAAAAUAUGAGAUAGUUGACAUUAUGACACAACAUGGCAUAACAUCCUUAUAGUUAAGGGUCAAAUGAGCAUUGCAUCUUUUGAGUUAAGGAUUGGAUUGAACUUGGCAUCCUUAAAGUUAAGGAUUGGAUCAUACUCACCUAUAAGUCUUGGCUUGAGGGUGGUAGCUCCCCCUCAAGCGAUGAGCUCCGGAGUGUCAUCACUGGGUUGGUGUUUUUCGCAGAGGUCGGUCCCGUCGGGUUGUAGCGAGUACCUCCCUGAUAUUAGGGAUUUGAGUUGGUGAGUCUAUUGAGGGUGAAACCUACGGGUUAGCUAAGAGAUUGAGUAAAGGAAUUGUGAUCUUGCAUGCAUCAUCAGCAUUCUAAUUGAGCAUAAUUGUUGAUUAUAUCUUGUUCAGGCAUAUUAGCUGCAUAUGUAUAGUUGGUUACUAUCUAUUUGUUUAUUCUUCUAUUAUGCUUGAUUUAGACCUAGUAGGAAAGUCGGCGAGGUCGGCGGCCGAACCCACUGGAAACUUUGUUGUAGUUCUCACCCUACUAUUUUCACAGAGCUGGGACCGAGUGAGCCGGCCGAUGAUCGCGGUAAAGGUAUCGCGCCCUAGACAUAGACUACCCGAGAUGGUUUCAUAUUUACUUAGUUGCAUACCCUUACGUCAUCUUUUGUAUUUAAUGAUACUAGUUGUAUGAAUGAUGUAUGAAAGCAAAAAGCUUAUAUUUUGGAAGAGAUGUUAUGUACAUUUUGAGAUCAUGUGAUGUAAAAAAAAUGAUGAAAGAAUGUAAAAGAAUUUAAAUGUUGAAUGCAUGUAUGUGGUUAAAAGUUAAUCAUUAUACUUGUAUGUUUAUAAUAGUUUAGAAUCUUUCACUUUUGGCUAUUGCUUGCCCUCGUGCAAGUCAUAUAUGUUUAUGUUUCCGCAUGUGCAAAACUUUAUACUCGAUUUGUACUUGUGUUGAGCCUUGGGCGGACAGGAGAGGUGCUGUCCAUUCGGCGUCUGUUCGACGUGCCCGAACCGACGAAAUGGGCCGGUCCCGGGGCAUGACAGCAACAGUUGCAGAAGAGACUUCUCUGAGACUGAGGGCUACGAUGAUGAUUAAACCAUUAUGGCUCCGUGAAUCUGAUCUUGGGUUUGAUCCGCUAUUGAUGGUAAUCUCGGAAACACUGGGGAAAGUGUGACACCCCAACUUCCAGGGGAUUACCCAUCCUAGAACUACUCUCGUCCUAGUAUGCUUAGCAUGCUUAACUCUCUUAACCUCUUGGGCCUAGCCACCACCCAAAAUGCUUAAGUCGGGUUAAAAGUUUUAACUCUAUUAUAUCUUAUAUAUAGGACUACCUAGGGUCACAUUCUCCCCCCUUAAGCCCUGACGUCUUCGUCAGGCUCAGACGCACAAGUAUCAGGAGAUGUGAGACUCGUUUCGCUAGCCUAAAUUGACCUUAUAAUAAGUUGCACUCCACCCACAAUAGUCUCAUGCUUACCCGCUGUACAAUCCUUAAUCAACCAAAACUCAUCUCACACUUUCGGCUGGUAAUUGGCUAUGCUACCAACUGUGAAGCCCCAACUUCCCAGAGGGUCACCCAUCCUAGGACUACACCCAUCCUAGUCACGCUUAACUCUCUUCACCUUUUGGACCUAGCCACCUGUAAGGACUGAGAUUUUGGCAGUGUAGUUAAACUCUCUAUUGACGAUAUUUUUGUGUGUUAUUUAAUUACAUAAACACUCAUCAAGUUUCAGGAGAAAACGAGUUAGAAUGGAGAAGUUACGCGAUCAAUACUAAUCACUUAAAGUGAAUAGUAACUCCGAUUUUCCGGCGAAGCCAAUGAGUGGAGAAGGCUUCCGGUGCGUAUUGGACUCCGUUCAUAGCAAUCCAAUAGCUCAUUUUGAACGGUUCGACUAUUCUGAAACCUAUGGCACUGAUGGAUUUGGGUUCUGAUGCACGGUUUUUGAGAAAAAGGGGUUUGAUUGGAUUUAGAUAUAUAUAUAUAUAUAUAUAUAUAUAUAUAUAUAUAUAUAUAUAUAUAUAUAUAUAUAUAUAUAUAUACCAAAAUNNNNNNNNNNNNNNNNNUAUAUAUAUAUAAGUAUGAUGAUUGGUGGAUUGCAGAGAGGGCUGGGUUCGUCGUAAAUCGAAGACCAAAUCGGAUGAAAUUAGAUUCGAUGUCCCAGCCAUGCUGAACACGCUGGCGCAAUCCGUUCGGAAAUCCGACCAACGGAUCUUCGGGAAUCGUAAAAUGUUCGCUAAGGGGUCGAAAUCAUUAAAACGGAAAAAUUGCGAAAGGUCCAAUAUUUUAUGCGCCGUUUUGCGUGAUUUUGAACGUCGAGGUACGUACGCGCAUAUUACACGCACUGGCAGGGACUGGGUUGAGAUUUUACAGUUUCGGAGGACUAAACUGUAAUUAAACCUUUAUAUAUAAAUGAUUGCAUCUAGGGUUUCAUAAAGAAACCCUAGCUCCUGGAUCCCCUCCUCAGCUGAGCUAACCCUAGCCGCCCCACCUCCUCCGAGCCCUCGCUAUGCGCGCGCGCCGGCCGCCAGCAAGCUGCUCCGGCCGCCUGAAAAUCACCCCGACCUCUCACCUAGCUCCUCCCUCCACCUUGCAGCCACCACAUCAUCUGACAGCCACGGAGAACCACCCUCGUGUGUCACAGCCUUCCCCUUGGCCAAGAUCCCUCUUCGGUGCCGUCACCGGCCGUCCCCGCCAUCAGCGCGCGCCGCCUGAGCCACCUGUGCGAGCUGCGGCCAGCCUGGGUCAGCUCGGGCCGAGCUGACUUCAGCUCGGGGCCCGUUUGUUGAAGCCACCUUAUCUCGGCCGCCACGACUCCCUCCGGCCUCUAGCAACCUCCGGCACGCUUCCCUGCCGUCCCCACGCACCGCCGGCCAUCGCUCGUGCACCCUACAACCGCCCAGAUUUGGUGCAGGCCGAGGCGGAGCUACCUCGGCCAUCGCGUGUCGUCGCCGCCCACAGCGGGGCGCACCACCCUUCCCUCGGCCUCCGGCGACGGAUCGUCGUCGCCCUGAUCUCGUCCGACCGCCGCCCGGCCGCCAUCGCCCUUGAACCCGAGAGCUAAGUGGCGGCUUUGAUCUCUGCCACCGCGCCACCGGUUGCCGCCCGCCGCCGGCCAGCACCCUCCCCGGACCUCUCGGACCGGCCGCACACGCCCUCGGUCGGAGCGACUGCCAUCCGGCCGCCGGCGACCAACCCUAGCUCCCACUGCUCUGGUAAGGCUAUUACGUAAAUUCCAGCACACUGUUUUGGGUUUCCGGUCACCUUUUCGGUGAUCCGAGGGCACCCCGAUGACUGUGGAAAUGAGCACGAUCAUCCUUGUUUCGUGCUGAACAUCGUGCUCACCUCCGUUGGGGUCAACGAUGCCCUGGUUUGCGAGUUUGAUGCGAUUUAAGCGCUGUACGCGCUGUUUCGCUGUAGUUCGCAUCACUCGCGCACCGCCCACAGUGACCGGCAGUGCUCUGAAGGGUGAGCACGGCCUCCGGCACACCGAGACCUGUCAGCAGGUGUCUCGGCUUGGCUGAAUGACCCAUGGUUUGCGCUGUUAGACCAUAAAAGCCCAGAAAUCACAUAAAAUAAUAUGAUUUCAUGGAAUCGGGAGGGCUUUUAUGCAAUUGUGUUUGUCAUGGCUGCUGUAGCCAGCGUGUGCGGGCAGUGGGUAACCUAUAGACUGAUUGUCCAAGGCCCUAGGCCUUUGUGGAAAUCGAAAAGUGAUUUUCGGUGCAUUUUUCGGCGAAAUCCGCCGACGGAAUACUUUUUCAGUUUGGAAUUCUUCCGACGGUGCUUCGUGAUGCUUUGUUAUGUCGCCGAGCCUUGUUGGCCGGUCAACCGCGUCGUUUCGAGGGUUCGGAAAUGACGGGUGAGCGAUUGUCGGUUGCGGUGUCGAAUUGGGCACUUUCGGGAACCCGGAUUGGAAUGAUUAUUCGACGAUAAUCGUUUCGGAGUGAGUUAGUGUCUUCGCUGCCAAGUCACACGAAAAUAUGUAUUUAGUGGCAGCGGGUGACUCGUAUCUUGAGUCGGUGAGUCUCGGGACAGUUCGUGGAUCUCGGCGGAGUCCCGGUGCUGUUUUCGGGACUUCCGGCGUGUUUGGCAAUUGGUUUUGGAAAAUCGAUUCUCGUGGGUUCGAUAGUGGGGAUUGUGAGUUAGCGUUUUGUGCUAGUGGGUUAGAUUCUAACCCGGUGGACCCUUCGUAGGUCAGGUUGGCAUUUCUUCCGCAGACGGAAGAUUCGUACCGUAUUUGUAUAGGUGGGUACUUCGAUCUAAAGUCGGUACAGUGGUGCACGCUCGGUGAUAUCCUCUUACCUUUGUUCUCCCGUUGUUAUUAUUGCAUACCAUAUAUUUAGCCUUACACUUAUGUUGUUUUCAUUGUACUCUACUCAGUUGUUUUCAUAUUUAGUAUCAUGAGUAGGAGUAGAGUGGUUUUAUCUACAUGUGAUAUCUGUGACCUAGUUGGUCGGUUCUCGUACUUCGUAUUAGUGACCUGGUAGGUCGGUUCUCGUACUUCGUAUAAGUGACCUGGUUGGUCGAUUCUCAUACUUCGUAUCAGUGACCUGGUUGGUCGGUUCUCGUACUUCGCAUCAGUGACCUUGUUGGUCGGUUGAACUUUUUGAUGACCUAUACGGUCAGUGUGCCCUGAGGAGGCAGGAUUGUCGGCUGGUUGCCGACGGUUGGCUAUUGAGCAUGCAGCAUCGAUCGCCACUGCUCAUACGCAUUUUACGAACACCAGCGGUCUGAUCCGCCGCAAGAAGUUAUUCUUUUUCGGAAAAGUGGUUGGGAGUGCCAACCCGUGAGCCCGGGUGCUUUAUGCGACAGUUAUAUGCUUUCAGACCCGGGUUGUUUAUGCGAGGGUCAUAUACCUUUCAGACCCGAGUGCUUUAUGCAAGGGUCACGUAUAGGUUGAGCAGUUGUGACACAGGCCUGAGGUGUUGCCGACCAAUAUGGUUAUUCCAGAUUGGGUAUUUUGGACUCAUUGUCCGUUGAUGCAUUCAUACAGUAGCGGUAGCUGUGCAUUUCUUUAUCAUGUUCAUUUAUUAUCAUUGCUACUGUAUUUCACUUAUCCAUGUUGUUUACCCUCCUUUUCUGGUGCGUACCCUCGUCCUCGUCGGCUUGCGGUAUCCACUGGGAGGGGAGACAUGUUUACAUAUUCUCACCCCCACCCCCAUUACAGGUGACGUCGCUGGUCCGAGUGGGACGGCACGUGAGGAGCACGCUAGUGAUCAUUAGAGCCAUCGUCCCGCCAUUUUGGUUUAUCAUCUUACUCUGCUUCUCUCUAAAUAAAUGACUUAGACAAUUAUUAUGGUUCAGUUUUGUCAUUACAUUUGAAUAUGUGAGAUUUCAGUUGGUUUUAUGAAGGUAAUAACGUAUUUGGAUUUCUGUGAAAUGAAAAUAGUUUUCUACCCCUCGUGGUAGCGUAUUUUCAGAAAGAAAAGGGUUUCCGCGUGGGAAACAGUUUUAAAAGAUUUUCUUAUGGUUUUUGUAUCUUAGUAUUUCAAAACCAGUUUUGGGGUAGGAAACGUUUUAACUAAUAGAUGUGGAUUUAUGAUUAAACACUGAAUGUGAAUAUGUGAUGAAUGGUGUAUGAAUGUAUGAAUGUAUAAUUGUUUGUAUAUUCAUUUAGUGGUGGUUGUAUCCUGGUUAUACAUCUUGUAUUUGUGCGACGCCGUGCAAAUACAGGGGAGACUCUAUCAGUGUGAACAGUGGACUCCUUGUAUUUGUGGCAGAUCUGGCAUACCCUGGGGUCAGGUUUUCAAAAAAAAAUUUAGGUACUUCCGCUAUGUUUUGAAACCAAAAAGGGAUCCCGGGGCGUGACUCCACUGCCCAAAAUGCUUAAGUUGGAUUAAGAGUUUUACCCCUAUUAUAUCUUAUAUAUAAGACUAUCUGGGGUCUCAUAAAACGGCUUUAGAGGUUGGAAUGGGAGAACCUGGGAUCAGUCGACCUGAUGAUCCUGCCACCAACGCCUUGGGAUUGGGAAUAGUUCUGAUACCAAUUUGUCGCAACCAAGACUCGUCGCAACCCGUAGAUGACGAUACUUUGCUUUAGCGAGGAUGGCGCAGGGAUGAUGGGUUACCCUAUCAGCCUAAUCCAUCCCUUUCCUAUCCCGAAAUCACCAUGAAUGGAGGUUCGGAGGUAGGAAAAAAGAAAGAGUAAAGGAGAGAAUGGAAGAAAAGAGUAGAAGAAAGAUAGAGAAGAAGAAGAAAAUGGAGAGGGGGAGUUGAAAAUAUAUUCUGUUACUAGCUAGUUAUUGCAAUUGUAACCCCUAUUUAUAGCCCAAUGCUAGGGCGUGUUGUAAAUUCCAACAAGUUUGAGGGGAAUUUGUAAACACACCCCUUGACUGGUCCUUGACCAAUCCAAUGAGGCGGUUGGGAUUGUUAUGGCCGGUACCCGCCUCUCGCAUGGGCCUGGGCUGUGCGAUCCCAGCGUAGUGGACUCGGAUUUGUAUUGGGUGCGGGUGGGAAACUAUGGACCUACCCCUCUUCUACCUUAUAUUUGCGAAGCUUCCUGAGGCCACCCUGUGCUUUACCUAACCCUCAAGAACUCCGCUCUCUCAGGCUUAUCCCAAGUCGUGACUUUCACCGUUCUAGAUUCUUCAGAUGCCUAUGCCCCCUGCCGGAGAUCGGAUGGCUAGCCACCGGAUUUUGAAUCACUGAGAAGCUAAGUACCUGUUUUAACCUCCCCUUCCACUUUAAUAACUUGCCAACUCAUACUUUCUAUAGGUGUUACACAGGUGUUAAGGCUUGAUGUUGUUUUAUACACUUUUCUAAUUUUUUACUAUUUUACGUUUAUGUAAGUAUUAUCACAAAUUAUUUAUGUAUUAUGAUAGCUUUAUUUAUUCACCACAAAGAGCUGGUUAACAGAAAUAUCCAAAAAUAGAAAAAUUAAGAGACGUGAAACUUUCAUUUGUUUUUUACAUAUUUUUGCAAAAGUUGCCUCUCGCCCAAAAAAAAACAUACAAAUAGAGAUUUGAAUUCUGGUGUGCUGCAUAGAAUUUCGAGUUUUAAACGGAUAACCGACUACUUGAACAAAAGGUGCACAAUAUCCAAAUGUAUGUGAGACCCACUCACAACUGUUACGCUCAUUAAAAAUAAAGUAGUUCAUUUAAUUAUAAGCAACUAAAAAGUAUCUAUACUACUUAUAAAAGUGUGAGUUUUAAAUUUUUUUCUUUUUUAAAAAAUAUUUUUAUUUUUUAACUAAUAUUUUCAUGUCCAAUAAUUUUCAACCAUUCAUUUCAAAUAAUUCUUCAAAUAAUAAUUUAUUCUCAAAUAUACAUCUUAAGUUUUUGCCAUUGGAUCUAAUCCAACAAGUAAAAAAGUAUCGGUCAUCUUUGUUGACAAAAGUACCCUCAAUAUCUGUUAUCUCUUAUCUACGUGUUUCUCAAAUAUUUUCUUUCUACCUGCCAAUCACAUAUUAUGUAAAAUUAAAUUUAUCUCCUAACGUAAUACCCGCCAAUAACGUAAUAUGUAAAAUUAAAUUUAUCCCCUAUCUACGUGUUUUCUCAAAUAUUUUUUUUCUAGAAUAUUGCUUUUCUAAAACGUAAUAUUUGCCAAUAUUACAUAGUACUCAAAAUUAAAUUUUAAAUUUUAAAUUAAGUAUAAAUUAAAUUAAAUUUACCUCCUAACUAAAUAACCGCCAAUCACGUAAUACGUAAAAUUAAAUUUAUUUCUUUUCUACGCAUUUUCUCAAAUAUUUUUUUCUCAAAUGUAAUACCUGUAAAUGACGUAGUACUCAAAAUUAUAUAUUAAAUUUUGAAUUAAGUAUAAAUUAAAUCUACUAUAUAUACUAUCUGCAUCUUUUCUAGAAUAUUGCUUUUCUAAAAUGUAAUACGUGCCAAUAUUACAUAGUACUCUAAAUUAAAUAUACCAUUUACACAUUUUUCAAAUAUUUCCUUUCUAACAUACCCGCCAAUAAUUUAAUACCCGCCAAUGUGAUAAUUUAAAUUUUAAUUUAUAAUAGUAGAUUUUCAUACGUGAGAUAGUAAAUUUAAUUGCAGUGGGUAUUAAAUUUUGACGUGCCACAAAAAAUUAGAAUAUUGCUAAAAAAAUUUAAUACCCACCCAAUCAAAAUUAAAUUAUUCAUUAAAUAUAAUUUUAAAUUUUUUAAGUAAAAUAUCAAUAUUUAACUAAUAUUCUUCAAAAUAUUCUACGCAUUUCUCAAAUAUAGAACAUAUCUUAAAGCCCUCGCAUAUAAUAUCUACACUACCCAAUCCUAUCUCAGCAUAAUACUUUCCACACAUAGAGUAUAUCAUUUUCCUCAUUUUCAUCUAUACGUUUCUCAAAUGUAAAAUAAUUUUUUUUUUUCAUUUUCACCUAUAUUUUUUUUUUCAAAUCAUUAUUGUCCUCAUCGUCAUCGCAGGCGCCAGCACAUCGUCGCUUUCGCCACCUUCGCCACAGUUGGAGAGGUUUUUUGAUCCUACCUAAAAAUUUUUCUUUUUUUAAUGUGCCUUUAUACUUUUUUAGUAUAUUUUUUUAGUAUUUUCUCAUUUUUACCUAUACAUUUCUCGAAUAUAAAGUUUAAAUAUUUUUUUAGUAAUUAGAUAGUGUAUCAAUAAAAUUAUGUUAAUUUGAAAUAAUAUUGAAGUAAUUAUUGAUAGACCUAUUUUUUAGCAUUAAAGAAUAUAGCAUUCCUUUUGCAAAAAUAGAAAAAGAAAUUCAUACUUAUUCAAAUUUUUUUCACGUAGAGAAUAUCUACAACAGAAUAUUCUUGUCACGCCCCUGGGUCCUUUUAGUUUGAAACACAGCGGAAAAGCGUCAAUUUUUUUUUUUUUUUUUUUUUAAAAGCCUAACCCCAGGGUAUGCCAGAUCCACCACAAAUACAGGAAUUCCACUAUUCACACGGACAGAAUCUCCCCUGUAUUUGCACGGCGUCGCACAAGUACAAGAGUACAAACAUAAUACAACAACAACUAAAUGAACAUACAAACAUCCAACAGUUUUAUAUUCAUACACCAUUCACCACAGGUUCAUUCACAUAGUCUUAAUCAUGAAUCCACAUCUAUCAGUUAAAAUGAUUCCUAUCCGGAAACUGGUUUUGAAAUACUAAGUUACAAAAACCACGAGAAAGCUGUUUGAAAGCCGUUAUUCAUAAGGAAAAUCUUUUCUUUUAAAACAUGCUAUCACGAGGGAUAGAAAACCUUUCCAUUUCAUGAAAAUCCAAAAAUCAUUGUCUCAUUCAGAAAACCAACUGAAAUCUUGAAUAUUUUAACAUAAUGAAAUACUGAACCAUAUAAACCGACUAAGCUAUAUAUCAAUAGAAAUAAUAAGGGUAAAAACUAAACCGAAUAAUCUGGGUCGGAAGCUCUAUCGACCGCUACGAACGUACCUCACGUCUCGUCUCAACCUCACCGCCCGCAAUACCUGAAAAAUGGUGGGCGAUGUGAGAACAUGUAAACAUGUCUUCCCUCCCAGUGGGUAGCGCAAGCCGAUGAAGGCGAGGAGUACUCACCGGAUCAGGAAGAGAUAAACAACAAUAUGGGUAAGUGUAAUACUAAAUACAGUAGCAACAAUAAUGAACGAAAGAGAUAGAACUAUAAAUGAAAGCACAACUACCGCUACUGUAAUGAACAACUGAAAGUAUAUAUGCAGCUAAACUAUAGUAGCAAGACAAGUGUAAAGAAAGAACUGAAGGUAUACAAACAACAACCGCUACUAUAGUUAUAUGCGUCAAUCGGUCAAGAAGUCCAAAUAUACCCAAUCUGAAAUCUGCUGUUCUAUUGGUCCGCAGCGCAAACCUCAAGCCUAUGCCACUACUACUCUCCCAUGCAUAUAACCCCUCUAGGGCUCACGGGUUGACACCUACAACCACUUUUCCGGAAAAGAACACUCCUUGCGGUGGUCAUCCACUGCUCACCCAUGCUGCCAACAGCAGCCGCAACAACCCAGAAUACAUAAAAGCCCUCCCGAUUACCCGAAAUCGCAUUAUUUCAUGCGAUUUCGACGCUUUUAUGGUCCGUCUACACAAACCAGAAGUCAAUCAUCCAAACCGAGACACCCGCUGACAGGUCUCGGUGUGAUGGAGGCCAUGCUCACCUUUUGGAGCAAUUUCGGCCACUGCGGCAAGAGCGCGAGCGACACGAACUUCAGCGAAACUGCGCGCUGAAACUAAAAAUGCUUCAAAUUCACUCAUCCGGGGGUCUUUGACCUUAAAUGAGGUGAGCACUGUGAUCAACACUGACCGACGAUCACCGUGCUCACCUCCGGAGGCAUCAGAACAGCCUCAGGUCGCCGGAACAUUGAUCCCAAACCGAAACAAUGCACAGAACAACAAAAACAUUGCUUACCGGCCGGGGCAGAGCUAGGGCUGGCCGGCGGCGGCCGGAUGGCGGGCGCUCCGGCCGAGGACGAGCGCGGCCGGUCAAUGGGGUCCAGGGCAGGUGCUGGCCAGCGGCGGGAGGCGGCCGGUGGCGCGGCGGCUGCGAUCCAAUCCGCCAAGUUGCUCUCGGGUUCAAGGGCGCCGGCGGCAAGGCGACGGCCGGAGGAGGUCAGGGCGACGUCAAUCCGUCGGCGGAGGCCGAGGGUAUCAUGAUACGCCCCUCCGUGGGCGGCGGCGUCGUGCGGUGGCCGAGGUGGCUCGGCCUAGGCCCGCACCAGCUCUGGACAGCCGCAGAGUGGAAGAGCGGCGGCCGACGGCUUCGGGGACGUCCGUGGAUGAACGCCGGAGGUCGCCGGAGGUGUCUGGAGGGCGGCACUGCCGGCGGGGAGCAGCGGCACCGCGCGGAUGCCGAGAUCACCCAAGCUCGGUCUGGGUGAUCGCGGUUGGCCGCAAGGAGCUAGGGCGGCUCCGUCGGCGCUUUGGGACGGCGGGGCCGCGGGCGACGGCGAGCGGGAUGUCGCCAGAAGGCGGCGCGGCCGAUGGGGGCCGGUAGCCGCACACGAAACCCGAGAUCGAGCCUGCUCGGUCUGGGCUGACCCGAGCUGGCUGCAGCUUGCUCAGCUGGCUCCAGCGGCACGUGCUGACGACGGAAACGUCCGGUGAUGGUACCGGACGUUGGUCUCGGCCAGGGGAUGGUGACGCUCUGACUUAGAUGACUCCUUGAGACCCCAACCACAACGUGGUGGAGUGGUUGGCCGAACGGGAGGGAGAGGGUAGUGCGGAAGGGUUUUCCGGUGGUCGGAGAGGCUUGCCGGCGGUCAGGGCGCGCGCACGGUUGGGCAGGGAUGCAGGUGGGGCGGCUAGGGUUCAGUUCGGCUAAAGAGAAGGCCAAAAGCUAGGGUUUCCUCAUGAAACCCUAGUGCAACUACUAUAUACAUAUGUACAUUUUGCAAGAUAGUCCUCCCAGGGAUAAUAUUCUCAGUCAAGUCCUUCACAGCUCACGUAUUUUACACAUACGCACCUCCACGUCCGAUCUCACGCGAUUCGGCACAUAAAAUAUAGGGUCUCUUCGUGAUUUAUCCGUUUUGCCAAUUUGACCCCUCAGUGGACCUUUCGCGUUUCCCAUAGAUCCGUCCGUCAGAUUUGCGAACGGAUCGCACUAGUGCGAUCAGCACAACGGAGACAAUAAACCUACGAUUUUGAUUCACAUCGAUCGGUCAUGGAUUCGCGACGAAACCUGUCCGCUCUCCAAUUUCCAAAAAACCACACACAUAUACCAAUGUGUAAUCCCACUAAAUCCUAGAUUCAAAUUCAAAUUUGAAUCUCCUACUACUAGUAGGUACAUGUAACAUCACUCACCUUACUCUAGGUCACAUACGCAGAGCACGAGGAGUCUCAUUAUGCAAGAACAGCAAAGAGCGAAAACCCUCUUUUCGAUAAAAUCCCUUUUUCUCGAAAAUCGUGCAUCAGAUCUGAAAUCCGUCAGUGCCAUUGGUUCCAGAAUAGCUGAACUGGUCGAAACGAGCUAUUGGAUCGCUAUGAACGGAGUCCGAUACGCGCCGAAAGCCAACUCUACUCUGUGGCUUCUCCGAAAAAUCAGAGUUACUAUUCAUUUAAGUAAAAACUAAAAAUCGCGUAUCUUCUCCAUUUUAGCUCAUUUUCUCCUGAAACUUUACGAGUGCUUAUAUAAUUAAAUUACACAUAGGAACAUCAUCAACAGAGAGUCUAAUUACAUUGCCAAAAUCUCAGUCCUUACAUUAUCCCCCCUUUAAAUGAAGUUUCGUCCCCGAAACUUGACCACGUACCCACCGAAAUAGAAUUCAGAUAUUACUCCACCACUACAAUAUCACCCUUGAGUACUGGUCAAUCACAAAUCCUUGAAUUGGGCAAAUCAAUCUCCGAAUAAGGGAAGAAUAGGACCACGGCUCCACUCGGACAAAAACGAGGGAAAAACGUACCAACCCAAAAUCUACGGACCAAAACUCACCGGGAUCAACACCAUCCUAUAACCUGCGGAAAAAAACAGUCCCACUGCCAGGAUUCGUCGAUCCUAACUUUGCCAAUUCUGAGAUAACACUUCAACACUCAGAAAUUCUAGGUCCACUCAACCUUGAUCCGCAUACCAGUAACCGACUCGACUACGUCGCAAGUUCACGUAGAAAAGUCACGAGACACAACUACUAAUCUGGAGUCUAUUUACGUAGACUAAAAUGAAAUACUCCGACUAGCCCACAACAUCAACCUGCUCACCACGAGCGAAUACAAAACGUUGUUCUAUGACCUGAGUCGAAACUCUCACCUUGGAGACCACAGUCUCCCACCAAUAACCACACAAACUGCCAAAACCUCCAUCACCUGCCACAAUCUAUAGUCCUAGGUCCAAGACCUCACUUUCCACCUGACUAACAGGUCCAACUGACGAUACCAUUCGGGCUAGACAAUUUUGUCUCCUCAAACUUAACCAGUACCAACAGACCACUGAAAGCUCUUUGCAAGUCCAUCACUUGAUGCACAGGUCACCAAUCACAAAAGCGAUACUAACCGUCGGCGAUGCUCAACAUUUGUCUCCACGAGACCCUGUCGCUGCCGUCCAACCAGGGACCCUAGCGAUUGAUGUUCCGAGCAAUACCAAAAACAUGUCUCAUUGAGACCUAGGCGCACCUGUCACCUGUUUGACUGGACAAGCAUACUAUUUCUUGGUUUGCACGUUAAGCCGAGUCGCAAACCAUAUAUUCUAUCACAUACGAUGACAAUCAAAGCCAACAACCAGGCUAAAGUCACGCAACAACUGUAAUUCAGAACCGCCUAGCAAAAGGCCGAGACUAACAACCAAGGCAAACCUUUAGUUGUGGAAGGCACAACAAUAGAACCAACGAUCACCUAGACUCGAACCAAAGUAAAAACCAUCAGCAGUGACAGUAAGUCAACUGUGCAAAACCUGCCAGGGAAAUAAUCCAAGGCUCGCCAUAUGGUCAGAGAUGACCAUCACUCUAGCUUUUCCCACAAAACAGUCUAGAGAACACAUCGACCCAAUCCAUAAGUGCCAAACGGGAAGAUAGUAUUUCGUCCCUCUUUCGACAGUAUAUUGUCUGCAGCCAAUAUACUUAUCAAAAGAAAAGCGAAAUAUCCGAAGAUCCACUACCAACAACAAGUUGGAAGCACAACGCGUUAAAGUAUCAAGCCACUUGAUACCUCUCCACUGAACCAGAAGCUCACACCCAAAACCGUCGAAACAUCGACUUUGCAAGCCGACAUUCGAAAUCAGCCCGACCUUGAACCAACUCACAGGGAGUUUCAUAGUUUCAAUAUCUGAAAGCCACUAGCGACACUAAACCGCGAACCACACGGACUGAGGCUGUAAGAAAUGGUUUCUCUAACUAAUUUCCGCACCACAACCGAACUAUACCCAAGCUCCGAGAACUCCGACACUACCCAAGAGUAUCUCGAAUCAAAACAAACUCUACCACAAACCACAGACUAACCUACAACACACCAAUUUAGGUGUUAGAACAAUAGCAUACGAUGUAUGCAUCAACGAAAACCUGACACCAAACUGUGUCAAUCCGACUCUAGUGCACGUCAAUUUGACAAAAGAACUAGUUCAAGGUCAAAAGAUCCAAACCGCUGAUUCCAAUCAGCAAUCAAGGAGGAGAGGUAGGCAUCGCAACCCUACCCAAAGAUCUGCGGAAGCAAUACUAACAAUGCAGUCACCUAAAAGACCGCUAACCAAACCCUGGGCUAGGCCCUAGUAGCCCCACUGAAGUCACGAUCGUAACUGAUCACAGUGCCAUCUCCGUAGAGACACUCUCAACAGCUCUCGUGUCCUAAGUAGAGAGAGUGGCCUGAGCGUCGGCAGUUAUAACACUCGCCUAGGCUCGAAAUCUUACUUGGCCCUUCAAGGCCCCACCUGACAGGAGUGGCAACACCUGGGGAAUGUCGCCCCACCAUUCGAUGUCAGAAUAAGUACACCGCCACUACUCCCGACUUAGACACGAGCUUGUGCGAACCGUAACACAUACAGAAACACCAUGCACUUUGAGUUUACCAAACUCAAAUGCAGCCCAAGACACAAGUCCAAACCCCGCACUCACGUGCCUAUAUACCGUAGGUCUUUCUAUGGGUCAACCUAACCAAUGAUUCAGUUUCAUUUACUUUUCAAAACAACCUGUGAAUGGUAUUGUGGUUGUAACUUGGCUCUGAUACCACUUUAAUCUGUCACGCCUCGGGGUCCCUUUUAGUUUGAAACACAGCGGAAAAGUGUCUAAUUUUUUUUUUUUUUUAAAGCCUAACCCCAGGGUAUGCCAGAUCCGCCACAAAUACAGGGAUUCCACUGUUCACGCGGACAGAAUCUCCCCUAUAUUUGCACGGCAUUGCACAAGUACAAGAGUACAAACAUAAUACAACCACAACUAAAUAAACAUAUAAAUAUCCAACAGUUUUAUAUUCAUACACCAUUCACCACAGGUUCAUUCACAUAGUCUUAAUCAUGAAUCCACAUCUAUCAGUUAAAAUAAUUUCUAUCUGGAAACUGGUUUUGAAAUACUAAGUUACAAAAACCACGAGAAAGCUGUUUGAAAGCCGUUAUUCAUAAGAAAACUCUUUUCUUUUAAAACACGCUACCACGAUGGGUAGAAAACCUUUCCAUUUCAUGAAAAUCCAAAAAUCAUUGUCUCAUUCAGAAAACCAACUGAAAUCUUGAAUAUUUUAACACAAUGAAAUACUGAACCAUAUAAAUCGACUAAGCUAUAUAUCAAUAGAAAUAAUAAGGGUAAAAACUAAACCGAAUAAUAUGGGUCGGAAGCUCUAUCGACCGCUACGUACGUAUCUCGCGUCUCAUCCCAAUACACAACGGCUGCGAUACCUGAAAAAUGGUGGGGGAGGUGAGAACAUGUAAACAUGUCUCCCCUCCCAGUGGGUACCGCAAGCUGAUGAAGGCGAGGAGUACUCACCGGAUCAGGAAGAGAUAAACAACAAUAUGGGUAAGUGUAAUACUAAAUACAGUAGCAACAAUAAUGAAUGAAAGAGAUAGAACUAUAAAUGAAAGCACAACUACCGCUACUGUAAUGAACAACUGAAAGUAUAUAUGCAGCUAAACUAUAGUAGUAAGACAAGUGUAAAGAAAGAACUGAAGGUAUACAAACAACAACCGCUACUAUAGCUAUAUGCGUUAAUCGGUCAAGAAGUACAAAUAUACCCAAUCUGAAAUCUGCUGCUCUAUUGGUCCGCAACGCAAACCUCAAACCUAUGCCACUACUACUCUCCCAUGCAUAUAACCCCUCUAGGGCUCACGGGUUGACACCUGCAACCACUUUUCCGGAAAAGAACACUCCUUGCGGUGGAUCAGACCGCCAGUGUUCGUGAAAUGCGACGAGUAUCGGGCGGUCAAUGCUGAUAAGCUCAAAGGCCAAACGUCGGCAACCAGCCGACAAUCCUGCCCACAGGGCUCAUCGACCGUAUAGGUCAUCAACUGUAAGGAAGCACAAGAACUGACCACUCAGGUCAACUAGGAUGGGACAACAUCAAUAUCCUCUCAAACAUAUGCAAAUACUGCUCAAUGAACCACAAGGACUGACCACUCAGAUCAACUAGGAUAUAUGCACAACGAAUCGACGAAUAGGUCAUCAGGGUGUAUCAAUAGAAUCCAGAACUACCGUCGGCCACUAGCCAACAAUCCAACCCCUCUAGGGUACAUGACCACAACGGUCAUCGAACGACAGAAGUCAAGGAACCGACCGAAUGUAUCACAAAUACGAGAUACAAGAACGGACCAACCAGGUCACUGAUACGAAGUACGAAAACCAACCAACCAGGUCACUGAUACGAAGUACAAGAAUCGACCAACCAAGUCACUGAUAUGAAGUGCAAGAAUCGACCAACCAGGUCAACAGAUACGCACAUGGAUAGAACCACUCUACUCCUACUCAGGAUACUAAGCAUGCACACAACGAGUAGAGUAUAAUGGAAUAACAUGGGUGCAAGGCUCAAUGUAUACUAUGUAAUAAUAACAACAGAAGAGUAAGGGUAAGAAACCAUCACCGAGCGUGCACCACUGUACCGACGUCGGAUCGAAGUACCCACCUGAACAAAUGUCGCGCCUGUCUCCUGACUGCAAAAGAACGUCAACCGGACCUAAGGAGGGUCCACUAGGUUAGUGUCUAACCCACAACUAAGAGACCCCGAAAGCAUAACCCCACAAAUAAACCCACGAGAAUCGGUUUCCCAAACCGAUCGCCGUACUACGCCGGAAGUCCCGUAAUCGCACCGAGACUACGCCAGUACCCACAGACUGUCCCGAAACUCACCGACUCGUACCACGAGUCACCCGCUGCCACUAAAUACAAAUUUACGUGUGACUUGGCAGCAAAGACCUUAACUCACUCCAAAACGAUUAUCGUCGGAUAAUCGUUCCGAUCCGGGUUCCUGGAAGUAUCGAUUUCGACACCGGAACCCACCGUCGCUCACCCGUCGUUUUCGAACCCUCAAAACAAAGCGAGUGACGAGCCAACAAGGCUCAGCGACGUGGCAAAUGGUCACCAAGUAUCGUCGGAAGAGUUUCGAACCGAAAUCGCGUUUUGUCGGCGGAUUUCACCGAAAAAUGCGUCGGAAAUACAUUUUCGAUCUUCGCAAAGGUCUGGGGCCUUGGACAAUCAGUCCAGAGGUCACCCACUGCUCACCCAUGCUGCCAACAGCAGCCGCAACAACCCAGAAUACAUAAAAGCCCUCCCGAUUACCCGAAAUCGCAUUAUUUCAUGCGAUUUCAGCGCUUUUAUGGUCCGUCUACACAAACUAGAAGUCAAUUAGCCAAACUGAGACACCAGCUGACAGGUCUCGGCGUGAUGGAGGCCGUGCUCAUCUUUCGGAGCAAUUCCGGCCACUGCGACAAGAGCGCGAGCGACGCGAACUUCAGCAAAAUUGUGCGCUAAAACUAAAAAUGCUUCAAAUUCACUCAUUCGGGGGUCUUUGACCUUAAAUGAUGUGAGCACUGUGAUCAGCACUAACCAACGAUCACUGUGCUCACCUCCGGAGGCAUCAGAACAGCCUCAGGUCACCGGAACAUUGAUCCCAAACCGAAACAAUGCGCAGAACAGCAAAAACAUUGCUUAUCAGCCAGGGCAGAGCUAGGGCUGGCCGGCGGCGGCCGGACGGCGGGAGCUCCGGCCAGGGACGAGCGCGGCCGGUCGAUGGGGUCUAGGGCAGGUGCUGGCGAGCGGCGGGAGGCGGCCGGUGGCGCGGCGACUGCGAUCCAAUCCGCCAAGCUACUCUCGGGUUCAAGGGCGCCGGCGGCAAGGCGACGACCGGAGGAGGUCGUGGCGACGUCGAUCUGUCGCCGGAGGCCUAGGGUAUCAUGAUGCGCCCCUCCGUGGGCGGCAGUAUCGUGCGGUGGCCGAGGUGGCUCGGCCUCGGCCCGCACCAGCUCUGGACGGCCGCAGAGUGGAAGAGCGGCGGCCGACGGCUUCGGGGACGUCCGGGGAUGAACGCCGGAGGUCGCCGGAGGUGUCUGGAGGGCGGCACUGCCGGCGGGGAGCAUCGGCGCCGCGCGGAUGCCGAGAUCGCCCAGGCUCGGUCUGGGUGAUCGCGGUUGGCCGCAAGGAGCUAGGGUGCCCCGUCGGCGCUCCGGGACGGUGGGGUAGCGGGCGGCGGCGAGCGGGAUGUCGCCAGAAGGCGGCGCAGCCGAUGGGGGGCGGUGGCCGCAUGCGAAACCCGAGAUCGAGCCUGCUCGGUUUGGGCUGACCCGAGCUGGCCGCAGCUUACUCAGCUGGCUCCAGCGGCGCGUGCUGACGGCGGAAACGUCCGGCGAUGGUACCGGACGUUGGUCUCGGCUAGGGGAUGGUGGCGCUCCGACUUAGAUGACUCCUUGAGACCCCAACCACAACGUGGUGGAGUGGUUGGCAGAGAGGGAGGGAGAGGGUAGUGCGGAAGGGUUUUCCGGUGGCCGGAGGGGCUUGCCGGCGUUCAGGGCGCGCGCACGGUUGGGCAGGGAUGCAGGUGGGGCGGCUAGGGUUCAGUUCGGCUAAAGAGAGGGCCAAAAGCUAGGGUUUCCUCAUGAAACCCUAGUGCAACUACUAUAUACAUAUGUACAUUUUGCAAGAUAGUCCUCUCAGUGUAACGACCCAGCCCACUAGCAACAAUAACUCGUUGGGCUCAAUCACCGGCCCAAAAUGCUUAAGCCCAGUUAUUAUUAUUAGUGUCUAUCCGUUAAGGCCCUGACGUCCUCGUCAGUCCAAUUACACAUACAGCCCAAGAUCACCAGGCAAUGUGAGACUUAUCUCGCUAACCCGUCAUCCAGACCCUGGCUCAGCCGAGACUCGCCACACAUGUUCAGCUGGUGAACCGGCUCUGAUACCAAAUGUAACAACCCAGCCCACUAGCAAUAAUAACUCGUUGGGCCCAACCGCCGGCCCAAAAUGCUUAAACCCAGUUAUUAUUACUAGUGUCUAAGUCUCUUAUAAACCCAAUGACAACCCUUUUCCCAUCCGAUGUGGGACUAUUGGGAUGUCACAGACUCCCCCCGUUAAGGCCCUGACGUCCUCGUCAGUCCAAUCAUACACACAGCCCAAGAUCACCAGGCGAUGUGAGACUCGUCUCGCUAGCCCGUCAUCCAGACCUUGGCUGAGCCGAGACUCAUCUCACACUUCCGGCUGGUAAUUGGCUAUGAUACUAUCUGUGACGCCCCAACUUCCCAGGGGGUCACCCAUCCUAGGACUACUCCCGUCCUAGCACGCUUAACUCUCUUAACCUCUUGGACCUUGCCACCACCCAAAAUGCUUAAGCCGGGUUAAAAGUUUAGCCCUAUUAUAUCUCAUAAAUAGGACUAGCUAGGGUCUCAACCACCGGUCCAAAUGUAACGAAUGUAUGAUACCAAAUGUAACAACCCAGCCCACUAGCAACAAUAACUCGUUGGGCUCAAUCACCGGCCCAAAAUGCUUAAGCCCAGUUAUUAUUAUUAGUGUCUAUUCGUUAAGGCCCUGACGUCCUCGUCAGUCCAAUCACAAAUACAGUCCAAGAUCACCAGGCAAUGUGAGACUUAUCUCGCUAGCCCGUUAUCCAGACCCUGGCUCAGCCGAGACUCGCCACACAUGUUCAGCUGGUGAACCGGCUCUGAUACCAAAUGUAACGACCCAGCCCACUAGCAAUAAUAACUCGUUGGGCCCAACCGCUGGCCCAAAAUGCUUAAACCCAGUAUUAUUACUAGUGUGUAAGUCUCUUAUAAACCCAACGACAACCCCUUUAACAUCCGAUGUGGGACUAUUGGGAUGUCACACUUAGGGAUAAUAUUCUCAGUCAAGUCCUUCACAGCGCGCGUAUUUUACACAUACGCACCUCCACGUCCGAUCUCACGCGAUUUGGCACAUAAAAUAUAGGGUCUCUUCGCGAUUUAUCCGUUUUGCCAAUUUGACCCCUUAGCGGACCUUUCGCGUUUCCCGUAGAUCCGUCCGUCAGAUUUGCGAACGGAUCGCACUAGUGCGAUCAGCACAACGGAGACAAUAAACCUACGAUUUUGAUUCACAUCGAUCGAUCACGGAUACGGGACGAAACCUGUCCGCUCUCCGAUUUCCAAAAAACCACACACAUAUGCCAAUGUGUAAUCCCACUAAAUCCUAGAUUCAAAUUCAAAUUUGAAUCUCCUACCACUAGUAGGUACAUGUAACAUCACUCACCUUACUCUAGGUCACAUACGCAGAGCACGAGGAGUCUCAUUAUGCAAGAACAGCAAAGAGCGAAAACCCACUUUUCGAUAAAAUCUCUUUUUCUCGAAAGCCGUGCGUCAGAUCUGAAAUCCGUCAGUGCCAUUGGUUCCAGAAUAGCUGAACCGGUUGAAACGAGCUAUUGGAUCGCUAUGAACGGAGUCCGAUACGCGCCGAAAGCCAAUUCUACUAUGUGGCUUCUUCGGAAAAUCGGAGUUACUAUUCACUUAAGUAAAAACUAAAAAUCGCGUAUCUUCUCCAUUUUAGCUCAUUUUCUCCUGAAACUUGAUGAGUGCUUAUGUAAUUAAAUUACACACAGGAACAUUGUCAACAGAGAGUCUAAUUGCACUGCCAAAAUCUCAGUCCUUACAAUUCUUCACAUACACAAACUUACAAAAAAUAUUCACAGUAUCCAAUAUCUUUCAAUUAAAUAACUAGAAAAUUAGGUUUAAAAAUAGAAUGAGUUAAAUAAAGCAACUCGAGUUUAAAUUUUAAGUUUGAUUUUAUAAUUUCAAACAUGAAUCUAUAUUUUAAUUCAAAAUUUAGAAUUUAUUUUAAAUUUUAAAUUUUGGGUCCAUAAAUAGAUUAUUUAAAAUUGAAAUAAAUUUGUCACGCCCUAGAUUACUACAUUCCUCGGGCGCGCCAACAGAUCUGUCGUAUACAAAGAAAUUUUUCGUGUAUACAAAGUGAUAGCUGUACCUGUAAACAAAUAGGAGCUACAACCAAAGCACAGAGCUGCUAAACAGAACAUAUAUACAAAAACAUACUAAGCCCACUGUACAUACAAUAUCCAAAAUACAACCUCGCUUCAGAGAGUACAACCAAAACAUAACUAUAUGUACAUAAUCACAACCCAAAACUACCUCUGAAGGGGUACUCCUCUAGCACAGUGAUCAGGGAUGGUAGGGAUCUAGCUUGUGACUCCCUUAUUACGGUCAGAAUCAACAGCAGUAGAUGGCUCUGUAAAAAGGUAGCAACAACUGGGUGUGAGAACUACUACAAAAUAGGGUAGUCCUCAGUGGGUACCGUCACCGAUCCCAACGGCCUACCCACUAAGCCUACAGUAAAAGUAUGCAAAGAAUAGUAAAGUUAGUUGGAAAAACUCUACAGUUACAAGCCACUAGACCACCGCUAUCCAAACCCUACUUUCUGUAGACAUAGUAAUGCAUCACUAGCUAAACAGUGACCUAAUCUCAACGGACCGCCAACUGGCCAGCCCAGCCUGUAUCCAAACUACACCGCACACCACCCACGACAGUGGCCGGUCCAAGAAACUGCCCAAAUGGGACGGCUAUGACAUCAAUGCAAGAAAAGUCUCACUCUGGAGCGGCACUCGUGGGAGCGAUCCAACCGAUUAUGCAAGUGUGUCUCUGUCGAGCUCAAUCAAGCUCACGCAGGCUAUAGUCAAAACAAAUAGAGGGUCAAACUGGUCUAACAAUCAAGGCUCACGUGCCAUCGGCACAAUCUGAUACAAGAUGUAAACAUCUAGGUCCACCGUUCGCCCCGACGGCACCCAACAGUACGGAACAGUCCAAACUCUACUGUAAAACGAGCUCGACCCCUCAGCACGAGCAUAAUCUCAACCUACACUAAUCUAAGUAUCCACGACGCACUAACAAAAGUGAUACAAUAAAGAAAUCAGCUCCCGAAGCUAAAUCUAUUAACAAUUCGAAAAUGACAGUGUAGGUUUAAUUUGUUUUCUCCGAAGUCAAAUCCCAGUUCAGCAUAUAAAAUUCAUCUAAAAUCAUUAGACUAUACUCUAAAUUCAGAUUUCAUAAAAACAUGCAAAUCCAUGAAUUCGAGCUACUACACAUGAUGAUCCAUAUAAGAAAAUACAUGCUGACACUCUACGACUUAGGAGGAAUUCCGACGAUUUCGGUAAACAUUAACCCACUUCAAAAGCUCAUCCAACACCGACUAGGAGUCGAUAGGCGAAACCCCGCACUAGCUCGACCUCCAACGGAAAUACCCCCGAGGUGCGCGAGCAAUCCUCCACAGACCAGAAGAAGAAUCUGAGAUGGACCCUCAGUUAGCUAGAGAGAGAAAAGAGGAGGAAAAGCUAUGGCAUUCUUCAAGCUUCCUAGGCUGAUAUAUAAGCUGGAGGGUCGGUUGGAAUAAACGCCACAGUGAAAUGACCAAAAAACCCCUUACCAACUCAAACCUGCCGCCUGAGUACUAGCACUCAACUUGAGUACCGGUACCCAACACUCAACCCACAAAAUCGCGUGUUGUGUAUCGGUACUAGCCCAAUAAAGUACCGGUACCCAGUCCCAGCACCGGUACUCACCAACAGGUACCGAUACUCGACGCCAAGUUGCGAAAACCCGAGAGCAACAAACCAUGUAAUCCCUCUGGGUUACCGGUACUCCUCUCAGGUACCGGUAGACAACACUCAAAAUCCUGCUUUUGCAGAUUUCAGUGUUCGAACUCCAACUCUCACAGCUCUGAGUCCGUUUUUGCGUCUAUUUCGCACCAAAACGACCUCGGCUCGUCCCGACACUCUAAAGAUAUAUCGAUAAGGUACUUAUGUUGCAGUCAGUCCAACAACUAACCUCAGAGACACUACAAAAUUAACUAAUUAUUUUAAAAUUAUGGAUUCAAAAUACACUUUAAAAUUUGAGUUUUGUUCAUAAAUUUAAAUAUAAAUUUAUUAAUUUAAAAUUUUAAAUUAAUUCAAAUUUUAAAUUUGGGUAUACAUUAAAAAAAAUUGUAUGUUGUACCAUCAACAUUAAAUUUAUUUGGAGAUAAAUUAAAGUUAAAAUAAUGAAACAAUAAAUUGACAUAUUCUACCAAUAAUUAACAUUAAAUUUAAAAUAUAAAUAUAAAUUUAAUUUAAAAUUGAAUGUAACAUUUUGAAUUAAAUAUAAAUUAAAAUUUGAUACUUUUAGUUUAAAAUAUAUAAUUGAAUUUUAGUCAUCAGAAUUGGAAAAUAAAUAGAAAAAUAUUCAAUGUAUAUAAAAAAAUAGAACUUUAUAAUUAUUGUCGGCAAUAAUUUGAAUUUGAAUUAGGAUAUGAGAUAUUUUUGAAUAAAAUAUAUAGAUGAAUUUACUUUUUGAAAAUUUAAAUUUUUGGAUAAAUAUAAUUCACAAAUUUAUGUUGAUUUGAGAUUGCUAUUAAAAUGGUUGUUGAUAGAAUUAAUUUUUUAACAAAAAAAAAUAUUGCAUUCUGUUUGCGAAAAUGGAAACAAGGUUUAUAUUUAUCCAAAUUUCUAUCAAUUAAAAAAUAUCUAUUGUAAAAUAUUUUUCACCAGCCCUAUAAAAGAAUAUUCCAUACUUAUUGAAACAAAAAUUUCUACGAAAUACACAUUGAAAAUAUUCAUAGUAUCCACUAUCUCUCAAUUAACUAACUAAAAAUAAAUUAUGUUUCAAAAAUAGAAUGAUUAAAAAAUAAGCCUAUCAAAUCGAUUUUAUAUUUUAAAUUUGCUUCAUAAUUUCAAACGUGAAUCCAUAUUUUAAUUCAAAAUUUAAAUUAAAUUUAAAAUUUUAAUAUUUGGUUUUAUAAAUAGACUGUUUUAAAAUGAAAAUAAUUAAUUAAUUUAAAAAUAUAUCAAAUUUGAGAGAUAGAUGGGUUGAUAAAUAAAUCUAUAUCUCCAGUAAAUAUUUAUAUUCAAAAUUAUGGUAUUUUAAAUUUUAUUCAUAAAUUUAAAUGUGAAUUUAUUAACUUAAAAUUUAGAAUUAGUUAGAAGUCUUAAAAUUUAUUUACAAUUAAAAAAAAUUUAUAUAUUAUAAAACACAUAUGAAAAGUAUUUACAAUAUAACUAAGUUAAAAAUAUAUAAAACUUAUUUGAAGACAAAUUAAAAUUCGAAAAAAAAUCAAUUGACGAAUAGACUCGUACCACCAAUAACUACUUAAAUUAAAAAUAUAAAUAUAAAUUUAAUAUAAUGAAAUGUGAUGUGUAUCGCACAUACACUAUAACUAGUAUUUAUAAAUUUAUGACUUUAUAUAUAGAGCAGUGACAUUCUUAUUUGUAUAGAAGAAUAAAAUUUUUGGUUAAAAUAUAAUUAAAAGAUAUGCUGAUAGUUUCUUUUAAAUUACUCUCAACAACUAUUAUGGUUGAAACCUAUAACCGAUAUUAUGAGCAUAAUUUCAUCACCUACAACUAUAUUUUUUAUACAGCUCCAAUUGUAACAGUUUCAAUAUAUUAUUUAUAUUUUUUGGGAGGCAAUUGUUUAUAUACUUUGAAAAGUUUUCGACUUUUUUAUUUAUCCUUUUUAGAACGCUAAUAUUAAAAAUAUUUUUUUAAUGCUCCAAAUUAUUUCAAAUAUAUCUCUAUAGUUAAAUUCUAUUAGUAAACAGUUAGAAAUAAUCGUUAUCUUCGUAAAAAUAUUAUUUUGCCCUUUCAAAUAUAAUCUUCUACCAUAUACAACUUUUCAUAUUUGCCUUAAAUUAGAGACAAAAAAAAAAUUUAAAAUUUUUGCCUUUUUAAAUAUAUUUUGCUGCCAUUACAAACUUUUCUUAGUUGAACUUAAGUUACAAAUAAAAGAGAUAUUUUGAUUUAGUUUUAAUCUUUAUAGAAAUUUAAUCUGGAUUUAAUCCGAGAUGACUUAACAGUUACUAACAACAAUAUUACUUUUGAAUAACAUAGAAAUAUAUGAAGAAUAUAUUUGAAACUAAAAAAAUAAAGAUUAUAUAAAAUAUUUCAAAAAUUUUGAGAGAUAUAUUUAAUAUUAUUCCUUUUUUAAAUCACAUAUACAGAACAAUUACGACUAUUUACAAACAAACAGAAAGCCCCUUACUCUGAAUCACCUGACAAACCAGGUGAUUGAUUACCUGUUCAAACAGCGCGGGGAUGGGAAUUUGGCGAAAACAGAAAAUAAAAUUGAACACCAUAUGGACAUUAUCAAAGCCCCUUUUCUCGAAGGGACAUCAAAUUUAUUAAAUUUCAUUAAAUUCAGACUGAAUAAUGCUGAGAUUCAUUAAGAAAUUUACUCAGCCAGCAAAAGAGGCAGAUAAUCAGUAAAAAUAACUCUCCAGCUAGCGCAUUCGAAUUUGUGAUUUGUUGCCUUUAAUCUGUAAUUCAGAUUCAGAGCAUUGCGAUGAGCCCCAUUGUUUCGGUUUGAACACUUUCAAAAGUUCAAUAUUAUUCAUAACAGAACGUCACAAGCUAACACCACUACCACAUACUAGGAAACAAGCACAGCAUCUCGUUCAAACUAAAGUCCUAAAGCGACUAGCAAACAAUCUUAAUAAAGCUCCCCUUCCUUGUGUGUGUAAAUGACGCAGUCCGCCCUUGGAUACGACACGCAUGUGAGGACGUACCCGUUCGCCAUCUGCCCCUCGUCGAGAAACGACCCAUCGGAUUGGUCAACCUUUCCCGACUCCAAUUGACCUGUUAAGAAUAAAAUGAUGUUUUAAACAUUAAAACACUCUAGUAAGCUCGUAGAGAAAUCGAUUGUUUCGUACCAAUAUUAGAAUAUUAAAGCAGGCGGUCCAGAAUACAUAUUCAGCCAUACUCAUUUAUUAUUUAAUUUGAAAAAAAAUAACUCCAUCCUUUUCAUUUUGAAAUUUACACACUGGUUUAAAAAGUUUAAAAGACUCGAGUCCACAGUAAGGGAGACAAAAUGUUUAAAUACUAUUUUCUGACAACUUCAAAUUUUAAGAGCAGUAUGUUAAAUCAUUUUACCAGCGCAAGUUGAGCAUGCGCCAGCCCGGCAGGAGUAUGGGAGCUCAAUCCCGGCAUUCUCAGCUGCAUCAAGGAUGUAGGUGUCAUCAGGAGCUUCAAACUCGUUCUCCUGUCCCUCGGGCCCGAUCAGCUUCACCUUGUACACAGCCAUUGCCGAGGCCCUAAAACCAUUGGAGAUUUUUAGGGAGGAUGAUGACAUCGAGAUGCGGUUCAGUGAGCUUAAAGAGGAAGGGCUUUUGAUGAGCAGAGAGGACGGCUGGUUUCGGAAGCUGCUUUUGAGAGUGUAGGUGCUCGGGAGAGUAAUGAUCGACAUCUUGCAACCUGAUGAGCCAAAAAACCCAGAUACGUCUUGUUAAAAUAAAUAGGUAUUGCUUAGCCGAUUAAUAUGUAUAAUAAUGGCGUUACUAUUAUAUAGUGAAAUAAAGUAAAUGCCAUCAAUCAUCCGAUCAAAGAGGCAAGGGUAAAAAAAACAGUAUUCUGAUGAAAAGAAAAGGGAAAUCAUUGUAUGAUUCUGCAGUACAAACUUGCAAAAUACAACAGAAUAAAGAGCAUAAAAUGCAGUACAAACUUGAAAUUUGAAGUUUAAAAUUUAAAAUUUAAAAUUUAAAAAUUAAAAUUUAAAAUUUAAAAUUUGACAAUUCAAAAUUUUAAAUUAAAAUUUUUAAAAUGGCGUAUUGAAACGGUUUUGGGAGUUGGAGGGGUAAACUUAUAAUUUUAUAUAAUAUGCAAGAUUAGCCGCGUUAAGCAAUCCAAGAUACACCCCCCUCUCCCCGCGGUAAUAUUUUCAGUGUAAUCUUAAACUUUUUGUAAUGCUGCAAUACCGAAUAGAUUACAUACCAGAUAACCCAAACACAGCAAUCCUAUCAGAAUUGCCUGUAAUCCUGCCAAGAUAACCCGAACCAAAUGCACCCUAAAACUAAGAAGAUCGCAAAAUAUGCAGCAAUCAUGCUCUUGAUGCUAUACGUUCCAAUAAAGAGAUUAGCACCUAUUUCUCACCGGGACGAAGUAGAUUACAUAUCAAGGCUAUGGGCACAUUGUUCAACUAAUAUAUGGCAUACAGGACUCUUUCUUUACCAACUGGACAAGAUGAGAAUAUAAUCACUUUGUCUUCUGCACUAUACUAUUAAGCUGAGAAUUGAGGCAAUGCAUCAGCAAAGUAUGAACUUAAACUGUGUAAACUCAUCUUCGAAAGCUAGGGAGCCCCGCAUUCACCAUAGAAUAAACAGGAAGAAACCUUCCAUAUGAUGUACUAAUUGAACAAGAGCUAGACUAAGUAUAUAUAACAUACAGUAACAAUAUCAUCCCUUUUACUUGACUGUAAUGCAUUUUAUUUGCCUACUCCAUGAGAAGGUUGACUGCAUUACCUAGCUCUUUCAAUUGGAGUUCUGCUAGCUCAGACAACUUGACAUUCAACUUCCACCAAAAGGCAGGCACAACAGUAAAAUCUUCCAUAUUCUGCUAUAAACUAUUGUUGAGACUUGAGAGUCGUGGAUCAUAAUCGUGUCAUGACCCAACUUGAUUACUCCACUAUCUUCAACUUAGUAAUACAAAGCAUAAUGUGCUAAAACUUAAAUGAGUUAUAGCAACUAGUAUUAUAAAGCUAAACUACUGAUGCCAGAAAAUUUGAACUCUUCUUUUACAAUAAGUAAAUGUUAGGUAUAGAUAUACAGUAUAAUCAAACUUGUAGGAUAAAAUGCUCAAGAAAAUCAUUUCUAGCAAGCUUAGAAACGCGUAUAAUCAUUUGAAAGCAAAUGGAAUCUAAGAACCAACAGUUCCCUUCUCAAUUCACCUGGUUGACGUGGUGCUAAAGGGGGGAUUUUUUAAAAAAAAGGGAAUCCAAGAAAUAGCCAAAGGGUGCCUUGCUGUGACAUUAUGUGACAUUACUGCAUUUUUCAUCUAUAGUUGAUAAUAAAAUUAUCAAAACCUCUCUCCAACUAUGUCAUAACAUAUUCCCAAAGCUCCAAUAUAUUCCUCCACUAUGACUAUCAAAAUAUUGGCCAAUCAUCAAUAUUCAACUAGUGCUUCAUAUUCACUCUAAAGUCUAAACAAAUGCCCAGUGGCUACUAAGUAAUCGUUUCUCACAUUUAUUUCAAGAUUUAAUAGAUUAACCUAAUGUCAAUGCAUGAUAGGGCGUUCACUGGGUGGAAAUAGAUACAAAGAGAAGAAGCUCAAGAUUGAUUAUUAUGGUUCUGAUCAACAAAAAAUUGCAAACCUCUACCAUGAAUAAUCAAGGUAAAAUCUAAGGAGACCUCCAAAACUUUAGCCCCGUUUGAACUUUGAAAUGGGCCCUUCAACUUCAUUUUUUUUCUUAAUCGCCAAAUUUUCGACUUCGAUGUGUUUUAACUAGAGUUAUUUAAACCCAUUACAAUUGGAUGUUUGUUAAACUAAUUAGACAUUCCAUCAAAUUUCACAGCUCUAACUACUUCUGUAGAUGUAAUGCAGAAAUCUUAAGAAAGUAAUAGCCGAUAUCUACUGAAACGGUUAAUUUUCAUCAAGUUCCUAACUUUGAACUCCAAAUCAAAUAACUAACACAAAUCGGAGGUGUCGCCAAAAGUAAGAGAGCAAAUCAGGGAUCUAUAUCAAAAUGACCUGUAGUUGACGGCAUCCCCAUACAUUUCUACACAAAAUAAAGUCCACCGCAAAAUAUAUAUAUAUAUAUAUAUAUAUAUAUAUAUAUAUAUAUAUAUAUAUAUAUAUAUAUAUAUAUAUAUAUANNNAGGAAGCGAUUGAUGCGACAUCUACACAAAGGAUGUGGAGGAUCUCAGAAUUAGAUCGGGAGCUCGUAUAAAAGGAAAGAACACGAUUAACACACCGCCGAUCCAAUAUUAGACGAUAAAUUAGACACAAACAAAAGGAUCAAAGCUACGCAAUCUAUACCUGCUGGAGAGAGGUUGAGAUCGAGAUCGAGAUCGAGAUCGAGAUCGAGAGGGGCGAUUUCCCCAAGCUCUUUACAGAGGGGAGGAGAAGAGAGGGACAGAGAGGGGAGUAGGAAGAGGAGACGAUGAUUCGAGAGGGCGCGUACCCUAGCGAGCCUCGUCACUCCUUAUAUAGCCCAUUACUUAUAACAAUUAUUCAUAAUAAAUUUAGUAAUUAAUAGUGUGUUUUCGGUGGCUAUUUAGUGGCUGAGAGGUCGGACAAGCGGGGGGGGAGGGAAAUUGUUGCGUCGCCCACAGUCUCCAUGACCAAACCGCCUCAGCAAAGGGCAAAGAGGAACAGCGAAUUUACGGCGAAAACCCUCGAACAUCUAUAGAAUUACUUUUUUUUAUUUAUGAAUUCCCAGUACAAUUUUGAUCGCAUUCAAAAAAACGGUUGGUAGCCACAUGGCCAAUUAAACAGUAAACUAAUUAGAAGUUGCCAAAUGUCUCAUAAAAAUUUCGAAUGCAUCCAUUAAUAUGCAUCAAAAAUAAAUUUAUAUUAUACAAUAAAUUAUUUAAAUAUUUUAUAUUAUAUUUUAGUUUACAGUACUACUCAUCUAAUAUACAAGUACUAGGGUGUAUAUAUAAGGAACAGUACUAUACACUAGAUGCAAGCAAAGACUUAUCCUCUUUCCCUUUUGGAAUUAUAAAUAUAUCAUAUUGAGCAUUCUCUGCAUUCUUAAUGUCUUUAAUAGAGAUUUUAAAAUCUAAUUCAUUAAAUAUAAUUUAAACUGCUAGACUUUGUAUAUCAUAUUUAUUUAAUUAAGGUUUGAUAUUGAAUAAUUUGUCAUUUUAUAUAAGUUGUCAUGUAUGGGAUGUUAACAUACAUGAGGUGCAUGCAUAGUUUUUUCGUUCUCCAAUCAAUUUUACCAAAAUAAAGACACCUUUAUUUUUUCAGCAAUUUAAAAUAAGUCAUCUAAUUUUAACUUUUUAAUUAAAAAAAAUUAUUUAUAAAAUAGCCAUCAAAAUUAUUAAAUUUGAUUGAACUUUUAAAUAAAGUUGUUAUAAUAAUUUAACUCUUCAAACUCUAAAAAUUAAGAAAAUAUUAUUUUUUAUAAUAUAUAUAAUGCUACUUUAUAAUUUUUUUCUUUGUUAUAAUUUUUCAAUCUUAAAAUUUUAAUAGUUAUAUAUCUUAAUUAGCUGAUAUACUAUAUAUCCACCCGGAAGCGCGGGUGCUACACCGGUUUUUAUUAAAUAGAUCUCUACGAUCUAACUUUUCGCUUAAACUAUUAAACUUUAAAUAUUUUACUAGUUAAGAGACACGUGCGAUGCUGCGGAUAGUUAUUUUAAGAUUUAAUUUUAAAAAUUAGUUAUAAAUAUUAAUUUCAGAAUUUAAUUGGUGCAAUAAGUACAUCAAAAACUUUUAGUAGGCAUAGUAGUCCCCCAUUAGUUAGUGAAAUAAUUUUAGUAGGUAUCGUAGUCCCCCAGUAGUUAGUGAAUGAGAAGAGAAAUCAUUGUUUGUGAUUCUUGCAAUUAGUUUUCGUCAAAUAUAAAAUUAACUUAAACUGCAUCAAUUUUUUUUUAUUUUUUAAUGUAUAAUUUAUAUGUGUAUUCUCAAUAUUGUAAAAUUAAUAUUUAUAUCUAAUACCAGUAGUCUAAAUUAUUUAACAUUUAUUUAUAUAUUUUACAUUUUAUAAGAAUAAAUAAUAAAUUAUUAUAUAAUAAUAUAUCUAUAUACAAAUAAAAUACUAUAUAUAAUAAAUAAAUAUAUAUUUAUAAAUAAAAUUAUAUAUUAUAGUAUAUAUAUAUAGAGUCCGCUAUGUGUUGUACAAGUACCCAAGCACUUGUGCUUAAAAUUUUUUACCGGUAGAUCUCUGCCUUUGAUCAUUUUACCCGUUAGAUUAUAUUAUCCUAGGGGCCACAUCAUCCUAACCGCACAUCCCUUAAUUCCAAGGGCGAAAACUUAUAAGAACCAAUGACUUGUAGUUUUAAAAGCAUAGGACUAAUUCUAUAUAUAUAUAUAUAAUAUAUAUAUAUAUAUAUAUAUAAUAUAUAUAUAUAUAUAUAUAUGAGAAGAGAGAGAGAGAGAGAGAAUAUGAGAGGGAGGUCCACCGUGGACCACCUCUCAUGUGGUCCACGAGGCCACUUCGGCCUUGUGGACCCGUGAAGACCCCAUCACUGUGAGCGCCCCGAUUUGUGUUAUUGGCUGCCGCCAGAACGUUGGCUGUUGGGGUGGGGGUUGGUUCGGGGUUUGGGGGGAUGGUUUCUUGGGCCAGGGGGGGAAAGCCUUAGCCCGCGCCUCGCGCCGUGCCGCGCCCUUGCGCGCCGCCCGUCCACGCUGAUUGCACCGCGCGUCGGCUUGCGUCACGUCGUAGGAUGCCGGCCACGCCCCCGCCCCAGGACGCCCCCGCAACCCGCCCCCGCCCCCGCCUCGCGCUGCUCCCGGCCGCGCCUCCCUGCGCCGGCGCCCCCCGACACGCCGCCGCACCCGAGGCUCCGCCCCCGACACCCCAAAGAACGCACACCGCCCCAUCGCGCCCCGCCGCGCCCCGGCGCCGCCCGCUCCGACUCGCUGCCCCCGCCCGCGCCAGCGCCCGCGGCCGCCCGUGCCUCGCGCCCUCGCCCGCGCCUCGGCCUCCUCGCGACACGUGUGCAGUUAUUGAGGAAUAAUAAAUAGUUAUAGAUUAUAGAUGUUUACUCUCAAAGUUUAUAAAUAACCAACUAGAAUUAAUAUUGAUCAAAUAAUCAAGAAAAUAGCAAAAUAUGAUGGCAGUGAUAUAGACGAAUUUUCUCCAUACGAAAAAUUACUUUAGCAGAUAAAAUUGAUUAUUGAUUAUAUUUAUUAUAUUUUAUUCUUAAAAAUCAAAUACGAACAAUAAAUUAUUUAAGGGUUAAUUGUAUACAACUCCCUGUAAAUAUAGCAAAUAGCAAAUAUAUCCCUACAAAGUUCAACUUUCUUAUCCCUGCAAAAGUCCUAAUAUUAACAAAUAUGCCUCUACCGUUAGGUUUUAUUAGAAAACUAGUGUAGUAACCCGCGCGAUGCAGCAGAUAAAUAAUAGAAGAGAAAAUAAAAAAUAUUGAAGAGAAAGAAGAAAGGAGUUUGGAAAAUAAAAAUUCAAAUAUAUAUAUAUAUAUUUUUUUUGUAGGGAAAUGUAUGAAUUGAAUAAAUCAAUACGACCAUUGAAAAUCGAUAACUGUCCAGAAUCACUAUUCAAAAAAAAACUACGAAGGUCGUAUGAAGAUGGAGAUGAUAAUGUUGCGAUGAUGACGACGACGGCUAUAAAAAUCUCAUGCAAGUUUGCACGAUUUUGCACCCUUUUGGGCAUGGAAUAAUCAGAAGUUGCGGGCCAAAACUGCCACAUCAAUUAUGAAAUCAAAACUAACAUCUAAAUUAAUCAAAGUAAUGCGCAUAAAUCAAAUACUUGAUUGAUAUAACCACCAUAUCAAAAAUAAUGCAAAUUAAUUAAAUUCUAAUUGGAUAUAUGGUAAGAAUUCGAGAUUAAAAUAAAGAAAAGAAAAAUUAGGUUUAGGAUUUUCGUCUCCCAAACCUACCCCUCAAUCCGUCCGUUAUCGUUGUUCAAUUAGUUUCCUCUAUUGAAAAAACCAUUCGAUUACCUUCUUUUUUCAUAAAUUCGAAGAGAUCGACAUAAAUAGAAAUCCUAGAAGCACUCUCUUGAUUCGGGGGGAGUGGGGUUGGAUAGAGUCGGAUUGGCACGGAUUAGGGCUUGGAGGACUCCUUGCUGUUCCCCAAUCUCUAGAUCUGAAAGUAAUAACUAUUCAUCUUCUCCACUUUUUUAUUUUGCAUGUUAGGAAUUGUUUGAGGGAGAAACGACUAAUAUUUAAGAGAAAAAAUUUAGAAAUGUAUAAUUAAAAAGCACAUUGAUUAUAGGUUAUUGAAUAGAGAGAAGGGGAGAGGAAAAGCCAAGAGUAAAGAUCAAUUCAAAAAAAGAGUUAGUGAAGCUCGAGGAAAACUUGCCACGUGGCAAAAUUAUUUAGAAUUCAUAUAGUGUGAGAAAGUGAAUUCUCGAAAUACGAGAGUUAGACUUCAUUCAGAAUCGACCAAGGGUCGUGUUGGUGCGCUUUGGAAAAGCCAAAGAUACUAAAAUCACCAAAAGUGCAUUGGAAGUGAGUCCAUGAGAGCAAAUAGUGCAAAACUUGCACUGGAGCAAAACUGCUCUCGAGGACCGGUCUCUGGUAGGGAGGGACCGGUCCCAUUGGCUGGUGUUGCAGGGUUGCUUGAGGCAACCGGUCCCUGGUAGGGAGGGACCGGUCCCCGAACGCGAACCCAGUGAGAAAGCCAGAAAAUUGGCUAAGUCCUGAAUCCCAGCUCUCGGGAACCGGUCUCUCAGGAAGGAACCGGUCUCCCGAGGACCGGUCUCUCUGGGAGAGACCGGUGCCCGAACGCGUGACCCGAGCUGAAGCUCUCGGGGACCAGUCCCAAGUCGGGGAGACCGGUCCCUUCGCGCGCAGAAUGCCCAGUGAGGGCUGUGCAGGGGAUGAAAAGUAGAGGGGGCUGCUGGGAUAUUAUUACAUUAGAGAGUAUAGGGGACCCCCUCUCUCUCUCCAACUCUCAUUUUCUCUCCCUCUCUUACACUCUCUUGUUCCCUCUCUAUCUCUAGAAGGAAAAGAGAAGAAGAACAAGAAGGAGAAGAAGGAAAGGAAGAGAAGAAAAGGAAAGGGAAGAAAAGGAAGGAGAAGAAGAAAGAGAUCAAGAGGAAGACCUUGGACAUCUUUCCUUCCCUCUCCUCUUCUCCUUGGUGUAGCUAAGAGGUAAGCUACCAAACCCUAGCUUAUGAAACUUAGGGUUUUUGGGUUUUAGCUCUUUGGAUGGGAUCAAAUAGAUCCCUAGCACCAUGAAUGGUAAGAUUGGAGCUAGAAUCUAGGAUUUUGAGAUGGGUUUAGCUUGGUGCUAACCCUAGGGCUCCAAAAUAGGGUUUUUGAUAAAGUAUGAGAUUGAUCUCAUUUGAGACCAUGUAAACCUAAUUGCUAGGUAACGAAACGCGGGAGCGAAGUCGGAAUUUCGAUUAGUUGAGCGGAUCAAGAGCUAUCGGCAAAAUAAGGCCGAUUGAGCAUUAUUUUGGACCAAGAAGAUCAAGACUUCGUCGUAACGUUCGUUGGAGGGCAUUUCUAGAGCCUUCAUACCCUCAAGAGGUGGGGGGUGUCAUCCCGAAGCAACCGGGUUUCCUUUUAUGCCUAAGUUAAUUUUAUUCAUCAUAUGUUGAUUGUGCAUUAUAGGAUUAGUAGAAGUAUAUUUUCAUUCCUUGCAUGCUUACUUAGUAGUGUAGCGGUAUGGACCUAACACUUGGACUAGGGAGACAUGAGGAUUGGGUCUUGAGACAAAGAAUCAGAUAGUGGCAAAAGUGAUGAACUUGGACAUAGGCUAGUAGAGGGGCAUUGAACUAGUGUAGUAGAAACACUAAACAAGAACGAGUGGCAUGUCAAUUAGCUAGAAAACUUACUACAAUGAUCGAACGAGUGGCAUCGGGUCUAGUGUAGUAAACAUGACAUGGUUCUAGGGAUAGUAGAGAUCCCGGCAUCUAGGAUGCAUUGUAUAUUGUGCAGUAGAGGCACAUUGACCCUAGUAGACAGGGUAUCCUCUUGUGAGGAUUGGAUCAUACUCAUUAGUCUGUUUUUGCUUGUCGGUGGUCGCUCCACCGAGGCACGAGUCUCUGGAGUACUUCACUAGGGGCAGACGUAGUUGUCCCGCAGACGGUCUCGUUGUGUGAGUGCAGUUUCUCCUCACCUAUGAGAUUGAGAGUGAGUCGAGGGUUUAAGCUACGGGUUAACCAAGUGGAUUGGGUAAUAAACAUGAAAUGCAUAGUAGACUUGCAUUAUUACCUUGAGUAGACAUAGUGUAUGUUGUAGAUUACAUUGCUAUGCAUCUUUAUAUACUCAUGACAUGAUACUAGCAUGAUAGUAAUUGUUGCAUGCAUUAUUAUCAUUGAUGGCAUGAUAGAGUAGUCGCAGUUUACUUUUAUCUAUCUAUCUAUCUAUCUAUCUGUGCAAGCUUAGACCUAGUGAAAAAACCGGCGGCGUCGGCGGCCGAACCCACUGGGAACUAUAUUUAUAUAGUUCUCACCCCGUGCGGUUUUGGGGUAUAGGUACACAUAGAGGCGAGUCGAGCGAGGAUCGUGGCAAGGGCAUAGCGCCCUAAGUGAGCCUAGUUAGUAACUUUUCCUUUAUGCAUUAGAGUACCCUCGUGUACUAGAAGAUGUUUUGGAUAGUUAUUGGAGAGCUACUUGUAUUUUGAUGAAAACAUGUAUUCACAUUUUGGAAGAUGAAAAUGUAAAUAUUGAAUGGUUGAGAUAGUUAGACUAUCUCUCUUUAUACACUUGUAUACCACUUGUGGUUCUUGCUCUUAGUUACUUGGCACUUGUGUGCCUUAGUCGAUCAUGUAUGUAUUGAAUUUAUUCUCCUGGGCAAAUUCUUGUACAUGAUUUGGGGGUUUAGCCUUGGGCGGACAGGAGAGGUGCUGUCCGUUCGGCGGUCUAUCCGGCGCGCCCGAACCGUGCCAAAUUGGUAGUGGAUUCGGAGCGGGGCGUGACAAGAGUUGUUGGUAUCAGAGCAAUUAAGAGCAAGUAAAGAGAGAGUCUAGGAUGGACCUAAGAGACCUUGGGACGGUGAACCCUAGGAGUGUAUAGGUACGUGAGAGAAACGAAAACCUAAAUCGGUUGAGGAAGAAUCCGAUUGGGUUGGAUCGAGCAUAGAUCUCUAGUGUGGCUAGAGAUAGAUCCGAGCGGUGUUAGUUCCGAGCUCGAGGAGUUUGUGUUGGCGGCCGACAACACGACGCUAAGAGUUAGGACUAAUACACUAGUGUACGUCCGCUUAUGGUGGAGUUGAGUCGCAUAAUAUAGUGUAUGCGAUGGAGUUAAGUGGGUUAGGUUGGAUCGAGUAUAGAUCUCUAGUGUGGCUAGAGAUAGAUCCGAGAGGUGUUAGUUCUGAGCUCGAGGAGUUUGUGUUGGCGGCCGACAACACGACGCUAAGAGUUAGGACUAAUACACUAGUGUACGUCCGCUUAUGGUGGAGUUGAGUCGCAUAAUAUAGUGUAUGCGAUGGAGUUAAGUGGGUUAGGUGACUAACCCGAUUGUUGCGUUGUAGGAACAAUGUCCCCAAGACGGUACGUGCGUAGGUCCGUUCCGGCACCAUCUUCUGAGGUGCCCGAGCCGGAUCUAGUGAGGUACAGGAGUUACGGGCACAGGUGUCGGCAUUGACCGGUAUUGUACAACGCCAGGAGAGUCGAUUUGAGCAGCUCCAAGGGCUUAUGGAGCUGCAUUUUGCGGCGGCAACUGCAGCUGCGACUGAGGGCCGUGAUCCGCCCCCGCCUCCAGCUCGUGCGCCUACAGCGGCUGAGGGCGAGGGCAUUGCGGCAGUUCCGGUGGCGGCACGUCCUCCGCCGGCAAGCUUUCCUCCGGCGGCGUCGGGUUCCACGACACCCGAUGCGACGGCAUUAGAGGCGGAGAGGGAGCGCGCACUUGCGGCUCUCGAGAAGUUCCGAAGGUUUAAUCCACCGACCUUCGAGGGAGAGAAGGUCGAGCCGUGGAUGGUUGAGUCGUGGGUGGACUCAAUGGAGACCUUGUUUGAGGAUCUCUACACGUUGGAGAGGGACAAGGUCUACCUCGCCACUCAUUGUUUGGAGCGGACGGCGAAGGUUUGGUGGAAGCGAAUCAAGAGGAACCGAGCUUUCGACCUUCCGCCGUUGACAUGGGAGGAGUUCCGGGGGUUGUUCUAUGUCAAUUACUUCCCCGAUAGCAAGAAGAAAAAGCUCCAAGAGCAAUUUCGAAAAUUGAAGCAAGGUGGUCGCACGGUAGCGGAGUAUGAGCGGGAGUUCUCUCACAUCAUCGACUGCGUCCCCGACGUAGUGCGGGGUGACAGGGAUCGAGCCGAUUGGUUCGAGCCAGGGCUCCGGGCGGAUAUCUACCGGGCGGUGCACAUUUUGAAGCUCACUACCUUCGCGGAGGUGCUCGAUCGAGCGUUGUGGGCGGAGCAAGGAAACACUCACAUCCGGGAGGAGCGAGAAGCGUCCGAGAAGGACGGUGGUAAGAAGCGGGCUCAGAGUAGCUCGGGAGCUCAAACUAAGUCAAAGAGGCCCCCGAAGUACCCCCGAACGCAAUCCAAGGGCCGCGGACCGCAGCGAUCCACAAUCUGUGGUGGAAACCACGAGCCUAGGACGUGUGAUCAAUGGGAAGGGAAGUGCUUCACGUGUGGACAGGCGGGCCAUAUCAGCCGCCAUUGUCCAGUAAGGGCUUUGCCUGCCUCUUCGGUCGCGUCGGCUCCGGCGACUCCGGCACAUUAUGGAGGAGUUCCAUUUGCUGCGUAAUCGGCUUGACGUGCGAUGGUACCAGGCCAAUCUAAGGCGACGAGAUCGGCUCCGAGCGGGCGGGUGUUCGCCGCUCCAGGGCCAUGUUUGAUACAGGUGCUACGCAUUCAUUCAUUAGUAGGUCAUUUGCACGCAUGCAUGACAUAGAACUACAAGAGAGUAAAAGCACUUGGAGGGUAUCGGGCCCCGGACGUGAUUUUCUAGUCCGGAUGGAGUGUUCGUCUUGUCCAGUGCGAUUGGGUGAUUGGGUAAUGCCCAUCCGUAUGUUGGUGUUUAAGAAGUUGAAAGACUUCGACGUCAUUCUAGGAAUGGAUUGGCUCUCGAAAUACUAUGCAACUAUUCACUGCAGAAGUAAAGUAAUAACGUUUCGAGAGCCGGGCCAAAAGGAAUUCAUCUACCGAGCCUGUAGAAGCUCGCGCUUCGCUGCAAUGGUGUCGGUGACGAGGGCGAGGAAGUUGAUUAACAGCGGUUGUACGGCCUAUUUGGCGACCGUUGUAGAGGUCGAGAGGACGACUCCGGCACUCGAGGAACUAUCCGUGGUCCGAGAGUUUUCGGAUGUGUUUCCCGCGGAAUUACCGGGAAUGCCGCCAGACCGGAAGAUCGAGUUCGUGACAGAAUUGGUUUCGGGAACCGCGCCUAUCUCGAAGGCUCCGUAUCGGAUGGCGCCGGCGGAAUUGAAAAAAUUGCGGGCUCAAUUAUUGGAUCUCCUUGAUAAAGGGUUUAUACGGCCAAGUGUAUUGCCGUGGGGAGCCCCGGUCCUAUUCGUGCGAAAGAAGGAUGGAUCGUUUCGGCUCUGCGUAGAUUAUCGCGAGUUGAACAAGGUCACGAUCAAGAAUAAGUACCCGUUGCCGAGGAUUGACGAUCUGUUUGAUCAGUUGCAAGGGUCUCGGGUUUAUUCAAAGAUUGACCUGCAGUCCGGUUAUCACCAACUUAAGAUCAAGCAGGAAGAUGUGCAAAAUACCGCGUUUCGCACGCGGUAUGGACACUAUGAAUUCACGGUCAUGCCGUUUGGGCUUACUAACGCCCCGGCAGCGUUCAUGGAUUUGAUGAACCGUGUCUUCAAGGAGUACUUGGACCGAUUUGCCGUGGUCUUCAUAGACGACAUCUUGGUCUACUCGCGUAGCGACGAGGAACAUGCCGAACAUUUGAGAAUAGUGCUUCAAGUCCUUCGGGAGGAGAAGCUAUAUGCUAAGUUUAAGAAAUGCAACUUUUGGCUCCGAGAGGUUGCAUUUCUUGGGCAUGUUAUUUCCGAAGGUGAAGUAUCUGUUGACCCGAGGAAAGUGGAGGCGAUCAAGGAUUGGCCUCGCCCGACUAACGUCACGGAAGUUCGAAGCUUCGUGGGUUUAGCGGGUUAUUAUAGACGGUUCGUGGAGGGAUUCUCGAAGAUCGUGGGUCCACUUACCCGUCUGACUCGGAAAGGCGCCAAGUUCAUUUGGAACGACGAGUGCGACCGGAGUUUUCAAGAGUUGAAGAAUAGAUUAACUUCGACUCCGGUGCUCGCCUUAUCGGUGCAAGAUGAAGACUUUGUGGUGUAUAGCGACGCGUCACAUUCGGGCUUAGGGUGUGUUCUGAUGCAGGGCGAGAAGGUGAUCGCUUAUGCGUCCUGUCAGCUGAAAAGCUAUGAGAAGAACUACCCUGUUCACGACUUAGAGUUGGCCGUAGUAGUGUUAGCUCUCAAGUUAUGGAGGCACUACUUGUAUGGCGCGCGUUGCGAGAUAUACACGGACCACAAAAGUUUGAAAUACCUUUUCACACAGAAGGAGCUCAACAUGCGGCAGCGGCGGUGGUUAGAAUUGCUGAAGGAUUUCGAUAUCACAAUCCUAUACCACCCCGGAAAAGCAAACGUGGUGGUCGACGUGCUUAGCAGGAAGUCAGUGGAAAAUCUUGCUAUGUUGGUCACACGCCAGGAGCCACUGUGGAGAGAGAUGGAACGAUUGGAUCUCGAGGUGGUAGCUCCGAAAAUCCCGUCUAUGCUUAUGGCUCUUGUUGUCCAACCGACCUUGUUGGAGCAAAUUAAGAGUUUGCAAUCUGCAGACCCCAAUCUCCAAAAGGUGCGGCGAGACAUCGAGAGUGGACACGACGGUGAUUUCAGUGUAGACGCCGAGGGUGCGCUUCGGUUUCGAAAUCGAUGGUGCAUACCGAAAAUCGAGGAGGUCCGGAAGUUGAUCUUACAAGAAGCACAUCGGACUCCUUAUAGCAUUCACCCGGGCGGCACCAAGAUGUACCGUGACCUGAAGAUGCAGUACUGGUGGCCGGGCAUGAAAACUGAUAUUGGGCGCUAUGUAGCGCAAUGCUUAGUAUGCCAGCAAGUGAAGGUCGAGCGCCGAUUUUCAGCGGGAAAGCUCCAAAGUCUACCUAUCCCCGUUUCGAAAUGGGAGAAUAUUGCUAUAGACUUCGUGGUCGGAUUGCCCCGUUCGACGGGUGGCCACGACGCGAUCUGGGUGAUUGUGGAUCGUAUGACCAAGUCGGCACACUUUCUACCGAUUCACACCACCUGGUCGGGCGACAAGUUGGCGCAGGUAUACUUGGAUGAAGUUGUGAGGUUGCACGGGGUUCCGAAGUCGAUCGUGUUAGAUCGAGACCCUCAUUUUACUUCGCACUUUUGGAAGAGUCUGCAAGAAGCACUUGGCACACAGCUCGAUUUCAGCAUCGCGUUUCAUCCUCAGACAGAUGGACAGUCGAAAAGGACUACAAAUUUUGGAGGAUAUGUUGCGGGCGUGUGUCAUUGACUACAAGGGUAGUUGGGCAAACCACUUGAGAAUGGCCAAGUUCGCCUAUAAUAAUAGUUACAAAGCUAGCAUUGGGAUGACACCGUUCGAGGUCCUAUAUGGGCGGAAGUGCCGAUCCCCUAUAUGUUGGAGCGAUGUAGGUGAGCCUGCGGCAUUGGGCCCCGAUGUAUUGCUAGAGGCGGAAAGGAAGGUCCGUCUCGCUCGCGAGAGACUACUUACGGCACAGUCACAGCAAAAGAGCUAUUCUGACAAACGUCGUAGAGAUUUGGAAUUCGCGGUUGGUGACCGCGUUUUCUUGAAGGUUUCGCCGAUGAGAGGUGUGAAACGCUUCGGAGUGCUGGGAAAGCUAAGUCCCCAAUAUAUCGGACCUUUCGAGGUGUUGGAACGUGUUGGAGCGGUAGCGUACCGACUUGUAUUACCGCCAAAGCUCGCGGGUGUGCAUAAUAUGUUCCACGUCUCCAACCUUCGCAAGUAUAUUCCCGAUCCCGAGCACGUUAUGUACUACGAACCGCCGGAUCUACAGAAAGAUUUGAGAUAUGAAGAGUUCCCGACGAUGAUCAUUGCUCGAGAAGUGCGAAAAUUGAGAAACCGUGAGAUUCCCUACGUGAAGAUUCGUUGGACCGGUCACGACGAUCGUGAGGCUACGUGGGAACUCGAGGAAACGAUAAAAGUGCACUAUCCUUAUCUCUUUACAGAAAUGCAUUGAGGUAUGAGUUGAUUAAGAUAGUGAAUUCGUUUCGAGGACGAAACUCCAUUUUAGGAGGGGAGGAUGUGAGGAAGUGAAUUCUCGAAAUACGAGAGUUAGACUUCAUUCAGAAUCGACCAAGGGUCGUGUUGGUGAGCUUUGGAAAAGCCAAAGAUACUAAAAUCACCAAAAGUGCAUUGGAAGUGAGUCCACGAGAGCAAAUAGUGCAAAACUUGCACUGGAGCAAAACUGCUCUCGGGGACCGGUCUCUGGUAGGGAGGGACCGGUCCCAUUGGCUGGUGUUGCGGGGCUGCUUAAGGGAACCGGUCCCUGGUAGGGAGGGACCGGUCCCCGAACGCGAACCCAGUGAGAAAGCCAGAAAAUUGGCUAAGUCCUGAAAUCCCAGCUCUCGGAAACCGGUCUCUCAGGAAGGAACCGGUCUCCCGAGGACCGGUCUCUCUGGGAGAGACCGGUGCCCGAACGCGUGACCCGAGCUGAAGCUCUCGGGGACCGGUCCCAAGUCGGGGAGACUGGUCCCUCCGCACGUAGAAUGCCCAGUGAGGGCUGUGUAGGGGAUGAAAAGUAGAGGGGGCUGCUAGGAUAUUAUUACAUUAGAGAGUAUAGGGGACCCCCUCUCUCUCUCCAACUCUCAUUUUCUCUCCCUCUCUUACACUCUCUUGUUCCCUCUCUAUCUCUAGAAGGAAAAGAGAAGAAGAACAAGAAGGAGAAGAAGGAAAGGAAGAGAAGAAAAGGAAAGGGAAGAAAAGGAAGGAGAAGAAGAAAGAGAUCAAGAGGAAGACCUUGGACAUCUUUCCUUCCCUCUCCUCUUCUCCUUGGUGUAGCUAAGAGGUAAGCUACCAAACCCUAGCUUAUGAAACUUAGGGUUUUUGGGUUUUAGCUCUUUGGAUGGGAUCAAAUAGAUCCCUAGCACCAUGAAUGGUAAGAUUGGAGCUAGAAUCUAGGAUUUUGAGAUGGGUUUAGCUUGGUGCUAACCCUAGGGCUCCAAAAUAGGGUUUUUGAUAAAGUAUGAGAUUGAUCUCAUUUGAGACCAUGUAAACCUAAUUGCUAGGUAACGAAACGCGGGAGCGAAGUCGGAAUUUCGAUUAGUUGAGCGGAUCAAGAGCUAUCGGCAAAAUAAGGCCGAUUGAGCAUUAUUUUGGACCAAGAAGAUCAAGACUUCGUCGUAACGUUCGUUGGAGGGCAUUUCUAGAGCCUUCAUACCCUCAAGAGGUGGGGGGUGUCAUCCCGAAGCAACCGGGUUUCCUUUUAUGCCUAAGUUAAUUUUAUUCAUCAUAUGUUGAUUGUGCAUUAUAGGAUUAGUAGAAGUAUAUUUUCAUUCCUUGCAUGCUUACUUAGUAGUGUAGCGGUAUGGACCUAACACUUGGACUAGGGAGACAUGAGGAUUGGGUCUUGAGACAAAGAAUCAGAUAGUGGCAAAAGUGAUGAACUUGGACAUAGGCUAGUAGAGGGGCAUUGAACUAGUGUAGUAGAAACACUAAACAAGAACGAGUGGCAUGUCAAUUAGCUAGAAAACUUACUACAAUGAUCGAACGAGUGGCAUCGGGUCUAGUGUAGUAAACAUGACAUGGUUCUAGGGAUAGUAGAGAUCCCGGCAUCUAGGAUGCAUUGUAUAUUGUGCAGUAGAGGCACAUUGACCCUAGUAGACAGGGUAUCCUCUUGUGAGGAUUGGAUCAUACUCAUUAGUCUGUUUUUGCUUGUCGGUGGUCGCUCCACCGAGGCACGAGUCUCUGGAGUACUUCACUAGGGGCAGACGUAGUUGUCCCGCAGACGGUCUCGGUGUGCGAGUGCAGUUUCUCCUCACCUAUGAGAUUGAGAGUGAGUCGAGGGUUUAACCUUCGGGUUAACCAAGUGAAUUGGGUAAGAAACAUGAAAUGCAUAAUAGACUUGCAUUAUUACCUUGAGUAGACAUAGUGUAAUGUUGUAGAUUAAUUGUAAUGCCAUAUAUAAUAGAUGACAUGAUAAUAGAUGAUUAUAAUUGUUGCAUGCAUUAUUCAUCAUUGAUGCAUUGAUAGAGUAGUGAGCGAGUUUCUUUAUCUAUCUUCUAUCUCAUCUAUCUGUGCCAGGCUUAGACAUAGUGGGAAAACCGGCGGCGUCGAUGUUCGAACUCACUGGGAACUAUAUUUAUAUAGUUCUCACCGUUGUUUUGGGGUAUCGGAUCACAUAGAGGAGAUCAAGCGGGAUCGCAGCAAGGAUAGCUGUCACGCCCGCGGGUUCUUUCAGUUUAAAAGAAUAGCGGAAAGCGUCUGAAUUUUUUUUUUGAAAACUUGACCCAGGUAUGCCAGAUCCGCCACAAAUACAGGGAAUCCAUGUGCACAGACAGAGUCUCCCUGUAUUUGCACGGCGUCGCACAAAUACAGAAGUAACCCUGGUACAACCAAACCAAAUGAAUAUACAAAUAACAACAAUUAUAUAUUUAUUACACCAUUUCACAUCCAUGGUUCACAUUUAUAUAUAAAUAUUUAAACAUAAAUCCACAUCUAUCAGUUAAAAAUAUUUCCAACCACAGAAACAGGUUUUGAAAUAUAAAUGCAAAAUCCACAGAAACACUUUUGAAAACUGUUUCCUACACGGAAACUUUAUUCUUUAAAAGGCUACCACGAGGGUAGAAAAUAUUUUAUUUUACAAAAUCCAGAAAUCCGUUUAUUACAUUCACGAAAAUCCAUAUUUUCAAAUGUAAUAAAAUAGCUGAACCAUAUAACUAUCUAAGCUAUAAAACUGAAAUGAUAAGGGUAAUAACUAUACUGAAAUAACCUGGGUCGGAAGCUCUAUCGCCUACACACGUACCUCACGUCUCGUCCAACUACUCAUCGCCCGCGAUACUGAAAAUGAUCGGGAGGUGAGAACAUGUAAACAUGUCUCCCCUCCAGUGGUACCGCAGCCGAAGAAGGCGAGGAGUAUUCACACGGAUGAGGAAGAGCUUUAUAAAAUACGGGUCAGUGGGAAUACAGUAGAAUAAAUGAAAGAGAUGUAUAAGGUAAUGAGCAGAUAUACUAUAAUACAGUGGCAACAAUAAUAAUGAACAUAAUGUAUAAGAACGAUACCGCUAUGUAAGAAGAAUAUAAAACAUACCUGGGUUCAAACUAUAGUAGCAAGACAAGUAUAUAGAGAGAACUGUAUUGCAUGCAACAACUGCUACUAUCGACGUAUGCGUCAAUGGAUAAUCAGUCCAAAGUACCAAUCUAAAACCAAUGCUCUCUUGGUCAGACCGCAGACCUCAAGCCAAUGCACGUACUACUCUCACAGUGCAUAUACCUCUAGGGCUCACGGGUUGUCACAUUCAACCACUUUCAGAAAAGAACACUCCUUGCGGUGGAUCAGACGCUAGUGUUCGUGAAAUGACGAGAUAUCGGACGCGAUCAAUGCAUAUGCUCAAUGAUCAACCGACGCAACCAGCGAAUCUCGCGCCCCAGAGCCAUCGACCGCAAUAGGUCGUCAACUGUAAAUAAGAGCACAGAACGACCAUUCAGGUCAACUAGGAUGGGACAACAUCGAAUCUCUCUAAACAUAAUGCAAAUACACUCAAUGAACACAAAGGACUCGACCACUCAGAUCAACUAGGAUAUGAAAUCGACCAAUCACGUCACAAGUACAGGAUAUGAACUCGACCAUCACGUCACAAGUAUAGGAUAUGAAACUCGACCAAUAACUCACAAGUAUAGGAUAUGAAACUCGACCAAUCAUGUCACAAGUAUAGGAUAUGAGUAAAGUAUAAUCAUCCGUGCGAACUAACCGACAAUCCCACCCUCAGGGUAUACGACCUCAAGUCAUCAGACAACAAAGGUGAGGAACUCACCGAAUAGGUCACAAAUACUGAAUACUAGAAUCGACCGACUAGAUGCUUAAUCUCACAGAUAAUCAGGAAUGCUCUACUAUAAAUAUGAAACAGGGUAUGCAAAAAGCUAAGUAGAGCAACAGGAACAUGGUAUCACAUACAGAUAGACUAUACUCCUACACAUGAUACUAAGCAUGGAAACUCUGAGUAGAGUAUAACAAACAACGUGGGUGUAAUGUAAACAUAGAGGUGCAAAGCUCAACUAUAAAUAAAGCAUGGAUAAUAACAAAAGAGCAAGGGUAAGAACCAUCACCGAGCGUGCACCAUGUACCAACGUCGGAUCGAGUACCCACCUGUACAACUGUCGCGCGCUGUCUCCUGACUGCAAAAGAAUGUCAACCGGACCUAAGGAGGGUCCACUGGUUAGUGUCUAACCCAGCUAAGAACCCUAAAAGCAUAACCACAAACAAUCCCGACAGAAAUCGAUUUCCCAAUACCGAUUACCGUAACUCGCCGGAAGUCCCGAAAAUCGCACCGGGACUCCGCCGGGACCCACUAACUAUCCCGGAAGGCACCGACUCAUGCCACGAGUCAUUCGCUGCCACUAAACACUUAUUUUAGUGUGACAUGGCAGCAAACACAAGGAUACACAACCAAACAACUAUUGGUGGAUAAUUGUUGGGAUCCGGGUUCCCGGAAAUGUCUAUUUCGACACCGGAACCCACCGUCGCUCACCCGUCAUUUCUGAACUCUCGAAAUGAUGCGAGUGACCAGCCAACAAGGCUCAGCGACUACACAAUAGCUCACGAAGCACCGUCGGAAUAAUUCCGAACCAAAACCGCGUUCCGUCGGCAGAUUUUGUCGACAAACGCACCGAAAAUACAUUUUCGAUCUUCGCAAAGGUCUGGGGCCUUGGACAAUCAGUCUAGAGAUCACCCACAGCCUACCCAUGCUGCCAACAGCAGCCGCAAUAACCGGAAUUGCAUAAAACACUUUCAAAUACCCGAAAUCGCAUUAUUUCAUGCCAUUUCGGCGCUUUUAUGGUCCGUCUGCACAAACCAGAAGUGAAUCAGCCGAGCCAAUAUACCCAUUUACAGGUUUCGACGUGCCGAAGGCCGUGCUCACCUUUCGGAGCAAUUUCGGCCACUGUAGAGAGCGCGGGGGUGACGCGAAAGUCUGCGAACAGCGCGCACAGCAUGAAAAGCAUGCUUAUCUCGCUAACCAGGGGCUCGCUGACCCUAAUUGAGGUGAGCACUGUGAUCAGCACUGACUGAUGAUCACCGUGGUCACUUCCGGAGGCAUCGGAACAGCCUCGGGUCGCCGGAACAGUAUACACAACCCCAAACAGUGCACAAUAAUUGCAAUACAAGCUUACAGGAGCUAGGCAGGGCUCGGGGUGGCCGGCGGCGGCUAGACGACGGACAGGCCGGCGAGGGGAAGGUGCUCGAGGUCAUAGGAGGCCGGGGCUUGCGUCAACAGGCGACGGGAGGCGGCGACAACGGCGGGCAACGAUGCCCUAGUUGCACAACCCGAGGAGAGCAUGGGCUCACCAUGGUUGACAGGGAGCUCCGGCGGCGGGUUAGCCGGCGGUGGACGGGUGCGGCCGGCCAGGCGGAGCCAGUGCUCACGUCGGACGGCGGCAGUGCCGGUGCUGGAUGUGGCUUGGUCUACACAAAGCCCAACCGGGCUGAGCCGAACAAGACGGCGGCGCUGGCGGCCGGGAGAGGUCGGGGGUGCACAGGGGCGACGGUGGUGGUUCGCCGGAGGCCGAGGGAAGGCGGCGCAGCCGAUCUAGAGUGGCAGGAGGGUGGCGCUUCCAAUCCCGAGCCGCAUUAGGGCGAGAAGGAGGAGAUCCCACCACCUCGGCCAGAUCUGCUCAGAUUUGGCCGCAACUGGCCAGGGUGGUGGUGGCGGCGCUCGGGGGCUGCCGGGACGGCGGCGGCCGGCGGCGAUGAUGUUGGAGAAUGGUCUCGGCCAGAGGGUGGAGUCCGAGGGUGUGGGUUCACCCUGGUAACAGCACAAGUGGGGGGGUUGAAGGGUGGUGAAGCAAGGAACAAUGGAGAGGUGGAGGAGCAGCCAGCUCCGGCGGCCGGCGGCGUGCUCUGGUGGCCGGAGCGCGCGCGGGGAGAGCAGGGGAACGUGAGGGAGGCGGUUAAGGAAGAGGAGGGGACCCAGGGUUAGGGUUUCAUGGUGACCUAACUCUAUGAUAUAUGUACAAUUACAGAAAAACCCACCUCAACCCUAUUUUUAUAAUUUAGUCCCUGCCAUUGCGCGUAACUUGCGCAUACGCACCACCACGCUCGAUCUCGCGCGAUUCGGUAUAUAAAAUAUUACGACUUUUGCGAAUUUCCCGAUUUUCCACUCUCGACCCCUUAGCGAACUUAUUGCAAUUCCAAAAGAUCCGUCCAUCGGAUUUCCGAUCGGAUCACGCCAACGCGUUCAGCACGUCGAGGCAUUGAAUCUAGCAUUUCGUUUCGUCCGAUUUGAUCUCCGAUUCACGACGAAAUCCAUUCUCUCUCCAAAAGGCCAAAAUGAUGCACAAUUACAUAAGAAACAAGUAUUUUCAGAUUUUCUCGAAAGCCGUGCAUCAGAUCUAAAUCCGUCAGUGCCAUUGGUUCCAGAAUAGCUGAACCGUUCAAAACGAGCUAUUGGAUCGCUAUGAACGGAGUCCGAUACGCGCCGAAAGCCAACUCUACUCCGUGGCUUCUCCGAAAAACCGGAGUUACUAUUCACUUAAGUGAAAACUAAUAAUCGCGUAACUUCUCCAUUUUAGCUCAUUUUCUCCUGAAACUUGACGAGUGCUUAUGUAAUUAAAUUACAUACAUAAACAUCAUCAACAGAGAGUUUAGUUGCACUGUAAAAAAUCUCAGUCCUUACAAUAGCACCCUAAGUGAGCCUAGUUAGUAACUUUUCCUUUAUGCAUUAGAGUACCCUCGUGUACUAGAAGAUGUUUUGGAUAGUUAUUGGAGAGCUACUUGUAUUUUGAGGAAAACAUGUAUUCACAUUUUGGAAGAUGAAAAUGUAAAUGUUGAAUGGUUGUAAUAGUUAGACUCUCUCUCUUUAUACACUUGUAUACCACUUGUGGUUCUUGCUCUUAGUUACUUGGCACUUGUGUGCCUUAGUCGAUCAUGUAUGUAUUGAAUUUAUUCUCCUGGGCAAAUUCUUGUACAUGAUCUGGGGGUUUAGCCUUGGGCGGACAGGAGAGGUGCUGUCCGUUCGGCGGUUCGUCCGACGCGCCCGAACCGUGCCAAAUUGGUAGUGGAUUCGGGGCGGGGCAUGACAUAUAGGUUAAUAGAUUUAGUUAAUCAUAGAUAAAAUACUUAAUUCUGAUUAGUCAAUAACAUAAAUUGAUAUUUUUACCCCUUUUAUAUUAUACUUUCUUCUCUCAAUCAAAACCCUCGCAAUGGAAAUUCUUCUUUUUCUUCCUCUUCCUCUCUCUCCUUCAUACUAGUUUCAAACAUGUAACUAGAAAUUUUUUGUUCCCAUUCAUCCACGACGUGUGUUGCUUCGCCCAUGUCGAACACAUGCUGCUUUCUCAUUCAAUUUCCUCUUGAUUUUUUCUUAUUUUGCUCAAAAAAAAUUUAGGAGAAAAGGAAUGAGAUAAGAGGUUGCAAAAAUGGUAGAUAAGGUUGGGUUUAAAGAGAAAGAAGAUGAGGAAAAGAUUACCAUUGAAAAUUUUUACCGGGAGGGGGGACAUUUCUACACGAUUAUAGCAGUUGGGGUUUUUGGAGGAAUAUAUUUGUGAAGGCAAAAUUGACAUUUCACUUAUCUGCUGUUAAAAAAUAAACAGUUCUCUGACGGUAACAAACUAAAGGGACAAAUAUGAAUAUCACUUGACUUUUGCAGGAUAAGAGUUAAAAGUUGAACUUUGUAGGGAUAUAUUUGCUAUUCGCUAUAUUUACAGGGAGCUAUAUGCAAUCUUUAUUUUAACUAAUAAGAUCGGGAGAUCGGUUCUUUUUACCAAUUUUCAGAACCUGCUAAAAUUCAUAGAAACUUACCGGAAACACUUCCAUAAUUCACGAGAUGGCCCCAAAGGAUGGCAUUCAAUAUUAUAACCUAUCAACGCGUAAUGCCCCGAGUUAGGGUGAAACCUGAGCUCGCCAACAGAUCCGUCGCACAUACGGAAAGCUCCAUGCACACGAAACAUCAAAAGUACAUGUAAACAAUUAUAAAAUUACAACUAGCAGAUAUUAGAGCUAAAAUAAAAGCUACUGAAAAGCUAAGUGUAUAAUCAUACUGUACAUACACCAACAUCAAAAAUAUACAUCACUCAUGUCACAAAAUUGAAGAUGGCCAAACCAGUCCCAGUAUGAACAAUUCCACAAAAAACCUGCUUCUAUCGAGUCUAUAAGAGUUGUUAACCCAGAGAUUUAAUUGGCGAAACAACACCUGGAGGGGGGUGAAUAUUUGUCAACAGUAAAAACAACCAACUCUGCGAAUAAAAAUAAAUUGCGAAAAAUUAAAACCACACACUGAAAUUUUUGCAUGGGAAAACCCCAAGCGGAGUAAAAGAUCGACGGGACAAAAUAUAUGAAAAAAAAAUCCACAAAGGUGAUUUACUGAAUUCAUGACUCAACCUUUAUGCUACACUCGAAGUAGAUCUUCCUUGCUAGUCCCCGAUUGAUUGAACUCCUCCAAUCGAGCACGCUAUGAAUCUUCGCAGUGUCUAUGCUUUGAAUCCAAAAAGCCUCCACCAAAUCCACGUGUCACUCCCCGAGCCCACAAUGGAAGCACUCAUCGGGCAGGUGCACAAACUCACUGAACAGACAGAGCUUUUUCUGUCACGCCCCGAGCCCGAUCCUUUUGGCCGGUUCAAGCGCGUCGAACAGAUGCCGAACGGACAGAGCCUUCCCUGUCCGCCCAAGGCUCAACAACAUUUAUCAAUAGGGUAAAAUUUUGCACAUGCGGAAGCAAACACAAUAGCUUGCACGAGGGCAAGCAAUAGCCAAUAGUGAAAGUAAUAAACUACUCUUAGGAAAAUCAUUUACAUUUUUGCAUCAUUUCUUCUCUUUUACAUAACAUGAUAUCUCAAAAUAUAAAUUUUGUAUUGAAACAUAAUUCUUUUUUACAUCAUUCAUUUAACAUGUUCAUAAUGCUAAAAUCAUCAAAAUACAAAAGAUGAUAACUAAAGGGUAUGCAACUAAACCAAAAUGUGAAACCAACUCGGGUGGUCUCUAUCUAGGGCGCGAUGCCCUUACCGGGAUCGUCUACCGGCUUGCUCGAUCCCGGCUCUGUGGAAAUAUUGGGGUGAGAACUACAACAAAGUUUCUAGUGGGUUCGGCAACCGACCACGCCGACUUUCCCACUAGGUCUAAAUCAGGCAUAAUAGAAGAAAAGAAAUAUAGAUAGUAACCGAACUAUACAAAUGCAGCUAAUAUGCCUGAACAAUAAAUAAUGCAAUGGUCAAUAAUAUGCUCAUGAUGAAUGCAAGGUCACAAUCUCAUUGCUCAAUCUCUUGGCUAACCCAUAGGUUUCGCCCUCAACAACUCACCAACUCAAAUCCCAGUAUCGGGGAGGCUACUACACUUGACGGGACCGUCUUCUGGGGAGACUACUAUACCCAGUGAUGAUAACUCCGGAGCACAUCGCCCGAGGGGGAGCUAUCACCCUCGAGCAAGGACUUACAGGCGAGUAUGAUCCAAUCCUUAACUAUAAGGAUGUCAAGUUCAAUCCAUUCCUUAACUAUAAGGAAACAAUGCACAUAUGACCUUUAACUCUAAGGUUGUUAUGUCAUAAUGUCGCUAUCACAUUUUUACUUGCAUUCUUUACUUUCACUAGUGUCAUAUACACUACUAUAUUCUUGUACACAUGCCAUACUUGUUUUCUAAAUAUUCCAACUCUAGCUUCUCGACUCAUCAUUGUCACUUUCUACUUCUAUGUCAAAAUGUCAUAUUUGUUUACUAAGUUUACUAAGUUCUUAUCACUUGUCAUGCAUAAAUAGGGUUUAUAAAGUUCUCACAUUCUUGCUAGUAACUCACAUGCAUUUGUACUCACAAUAUGCAAUGAAAUGCUCACAUAUAACCCUACUAUGAAAUUUUAUGCUCAAUACACAUUUGCUCAAAUAUGACACUUUAGACAUUAAAGGAAUUCCGAGGGCCUCAGUAUGCACCACCCACCUCAGAUGGUUGAGAGGAUGCUACGGUAAAUUUCUCGGGAUUUUUGAAGCCCUGCUUUUUCGCCUGCGGCAAAACGAAGCCAAAUUAGGCUUUUUCAAAAUAACGUUAUCUAAACCUUUUCGUAACGUCAAACGGAGUUGUCCCACGCGUCGGAAAUACCCCCAAUUAGGUUUCUACAAGGUCAAUUUGUCUUGAAACAUUUAGAGGCAAAAGCUCCAAAUUGGGUGCCCUAACAAUACUGUUUGCUCAAUCCUAGGUUUGAUCUCUAAAACAAGCAAAAGAUGGUUUGUCCAACAUCUAGAAGCUCAUUUAGAACUAUCUAAAUCAUUCCUAGGGUUUAAAAUGCAAGCCCUAAAAAUCCACCAUUAGAAGGUUCCAAGAAAACCGUGUUUUUCAUGGUGUUCAAGGCUCUAGCAUGCUUCUAAAACCUCUAAUUUCAAAACUCUAAAACUUAAGGUUUAAAUCCUAACCCUAGAGCUAUUCUUUCACAAAAUUCACCUUAGCCAAAAGCUAUCCCCAAGUCCACCUUGUAGGAGAGCCCUAGAUCCUCUCCAAGGCACCAAAAUCUAAGUUUCUCCUUCAAAUCCCCUCCAAAUCCACCUUUUGGAGAGCUCUCUAGAGAGAGAAAGCAAGAGGAAUGAGAGGGAGGGGGUGAAUGGCUGUGGGAGAGAGUGAGGAGGGUCAUUGGGGUCUUAACAUGUUGUAACAAUUACAACAAAACCCUCCAAACAUUUGUAUUUACAGCAGUUUUCAUUUUGCUGUCAGACCCAAAGUGUACUGGUACACUUUAGGGUGUCACCAGUAACACGAUUACGCAGAGGCAAACCCGAGAGCAGCUCUCUCGGGUUUGGGGCAUUUGUACUGGUACACUUUCAUUUUGUACAGAUACACUUGUCUGUACCGGUGACAACUCGAUGGUUGUACCGGUACACUUUGCCGAGACUUGAUUUUUGGCUCCGUUUCGAUUCUAUUUCGCGCCGAUCGAUGCCAAAACCCUUCUAACACUUCUAGAACUCAUUUUUAACCCUUCCAACAUUAUUGGAAUGCUAAAUGGGAUUUGCCUAACUAUUUCUUUCGCAUUGCUCAUAUUUUAAAACGCACCGAGUGAUGCUAAAACUUGCUUAACUCCCUCGGGACUCGACUUUGACCCUUCCAACAUUGUUGUAAUGUCAACUGGAGUUUGUGCAUCCAUUUCUCUCGACACUUUAACCAAUUUGGCUAAAGUUCGAUAAUUGCUACUGAGGUUUCGAUACGUUACAUUCUUCAUCCCUUAAAAUUAGUUUCGUUCGCAAAACUAACUUGAUUAAAAUCCAGAUCCAUACCUUAUUCCAGAUUCUCGAAGAGAUGGGGAUAAUGCUCCCGCAUCGCGCUCUCGAGCUCCCAAGUGGCUUUCCGAUCAUCGUGGUUGCACCAACGGAUCUUUAUAUACGGAAUUUUUCGGUUCCGUAGUUUCCUUACUUCUCGGUCGAUGAUGUACGCCGGGAACUAAUCGUAAGUCAUAUCCUCUUGAAUCUCGGAUAGUUCAAACGAGAGGACAUGCUCGGGGUCAUGAACAUACUUGCGGAGAUUCGAUACAUGGAACACAUCGUGUACUCCCGCAAGUCUCGGUGAUAGUGCUAUCUUGUACGCCACCGCGCCGACCCUCUCAUGUAAUAUACUGAAUCUGGGCCUAUUGACAAGUUCGAGGGUUGGAUCGGCUUUUGGAACUGGUCUACGACUUUUGCAAGACUAUUGAAAGGUUUUUGAUAAGUUACUAGAGUAAGUAAGUAACUAGAAAUGGAAAAGUGCAUCGCAAAUGCAUUAUCAAUUGUAGUACUUCGAAUUUGGUCAAUUACGAAGUUCGAACGUGGGAAAAGGUAAAUGAAACUGCCCUACACAUUCUAAAGGGUUUGGACAAGUUUUUGGACAAGUUAGAGAGUGAUUGGAGGGUUAAAAGUAAGAAAGUGCAUUGAUCUGGCGAAAUCAGUGUUUUUCUGCUUGCUGUACCGGUACAGCCAUCACCUUGUACCGGUACAGACUGGCAGAAACGUGGCAGCAAGGCUAUUUUGGUAUUUUCACAUCUUGUCUCUAUCCAUAUCACCCCAGCACGACUCCUAGCCCCCUGUGGAAAGCUUUAGAGCUCAGAGAAGGCUUCUUUCACCUUCUCCACUUUCUCUCUCUAGGGUUUCUCUCUCUACAAGUGAGAAUUGCCGUUUCGUGCCGAUUUUGUGCCGCGCUCGUCGCUCGCUGGUUUGGAGACUUAAGGGAAGUUUGUGGAACGUGGGAAGGAGGUGUUUUGCUGAGUUUGCUGCGAGAUUAUCACCAAGAAAAGCUGAAUCUCAGCUUUAGAGAGGUAUUUAACUCAACUUCUCUCUAGUUUGUAGUUUGGUGUCGGAUUUGGAGUUGUUUAGAUUUCCUUGCCUCCAACCGAACUAGAGGAUGAUUUCAGCAGUAAAGAGGAGUUAUUUGGACUGUGAAUUACUCACUCUAGCUCAGAGAAAAGUCACUGUAAAGCUUGAUAAAGAUAAUUGAUGAUUUAUAACUUAAUUUUGAAACUACACGGAGUUUAAUCGUGCAAUUGAUGUCGUUUGAAAUUGUACCUUCGCAGCAGGUUUCCAAAUUAAUUUGAGCUGAAUUUGUGACCUUGGGGACUGGUUUAGAAGGUGUUCCAACUAAAGGUAAGCUGAAAUUGCUGUGAGGAAACUGAAUUUUCAAGAUUCCGACUAUAUCUAUUGGUAUUUGACGACUAUGAUGCUGUUUUGGAAAUUGUUCGCAGCGGGCUGGCAACUGACUUUCGGAGUAUCUCCGGCUGAUGUGUAAAGACUUUUAGAAGCUUAAUUUGAGGUAUUAACUGAACCCAAAACAGGGAUUCAAGUUAUUACUUUGUACUAAGUGCAAAUUGUACCGAAAUUGGACAUUUCGGCCGUAGUUUUGAUGCGCUUUUCGUGUUUCGUUUUCAGCAGCGUCGAGGCUCCGUUGAGCAGGGUUCGGGACUCCUUUUGGCUGGAUUGAGCUUGGUGAUAGGUGGGUCGGACCUUCCCGAAAUGGGUGAAUUCCCUCUAUGUCUCCUUUGACAUCUGAGUUGAAGUUAUUUUAUAUUCUUGUGAAUAUAUGUAUAGUUUAAGGCAGUGAGACAUGCACUGAUAUGUAGAUCAUAUCGGAAAUGAUAGCAUCUUUAAAUUGUAGUGAAAGAUUCAUGACUUGUCCAUUCUACAUGGUUACCUGUUAAGUACUAUGGAUUCAUGAUACUAGUAGCUGGCAUAUGCAAUUUGGCUUGUUGUUAUCCACGAGGAUAGAAUGGUAAGUUCGUGAAUGGACUAAUUAGUUCUGUUGAACAACAAAGAGAUUGAUGUAUUUAGGAUUGAGCUAUGCAAUGUUAUGUAUAAUUGCUAUACUCUGAAAGUUCAGGUAAAGGCCUUUGUUUGGCAUAUGCAUUUCUAAUUGUAAAAUGAAUGGCAUAGAGAUCAUGUGAAGAGUGUUUUAUCGCUUGUUUUACUUGCUUGCAUUACCCUGUUAGUUUCUACUUUCACAUGAUAGACUUGUAUUAUGGUAUAUGUUCUAGUAAGUAACUAGACUUUCAUAUGAUGGCAUAACUUGAAUGAUUAUUCAACUGAAUAUAAUCUAGUAAAUAACUAGAUUUGGGUAUGAUAACAUACUUGUAUAGUCAAGUAGAGAUUUAUAUUGGACUACAGGAUAUGUGCCAUGAGUCUAUGAACAGAACCUUAGUAAACUACUUUCCUUAUGUGUAAGGAGUAGUGAGAGAUUGUGAGUGACUGACCAGGUAUAGCCUGAUAGAAUCACUAGUGGGAUGUAAAGUUUUAACUUGUUAAGUUAUAUUAACGACUGGUAGAAUCUUGUCAACAAGUGGUUGAUAGUGACUUAUGAUUAAGUACUAUAGUGCCGACCUUGGGUCGAGUUGAGAUUCCAUGUCGGAGAUAUGAUGCUGUUGAGAUAUUUGUACCCUUGACUAUAGCUAGCAUGCCAUUAUGCUCUUCCGUACAUGCUUGCGGGGGUCGCGCCCCCUAAGCCCCGCAUUCCGGAGUGGCUUGAGUUGAGAUACCAUGUCAGGGACAUGAUGCUGUUGUGAGAUUGGUACUAUGGACUACGAUUUACAUGCCAUUGAGCGCGUUCGCACACGCUUGCGGGGUCGCUCCCCCCCAAGCCAGCACUCCCGAACAGCUUAGCGACAGAUGCUCACAAAUGUACGAAGUGAGCGCCGAAAUGGAAUGCCGUGGGGGAGGCUCAUUCCUCGAGUGGGGGAUGUUGACUACCACGGGGCCAUUAGGCACGGCGCGGCUCGAACUUACCUUGUGUAAGUCUGUUGGAAAUUGGGUUAGGUCAAGUACUUUAACCUUAGCUGGACAUAGUAGUAAAGUUACUUUAUGUCUUUGGUUAAGUGAACUUAUUGAUGAACAUACUAGAAAGUUGACAUCUAAAGUGAGCUUAGUGAUGAACAACCUAGAAGUUGACAUCAUGAUUGGUUAGCAACAUAAUGAAUGACAUUAUGUCUCUUUCUUGCUAUGGAACAAGGUAAUUACAUGAUAUCAUCUGUAAUUUCAGUAAGGUAAAUUAUCUUGCAUACAUUCUGAUAUAUGUUUGGUUAAAUUGUCAAGUAAUAUGAUUGAUAGAAUCUAUCAUGAUAACUGAUACCUGCAAUCUAUUGUUAUUUAUUUAUGGUUGAGCAAAUAGCAUGAGUAGUUUACUUCCAUAUCUGUUGCAUAUAAUUGCUUAUUGCAUUAUCUGCAUUUACUCGCUUAUUUAUUGCUAUCUACUCAUGCCACAGUUGACCUAGUGGUGUACUUCGCCACUCUCGGCGGCUUACCCACUGGGAACUAUUGUUUAAUAGUUCUCACGCCCUCUUUGUUGUUGUUUUUACAGAGCCUUCCACAGCGGGAAAGGCUGGGGUUCCUGGCGAGGGGUCAGCGGCUAGCUAGAGCCUUUUUGGACGUGUACUAGAUCACCUCCACCAGUUUAUAUAGUUUAGUACGGAGAUGUAUAUUAAGUUUUUGUAAAUUAUACUUUAUUCUUAUGUCCUGUUUGAAGAUUUGGAUUGUAUAAGUUUAAGUUUAAAAGUCGUG